RNAcentral lists this long non-coding RNA (166210 nucleotides) under Gossypium raimondii (Peruvian cotton). RNAcentral's name for it is "long non-coding RNA (GRAI_LNC007716)". The stretch from base 50213 to 50357 matches the Rfam family "MIR7502 microRNA precursor family". The record is from RNAcentral. Lineage: Eukaryota; Viridiplantae; Streptophyta; Magnoliopsida; Malvales; Malvaceae.
GCUUCAAAAGAGUACCCUCAAGCAUGACAUGGUGGUCAUUUAGAGCCUUGUAGCAGGCAGCAAGAACACGCUCUGUCACUGCAGCACACUUUUGAAUGUCAUGAGAUCCGUCAACAAGAAUUUCAGGUUCGACGAUUGGGACAAGGCCACAUUGCUGGCAGAUGGCAGCAUACAUAGCUAGCCCGUUGGCAUUUUCUUGGACUGCAAGCUCGGUAGGCUCAUUAGCACUGAUCUUAAGGACAGCACGCCAUUUAGCAAAGCGAGCACCAGCUUCAUAGUACUUCUGGCAUCGCUGUGCAAGGCCAUCCAGACCCUGGGUGAAAGUCUCGCCGUUGGUUCCAUUAAGCUCAACGGUACCCUUGUCGACCUUGAUGCCAGGGAGGACACCACCUUCCUUCAAAACAUCAACGAAGGGCUUGCCUGCACAUCAAAUAUCAAUAUCAGAAAUCAACAACCAUCCAUAAGCUCUUAAAAAGGAAUAACACUACCGAGGUUCUUAAUAUUAUCAAAGUAUGUCAUUUUAAUAAUACCCGAAGCGGUUUUUUGAUAAAGGGUUUCCUCGAAGAGAAUAACACCACUGAGGUACUGAAGAGCUCCUGGAGCAGUGAAGAGGAGCUCACGGAGAGCACGCCUGUUUUCUUCAAUAUUUUCUACAUUAAUGCUUGAAAGACGCUUGCCGAUGGUGCCGGUGGAUUCAUCAGCAGCAAGGAUACCCUUUCCAGGGGUGCCAAUGUAAGCAGCGUUUUUAGCCAACUCAUCUACAAUAUUUAAAUAAUUAAAAGAUAAGUCAUCAAUUCACGAUAAAGAACAGAGAUCCGAAUGUUUAAAAAACUUAAGUAGCCUAAGGGUGAAGGAUAAGGUUCACUAUCUCAGAUCCAGAAAGAUAUCAUGAUAUUAUUAAGCACAUCAAGGACUGAUAAUUAAAUUAAAACUUCAAAAAGUAUAUAUUAAAAAAUAUUACGCAGUUACAAAAAAGGGAUCGGAGAGAUAAUAUCCGAGCAGGUGCAUGCAGAUCUAGAUCUUCAAAAUUUAACCCCAAAAACAAAGACGAACAAAAUUAUAAUUAAUAUUAUUCAUUAAAAAGAGGGAAAAUCUAUUAUGUUCCUUUCGAUUAAAGAGCAGCGAACAAAUGACCAUACUUAAUACCACUGACAAUCAGAUCGCAAGAAAAAUGAAGCAGGCCUUAUAAGAUCCAAAUUUAUAUACCAAAAGAAUAUUGCUUUCAUUAAAGUGUAAAAACCACGAAGUCAACCAGAUAUAUCACUCAAUUAAUUUAGUUAAACAGUAAGUAACAAAGUUUUCUCGUAAAAAUGUCAAAACAAUUAACAUAUCAGACCAAAAAUCUAAAGAUCGAAAUAAAAAUAAAAAAACAAAGAUGGAUCAAAGAGAUUAAGAUUGUAAACAUAAAAUCAACGCCGAAGGGGAAAAAAGGAAGUAGAAAGGGAAGGGUAAUUACCGGCGUAUUUGCUAAUGAAGCAAGACAUUAUGGUUGAAUAGAAAAAGGAGGAUUCAAUUGAACAGAAAGAUGUUUUUUGGUGGCAAGGAAAAGAGAGCGAGGGGAAAAGGAAGAGGGGUUAGGGUUUUUAAAAGAGAAGGGUUAGGUUAAACUGGAAAGUAAGAGAGAAAUAGGUGAGGGGUGAUUUGGCUUUCUAGAUUUUCGGGUAUUUUUUCUUUUAUUUUAAUUUGUCGUCUUACUCUUUUCCAAGUUAGCAACCCAUGUACUACUGCCCGUUGGAUCUGUUCCUAACUUAUUCGUCCAUGGUUUUUCUUCUUCUUUCUUCUUUUUGCACUUUUACUCUUUUACCCCUCAAACUCCCACCUAACCUUUUUGUAUCUCUGCUCCACCUAACAUUUUCCAUCCUCGGCUUGGGCCUUUUUCUUCUCUUUAAUUUAUUUUUAUCGAAUUAAUAUUAACUAUUUUUACCAUAAAAAAAGGUUAAAGACUUAGGGGUGAUUGGAUGGGCGGUGCGUGUACCUGCGGUUAGUGUAAAAACAGCGGUGGCGGUGAGAUUAGACACUGUAGCGAUACUGUAGCGUGAGACAAAAAGUAAACUAAACGCACCGGACCGCACCUAAUCCUCCAUCCAAACCCACCCUUAAAAGUCUGGUCAUUUGAAACAACUGUGCAAUCAAGAAUUCUUUGCUACUCCACUUUCCGCUUUCCGCUUUGAUUUGAUUUAUAACGAUCUCAUCAAACAAGGACAAAUUUGAGAACCCACACACGAUCAGGCGAAAAAAAAUGAAGUUAUAUUUUAUAUGUAUUUUGAAAAUACAUUAAUCUAAGUAAUUCAGAUUAAAGUUUUAAGGGUAAAUUAUAUCGGGAUUUAUAGGUGAAAGUAUCGUGAAUAUUUUUGUAUUAUUAGUUAUAUUAUAUUAUAUUUUUUAUUAAUAAAUAAAUAAAUUAAUCCAUAUAUAUUAGAUUAAAGAAUAAAUUGAUAUUUCUAUUAAAAAUUUUAUUCAUUUCCGCUGUUAAUAAUUGAUAGAAAGUAUAAAUUGUAAAUUAAUAUGAGCACUAUUUAAAUUAAAAGUGAUGAUUUAUCAUCUUACAAAUUUAAUUAUUCAUAAGCAUUAUUCAAAUUAAAAGUGAUGAUUUAUCAUCCAAUGAAUACAUUUCCAUGGAACAUGUUUCUCUCAAGGAGUAUGUCCAAUAUGAAGGGUUAUGGCUCUUCAAAUUGUAUUCAUUGAGUGCAUAUAAAUAGAGGCAUUAUGGUGCUUACAAAUAUACAAUUACAAUCAAUCUUAUUUUCAAAAACUAGAGUAAGAGUUAGGGAAUUCCUCGAUUUUGCUAAUCAAAGGAAAUUCAAAACUUGGUUGUAUCCCAAGAGGACCUUUGUCUUAACCCUCUAGCAACUUUGCCGGGGGGGAGGGGAAAGAGUUCUCUUUGGAAAGCAUCAUUCGUGUCUCGAAGUCUACUGUUUAUUUCCAUACAAGUCUCUGGUUCUAUUGUCUCCACUCAAAUAUCUAACAAUCAAAGAGAACUAUUUCUGGAGAUGGCGACUAAGGCUAACACCACAUUUAAAGUGAUGAACCAAGAGUUUGUGAAACUUGACCGAUUUGAUGGUUCAAACUUCAAUCGUUGGAAGGACAAGAUGUUGUUCCUUCUUACUAUCUUAAAAGUGGCGUACAUUCUGGAUCCAAACCUGCAACCCGUGGAGGAUCCCGCCCCCAAUGCAAAUUCUGAGGAAAUUGAGAAAGUGGCUGAACUCAAGAAGAAGCAUGAAGAAGACACUUUCACAUGUUCAAGACACAUCCUCAACACCUUGUCUGAUCGAUUGUAUGAUAUUUACAUGUCGAUGCAAUCCCCGAUGGAAAUAUGGAAAGCUCUUGAAGAGAAAUACAACACCAAGAAACAAGGUACUGAUAAAUUUUUAAUGAUGAAGUAUUUCAAAUUCAAAAUACUUGAUAGUAUCCCGAUCAUGGAUCAAGUCCAUGAAUUACAAGUCCUUGUAAGCAGGCUUCGUGACUUGAAAGUUGUUAUUCCAGAAUUAUUACAAGUUGGGGCUAUCAUCUUGAAGUUGCCCUUAUCUUAGAACAAUUAUCGGAAGAAACUUCUACAUAUGGCAGGGGACUUCACUGUGGAGAAAAUACUUAGGCAUUUGCGUAUUGAAGAGGAAACUCAGAAGUGUGAUGCGAUGUAUCUUCCCUAAAGUUCUAAAGUGAACUAUGUGAGCAAGUCUAAGAACUCUCGAAAUGGUAAGCGAAAGGCCAUAUCCGAGACCAAGGACAUGCAAGACAAGAAGAAAAAACUCGCAAUUAUUAUAAUUGCAAUAAGAAAUGACACUAUAUUAAGGAUUGCAGACUUCUCAGAAAGAAGCAAUAUGCCACAACUUCCAAAUCCAACAUGGACUUAGUGGCCAUGGUUACGGAAGGGAUAAAAAAAUUGGAGAUUGGUGUGAUUACUGAACUCAACAUAGCCAUGACUGAUAAGUUCUGUAAUUGGUGGCUUGACUCUAGAGCUAUUAUCCAUGUGUGUAAUGAUCGACAACAAUUCAAGAGUUAUGAACUAAUGGCAAACCAUUAAGUGCUUAUGGGAAACUAUCAAUCUGUUAAAGUGCUUGGUCAAGGGACAAUGGAACUCAACUUCACAUUUGGGAAGAAAUUGACUUUGACUAAUGUGAGAGAAUUUAGUGUCUGCAAGUAUUCUAUGUAACAAGGGGUUCAAGAUUAUCUUGGAAUACAAUAAGUUGUAUUGCUUAAGGAAGAUAUAUAUGUAGGAAAAGGAUAUUGUAACGAGGGUAUGUUCGAGUUGAGCAUUAAUAUGAAUAAAGUUAAUUCUUCUACUUAUAUUAUUGAAUCUUAUCCUUUGUGGCAUGCACGUCUAGUACAUUUUAAUUUUAAAACUUUACAAUAUAUGCAAAAGAAUGAUUAUAUAAGUUUAAGUAAUGAUGAGUUUGAGGAUAAAUGUAAAAAUUUUUAUUCAAUAAAAAAUUACCAAGAAGUCAUUUCCUAAUAAGUGUGAAAGGAAUUCACAAGUGUUAGAUUUAAUUCAUUCGGAUGUUUAUGAAUUAAAUGGAACACUAACAAGAGGUGGAAAAUGAUAUUUUAUCACUUUUAUAGAUGACUUCUCUAGAUUUACUUAUGUUUAUCUUAUGAGAAGUAAAUACGAGGCUUUUGAUAUGUUUAAACGUUUUAAAAAUGAAGUUGAGAAUUUGUUUAGUAAGAAAUCAAAGUGCUUCGUAGUGAUAGAUGUGGUGAAUAUUUUUCAAAUGAAUUUAAUAUAUUUUGUGAGGAACAAGGUGUGGUACAUAAGUGUUUCGCGCCUUAUACUCCACAACAAAAUGAUUUGGCAGAAAGAAAGAACCGUACUUUAGUAGGUAUGGUUAACUCGAUGUUGUUAAAUGCUAAACUUCCAUAUAAUUUAUGAGGUGAAGCAUUACUGACUGCGUCUUAUAUUCUUAACAGAAUACCAUUGAGAAAAUUCAAAGUAUCUCCCUAUGAGUUAUGGAGAGGUCGGAUGCCAAACUUAGAUUAUUUCAAAGUGUGGGGGUGUUUGGCUUACUAUAGAGUUCCCGACCAAUAGAGAACAAAGUUAGGUCCAAAAGCCGUCAAGGGUGCAUUUGUUGGAUAUGCCCAACACUCUAAGGCUUAUCGUGUUCUUGACUUAUGUCAAAUACGAUAAUUGAAACAAGAGAUGUUGUAUUCAUUGAAAAUAAAGUUUUCAAUGAUUCAACAGAUUCAGAAAAAGAAUAUCAACCAAUGAUCUCAAGUGAUCAAACCAAAAGAAGUCUUUGUGAUAAUAAGGAUACGGAACGGAGGAAAAGUCAAAAAGUGAGAAAAGUAAAGGACUUUGGUCCUGAUUUCAUUUCCUCGCAAUCUCUAGCAUUCCUUGUUAAGGGAAAUAGAGAAUCCGUAAUUAGGAAGAUCCCCAUAAUGUUUAAUGUGGAUGGUGAUCCACAAUCCUAUGGUGAAGCCAUGACUUCUAAGGAUGCAACAUUUUGGAAAAAUGCGAUCAAUGAUGGAAUGGAUUCAGUAUUAUCCAACAAUACUUGGAUUCUAGUUGAUCUUUCUCAAGGAUCGAAGCCCAUCGGGUGUAAAUGGGUGUUUAAAAUGAAGAAUACUCCAACAGGGGGUUCUCCAAUCUUUAAGGCUAGGUUGGUGGCUAAAGGAUUUAGGCAAAAAGAAGGCCUAGAUUAUUUUGACACUUAUGCACCAAUGGCUAGGAUGACCUUCAUUCAAAUUUUUAUAGCACUUGCAUGUAUCCAUAAGUUAUAUGUACAUCAAACGGAUGUUAAGACGACUUUUUUGAAUGGUGAUCUAGAAGAGGAAGUCUACAUGGAGCAACCAGAAGGUUUUGUGCUUCCUAGGAAUGAACAUAAGGUGUGUAAGUUGAUCAAAUCAUUAUAUGGUUUAAAACAAGCGCCUAUAUAGUGGCAUGAGAAAUUUGACUCGGUUAUCUUGUCAUAUGGCUUUUUACAUAAUGGUGUAAAUAAAUGUAUUUACACUAAAUUCACCGAUAGGUAUAGUGUAAUUAUUUGUCUCUAUGUAGAUUAUUUGUUGAUUUUUGGUAUGAAUAUGGAAGGUGUUCGUGAGACCAAAGAGUAUCUAGCCUCGAAAUUUAAAAUGAAGGAUCUCAAUGAGGUAGAUACAAUUCUAGGUAUAAAGGUAAAAAAUCAUGAAAAAGGCUUUGCACUAAGUCAAUCUCACUACUUCGAGAAAGUAUUGGAAAAGUUUAAACACUUGAAUAUCAAGGAUUCGAACGCUUCAUACGAUUCAAACUUCAAGUUAAGUGAGAAUAAUGGUAGGGCUAUAGCGUAACUUGAGUACGCCAGCGCAAUUGGAAGUCUAAUUUAUGCAAUGCAUUGUACUAGACCUGAUAUCACAUUUGUUGUGUGCAAAUUGGCAAGAUUUACAAAUUUUCCUAGUAUCGAUCAUUGGAAAGACAUUUGUAGAAUUUUUGGCUAUCUUAAGAAAACAAAAAAUUUGGGAUUAUUCUAUAGUGAUUAUCUUGCAGUACUAAAAGGUUACUCGGAUGCAAGUUGAAUUACAAGUCUAAGUGAUAAUCAGUCCACAUCGGGAUGGAUUCUUACAAUAGGAGGUGGAGCCAUUAGUUGGGCCUCCAAGAAAUAAACUUGCAUCUCACAUUUAACUAUGGAAGCUAAAUUUAUAGCCUUAGAGGCUACUGGCAAGGAAGCGGAAUGGCUAAGAGAUCUCUUGCUAGAUAUAAAGUUGUGGCCACAACGUAGAUUUGCCAUUUCCAUAUAUUGUGACAGUGAAUCUACCAUGACUCGGGCGUACAAUAAGGUGUACAAUGGAAAGUCUAGACAUAUAAGUUUGAGACAUGAGUAUGUGAGACAAUUGAUUAAGGACGGUGUGAUAACUGUUACCUAUAUUAAGUCAAUUAACAAUUUAACGGAUCCAUUAACAAAAGGUUUGUCAAGGGAGUUGGUUAAGAGUACCACCACUAAAAUGGGAUUAAAAUCAUUCUAAUUACAUCAUUGAUAAUGGAAACCCUACCUUGUUCCAGCAAAAAUUUAGUUUCAAGGUUCAAAGUGUAAUAACAAGUUAUCGAAUGACAACGUACACUAAGAAUUAGGAUUUAGUGUUUAUAUUUUAGGAGGAUGAGUUUUUUUAAUGGAUAGACAUUAAUUGUCAUGAAAUCCACUUAUAUGGACAUGAAGUGGUGCUGCUUCAACGAGAUUUUCUUUAUGGUUUUCUCCCGUACAUGUUCAUGAAACGAGAUGAGCACAUGGCCAUAACAAUGCUAAAGCAAAUUUAAAUUCUUACUCUAAUUUUUUUACGAUUAUGUGUGAAUUUUUUUCGGUAUUAACUUUAAGAGUUGUGGUUCAUGCAACUACCCACCAUUCACUUUGUUGAUACUCUGAGAGUUUGCAUUAAAUGAAUGUUCAAUCUGCGGACACCCUUCUUUAUGCAUAAUCGCUGUUUACUUAUUUUCUGGAAUUAGCAAUCUAGUUGGGGAUUGAUGGAAAGUAUUGUAACCCUAAAAUUUGGGCCUAGAAGUAUUGGGCCUUGAGCAAGGGAACGGUUAGGAAACUUUGCACAAAAAUAUGUCUGCUUUAGUGGUUAAGGGUCCUGAGAGGAGUUGGAAAAGUCCUGGGUUCAAACCUAGGCUUUAGCAAAAAUUUUGGUUUUAAGUGGAUAAAACUCUGGAUGCUUGGAUGUAGGCCUUUUAAAUUAUUGUGUUAAAAAAAUGUCAUAAGGAAGCAUGUGGUCUAGUCGUUGUGGCGUCAUUUAGGUUACAAGGGAGUUUGGGUUUAAGUUUUGGCUCUUGCAUUUUAUUUUUAGUUUUCUCUUAAAUGAACUUGAACACUGGCACUUAGGCCUUAUUAGUAAUAAUGCUUGUUAUGUGUCACAAAAAAGUUUGUGGUCUAGUGGUAAGUGGUGUGUUCAAGGUUGCAAGGGAGCUCAAGUUCGAGUCUCAUGAUGUGCUAGGGAGUAUUUAUUUUAUUUCCUUGCAGCAUGAGAAGUGGAGUUUGACCGAAACCCUGUCAAGUGAAGUUUGAAUUGGCCUUGGAGGGUUUUGUGGAGCAAAUUAAGGAGGAGAUUGGGGAGAAAAUCAAGGAAAUUCGAAAAUAGGAGGUUGGUAGGGUGCUGUAGUCGAUUGGGACUCUAAGGCUUAGUGAAAUUCGGCUAAGGGGAAAGGAAGGGAGUAUUUUCGGCACUAGGCAUUUUUUUGUUCAGUUUUGUGGGGUUUUAGAGGAGAGUGUCAAUUUUUUUUUAGGUUUUUACCAUUCGAGGAUUUCUUUCGGGUUUUGCUUUUUAGCUAUUGAGGUGACCAAAAUUGCUGCUAUUUCCUUCUUUUCUACAUUUGCUGAAUAGGUAACUUUCUUUUUGGUUUCAUUUUUCUUUCUCUGUCGAACACCAUAUUCUAUUUUCUCUACUCUCCUAAUAGUGCCACAUGCACUUCUCUUCUCUCUUCCCUCCAUUCUUCUAUUUCUUUCAAAGCUGAACCUACUCAUCGUCUUCUUCUUCUUUGCUUCCCACUCUCCCCAUCCCAACCAAUUUCUUCAAGGCUCUUUUGUGUACUUUCAGUUACCAUCCUUUCUCUAUUGUGCCUGGCCGAAUAUACCUAAGCUUUUCUAAUUGAUUUCAUCAUCAUUAAUUGCGGGUGUUAAAAUCUCGAGAACAGAAAAGAGGAUUCUCUAGUGUGUGGAGGCAUUCCAAAUCUUCCCUUCACUAACCGUUUGAUCGUUGGGGUAAGUUGGUUGGUAAGCUGAAUAUGCUGUGAUUUUGGUGUUGGAUUUUUUCUUAAAUCAUAUUCAAAUAACCAUGUCCGUUUGAUAAAAAUCGCUACUUGAGCAGAUGAUCAUCAAGAACGUGGAAUCGUGCUUUGGCUAAGAAUCUUAGAAGAGUAGGCCAUAUUUCUUAUAAUCGUGGUAGGUGAUGAUUGUUUAAGUAUGGUUUAAGUACUUGAAAAUAUUGUUUAUUGAAGGGCUGACCAAAUAUUCAAAUCAAUGUAGGUUGGUGCCAAGAGGUGUUUCGCUAGCUUUCGUGAAAAUGUGUGUAACCACACUGUCUCUUUUGUGAAUCGGCAAAACCCGAAAAGUCGAAAAGCCAAAAAUACGGCGAUAGAGGCCACAUAGGCGUGCAAACGCUCAUGUUGUGAAUCGAGCCCACGAAACAUGGUGUUAGACUAGACUGGGCUAUGUAGUUCGCAUAGUCUUGAUUUGAUUGGGCCUAAAUGGGCCACAUGAGUGUGUGGGUCCACUUAGGCCGAAUAUAAGCCUUGGGCCCAUUUACACUGUUGUGACCAUUUAGGUUAUCUGUGUCGCUUGAGACGACUGUAGACCUUCGGAAAGGUUGUUAAAUGACCGUAAUACCCCUAUAAGGUAAAAUGACCGAAAUACCCCUAUAAGGUAAAAUGAUCGUAAUGCCCUUGAAGGAUAAAUGAUUGAUUUGUGCUAUGGUUUAAUUGACUUAACUGUGAACGAUAUGUCUGAUUCUGAGCAUGGCAUACUGCAUGAGGCUGGGAUUUUGCAUUGGAGGAAGUGAUUGAUAUGUGAGGGUCGCACAGGUCGCAUGAGACGACUGUGGACCCACUAAUGGCUAUAAGCCAAUUGUGUGAUUGGUAGCUCUGCUGCAAUAUUGGUUAGUGCUGCAACCGGUGCUACAUAAGGAGUGUAGGGAUAGGUGGGUCGAUUUAAUCCCUACAGGAGUGUAGGCAUAGACAGGAGAUAGAGUGCAAAGUUGGUAUGGGUAUUUAUACAUUGCAUAUAUUGAUUCUGAUAUUGAGAUGGGCUUAGGCCCAGAUAUAUGUGAUAUGUGCCAUUUGAUUUGGGCUCAGGCCCAACCGAGGCUGAUAGGGGCUAAGGCCAUUUGCCAUCGUUACCGUAAUGGGCCUACUGUUACUGUUAAGGGCUCAGGCCUAGACUGAUUCUUUUUCUUUAGUGAGGGGAUUACACACUGAAUUUUCAUAAAUUCACCCUGUUUUUAACAUUUUAGGUAAUCCCCAGCGUUAGACGGUUCGGAGUUGCAAGGGACUCGGAGAGGCCACACAACUGCACAUGUUUUAUUCUGUUUUGUUCAUUUACUAAAGCACUUUGAUUUUGAUACGAGUUGUAAUAAGGCCUCUAUAAUUUCUGGAUUCUAAAUUUGGGAUUUGAUGUGAUUGUGAUUUAUAUCUACUAGAAGUAGAACACGAUUUUCCAAAACAAUAACUAUUUUCUAACAUUACAUUUCUGCAACUCAUUUUUUUUAAAAUAUCACGUUUUCAUAAAUCAUUUGUUUUAAAUUAAGCUUCCACAACAAUAAGGUUUUGAAGUUAACAACUUUUCUUUAAUAAACCUCGAUUAAAAAUAGACAAAAGCAAAUUGAGGUUUUGUACAAGUUUUAAAUUGCAAGAAGUUUGAAAAAUCAAGAAGGGUUUCCAAUGAAAACAUGGUUUUUGAAAAACACUUCAAUGUGACAUGCCAGAUUCGGGCCUAACUUCUAGGCCGAGUUUGGGGUGUUACAAGUAUAGAUUGCAAAUUAAUAUGAUCACUAUUUAAAAUAAAAGUGAUGAUUUAUCAUCUUACAAAUUUAAUUAUUCAUAAGCAUUAUUCAAAUUAAAAGUUAUGAUUUAUCAUCUAAUGAAUACAUUUCCGUGGGACAUGUUUCUCCCAAGGAGUAUGUCCAAUAUGAAGGGUUAUGGCUCUUCAAAUUGUAUUCAUUUAGUGCAUAUAAAUAGAGGCAUUAUGGUGCUUACAAAUAUACAAUUACAAUCAAUCUUAUUUUUAAAAACUAGAGUAAAAGUUAGGGAAUUCCUCGAUUUUGCUAAUUAAAGGAAAUUCAAAACUUUGUUGUAUCCCGGGAGGACCUUUGUCUUAACCCUCUAGCAACUUUGUGUGGGGCAAAUAGUUCUAUUUGGAAAGAGUCAUUCAUGCCUUGAGGUCUACUGUUUAUUUUACAUACAAGUCUCCGGUUCUAUCGUCUCCACUGAAAUAUCCAACAACAAUUGGCCCAUGUACGUCAGCAUGAGAUACACAAGACAUGUCAUACAUCAUUGUUUGGAUAUUUCGUCAACCAAGUCGGUUUUGAGAUGGAUUAAAUUUUUAAUAGAAAUGACCAAUUUGCUAUUUAAUCUAAUGUGCUAGAACUAGUUUUAUUUUUUUAGUUGAAGGGGAAAAAUGCAAUCUGACUCCUAAUAUAAAGGCCUCCAUGAUAUUUUUACUGGAUUUACACAAGUAUUAGUAAAUUACUUUUUUAUCAUCAACUAUGAAAAAUUAUUCUUUCUCAAAAGAAAAUUUAUAAAAAGUUAUUUAGAAAAAAAUUACGAAAAAUUAUAAUAUGACAUAGUUAUUUAUAAAUUUGACAUAAUAUAAAUUUAACACUCAACAUUGAUAUAUUAUGUCAAUUUAGUCUUAAUUUUAAAAAAUGUAACCCCCAACGUUUGCACAUCUUUUGUUACAUUUUUGUUUUUAUUUGUGACAUUUUUCACCUAAAAUAUUAAAAAAAGAAAAAUAAAUUUAUGUGCUAAAUUUUAUUGAAAAUAUACCAAAAAUGAAAACAUCCAAAAACUCGAUAUCUUUGGAUUAGAAACUAACAACUAAGAUAACUUGGUCUCCACCGACUCACUUUUCAUUAAUUUCAUAAUAUUCACACUUGAAUUGUUCGGCGUUGAUUUAAGUGAGUUGCUAUUGUUAUUAUUGUUGUUGUUAUUACUAUCUCCAACAAACACAAAGUACCUCAUCAAUUGUUCAAUUAACUUACUAUUAAAAGAAAAAUGAAAGUCACCUUUGAAAUCAUCAACAUUUAGAGCUGAAGCAAUGAGCCAUGUCCAAGAGUGAAUAAGCUAAAUGACUUGGGGAGUUAGGAGUUCAAACAAAGUCAUGAAUAAACUCGCAUUAUCAGUCAUUGGAUUCAACAUCAAACAACAUAUUUCAUUAAUAAAUAGGAGUAACUAGAGUGCUACCAUUUUAUCCUUUUAUAACAUUGUCUUUACGUUUAACUUUAUGGCAAAAUGACAUAACAACAAUAUUGUUGUUACUUUAUGGUAAAAUGACAUAACAACAAUAUUCAAACAAUAGAGCAAACAAACAAGAAAACAAGCAAACCGAAUUUUGAAAAAUACUUUAUUAAAUUCCUCAAAAAUAAAAAGUACUCACUUUGCUAAUUCAACCCAAUUUUAAGUCCAACAACUUCAAAUUAUCUAAAGCUUUGAUUUGCUUCACCAAUGGUGGUUAACUCAAGCUAACAAAAAAUGAACUAUUGUCAUUGAGAGAUAUUAAGUUCUUAGGCAUUUGAAGUAUGAGAAAAGCAACGUAGUUGGGGAUUAUCUAGUUUAAUAAUAAAUAUAAUUUUUUUUAAAAGUAUUUUGUUUUAUUACAAAUUUACACAUUGUGAAUUGAAUUAUAUUUUUUUAGAAAAAGGUAAGAUAGACUAAGGUCAUGUGUAAUUGGAGAUGGCUAUUUUUUUUUAAAAUUAAUACUAAAUUGACACAAUAUAUAAAUGUUAAAAACUAAAUUUAUAAUUGAGCCGAUUUUUAAAGUUGCCAUGUCAUCUUUUCAUUAUCCAUUUAAUGACUGGUGAUCAAAAUAGAAAAAUCAAAUAGUUAUUUUGUAACUUUCCAUAGUUGGAUGAAGAAAAAAAACUUAUUAAUAGUUGGGAUUAGUAAGGGUGUUCAAACGGUCAAAAUGAAAUACUCAAAAUUUUGAAACCAAACUAAAGUUUUUUGAAAUUUACUAACCAAACCAAAUUAAUUUUUGGUUAAUUCGAUCAGUUAACUAAAUAACUGGAAUUGUACAUGUCUUUUUUAUUCUAACAAAAUUGAAACAUGACAAAAAAUUUACAAUGACAAUGUUUUUUUUAUUUGUUUUAGUGCAAAAAAUUUUAAAUGAAAGAAAAAACAACAAAUAACCCAAUGAAAAUGAUAUGGGAAAAAUAAUAAAAGGACUUCAUCUUGAAUACUGAAAAGAAAGAUUGUUGAAUCUUAAAGUUAAAAGAAAAAAGUUGGAAGAAGAAUUAAAUGAUGAACAAAACCAAAAUGUUUACGGUUUGUUUAAUUAUUUUAGAGUUUUUUUUCAAAUUUAAUUUCAUUUUAUAAUAUUUUUUUACCUAUUUUAUGAAUAUUUAUAAUAUUGGGUCUAUAAUGAAAGUCUCAUAGAUAUAUAAUGUAUAUUAUUAAUUUUGGUUAAUUAGUUAAUUUAGUUAGUUAUAAUAAGUGCUCUUAUUCGAUUCGAUAAUAGAUCCAAGUAAGAGAUGUUACAUUCCAAUUUUAUUCACUGCUAUAACCUUUGAUCACUUAAUUCCACUUUUGAUAUGAUCAUCAGGGCCCAAUCUCAAGCCCAUGGGCAUGAUGGGCUUAGUUUCUCGCAAGGCCUAAUAACUCGAUCUAAAUCAAAGCAGAGGAAAGUCAAAUUAAAUGUACUAGCCCAAAAGUUGGUGAGAAAAGGCUUUCAAGAAUUAGAAUUUGAAGGUUCAAAUAGCCGAGACUUUAUGAGGCCCAAGAUUGCAAGCCCAAGUGGGGAACCUAGACGAAAAGUUUAAAUAAGCUUAUGAGAGCUUAAGAUGUGAAGAGUGCAACCCAAACACAUACCCUUUUAAGUCCGAGCUCAUUUAGAGUUAUUUUUCUCAUUUGGAAUCACUUAAUUGUAGCACUCUCACCCGACCUGAUUCACUGAGUCCGAGUUUCGGGUAUUACUAACAGAAAUCUUAAAGAAAUUCUGAAAACCAUUGACAAAAACUCUUUACUGAAGACAUUUCUCAUUAAUUUGAUUAAAAUUUCAUAUUAAAAUAACAAAGGAAAGUAUUUCCAAUUAACAUAUUGUAACGGGCUUGCUAAAAUUUUAUUACAACUCGUAGGUUAUAAAAGACAGAAUCUAAGGGUAUAGUCUUUCUAAAAAUCAACCCUUCCUAUAUGCCCACUGUAUGCAUAGUAUCCCCACUUGCUGCUACUCUGACAUAUUCCUGGCAUCGUCUCCUUAAAUACUUUUGUAACACCUUAUACUCGGCCCAAUCACUGAGUCUGAGUAUUAGGAUGUCACACCAACAUCACACAUCAUACACAUUUCGAAUUGUCUCAUUACUAAACUAACAUCCUCUUAAGUUUAGCAUUUGUACGAAUAUUAAGGUAUGCAUACUCUAAUCAUGAUUAAAACAUGAUAAAUAAUCAUCAAAUGAUCCUAUAAUACUAAUUAAACAUGUAUCGAAACCACUUAGCAAAAUUUUCAAGACAUUUAAGUAGCUAUCGAUACUGAAACUAAGGUAUCGAUAUUUUUCUCAAUUGGUAUCAAUACCGCUUGGAAAAUCGAUACCAAAAUAACAUUCUAUUUCUCACCUAAAUUCGAAGCACAAGAAAAUAUCGGUACAUUUCAGCAAGUAUCAGUUUUAUUACCCCGAGUAUCAAUACUCAUGAUAUGGUGUCGAUACCAAAUUACUAUAUUGACUUUCUGCACAUCAAAAUAUCAUGGAGGUAUCAUUUUUAAAACCUGACUAUCGAUACCUCUACGCUAGACAUAAAAAAAUACUACAUGUUUAAGCAUUUAGAUCAUUCUAACUUGUAUCAAUACAACAUGCAACUAUUACAUUAUCAGAAAAACAUCAAAACAUCCAUAAUAAUAGUUCAAAGCCUUGAAGAAAUGCCCGAAAAUGCAAAUGAUAUAACAAAUUUUAAAUCCUUGAAAUCUAAAGCAAUAAAUUCAUGAAAACAUCCCAAUUAUCAUGAAAAAAACUAGCAAAAAAAAUCUACUACAUUGCCUUUAUUUCCCAAAACAUAAACGAAUGAGUAAACACCUAGGAAAUAAUAUCAAAGUCUUGCUUGGGUCACUCCCUCGGAACCACACCGCUCACAUUGCAACACUAUUAAUUUGUAAUGGUUUAAAAAUGAGUGGGUGAGCUUUACCUUCUUAGUGAAUGCUUAGAAUAACUACCAAGCAAACAUGUCAUCAUGCAUUAGUAAACAACUAAAUAGCACAAUUACAACAGUCUCAACUUAGUGUCAUAUUAUACUUGUUCAUGCAAUAUUCAUUGGUUUUUUAACAUGGUAAUCAAGUACUCAUUUACAUAUUAUUCACAUACUUAUUUAGGCAUAUAUCAUAAUACAUAGAUUUACAUUUUAAGAUAAUUUGACACUUGAGUUAUGAAAUAUAAAGUGGGCUCUAUCACCACACAUCGAAUAUAAGGAUCUCCAACACACCAAAUGACUCAUAGAGUCAAACAUAUCCCAAAAGUGAAGCAUAUACCUAGCACUCUUCAACACGUCAAUUAUAUCCCGGUGAAUGGAGCUUAGCUCACAUUCCCUUAUCUCUCCAAAUCUAUCACGGUCUUUAAUGCCCCAGAAACACAAAGUACUCACAAUCAUAUGGCAUGCCAACUAUAUCUAACAGUCUCAAAUAUCACAAGGCUAAAAUAUCCGUCAAUAAACACACAUAUUACUUACCAUUUUUUGCACUUUCCACAUUUUAAUCAUAACAUAGCCAUUGUCACAUAGCACGUAUAACAUGCCCACAAUCAAUUAUUUCACAAUAACCAUCAUAAGUUUACUACACAUAUAACAUUUUAAUCCACAAUGUCACAUCACAUUCUCAAAUAUAGUCAAGAGUAUGAGGAAGCUUACACUCGAAAUUAAGAGUAGGGGUUUAAACUACUUCUAAAUUCCCAAUUAACGCAAUGAAUUGUGUCCAUAAGAAGUGAUUCUAAACAUUCACCAAUGAUGCUUUCGCCGAGAAGCCUUAAGCUCAAACUAGCCUUUCCUGACUUGUAAAUGGUCCUAGCAAAUCUGAAGCUUUGACAUAAUAAAUCACACAACAACACUAUCAACAAUUAGCAAAGGACUCACCUUAAGCAAUCAAAAACAUAAGUCUAAGCUAAGUUCUCAAGUAACUGAAACCUUCGACAUAACAAACUUAAAUUCCAAAUAUCUCGUUCUAUACUUAAUAAUUUUUCCUAAAACUGAUUCCGUUCAUCUAAUUAUUCACUUACGACAGAUUCUUAACCUUUAAACAACACAAAACUACUCAAUUCAUGGUAUCAAAAUUUUUGACAUGUUUCUGGAAAUUUUCAUGAAAUUUAUUUAAAACCCAAGAAAUAUUUAACGAAACUUCAAAUUUUAGAAACCUUCUAAUCAUCAAAACUAAUUGAAAAAUACUUUGAAACCAUAUUUUUACCCAAAAUCUCAAAAUCCACUAUUAACGACCAAAGUUUUUGCUUUUAUUUAAAACAUGCGAUUCGAUAGCUAAAAACUAAGUUUUAAAGACUAGAUAACAUUAAAAACUAACUAGUGGUUACCUUUGAUAGAAGAAAAAUGAGCUUUUGGUUGAAAACCCAAAAAACUCACAAACUUGACAAUGGAGAAAACUAUGGUGUUUUUGAGUGUUUUUCUUAGAAUUCUAUGAUAAUUUAAUGAUGUGAGGGUGAAAGAAAUAAAUUGAAUUAGGAUUUGAAGAACAAAAUCAAAUGGAAGAGGCUAGGGAGAUCAACGGACGACACAACAAGAUGAAAAGAAACUAUCGUGAAAAUAAAACUGUAGAUGGGGGAUAUUAGGUUGAUUUCAAAUUUUGGUUUAACUACUUCAUAAACACACAUAAGUUAGCCCCUUUUACAAAUUAGUCCUUAUUUCAAAAUUAAGUCUUUUGAACAUCAUUUUCAAAAAUUGAUUUAAUUUUCAAAAUGCCAUAGACAAAAAUAUUUUCGAGCACUAUGGUAACAAAAUUCCUGAGCUCACUAAAGCUAAAAUCCCUAAAAUAUCCUUAGAACUCCUAGAACCAAUUUUAGGGUGUGACAACUUACAAGAACGCGUCAAUACUUGAACCAUAAAUAUAACACCAGUAAGUUCAGAGGAACUUAGUGAGUUAUGAACACAUAUUACCUUUCAACUUUUCUUGAUAAGUUCUUCAUUUUGAAUAUUUGGACCUUCCACAUCUGUCUUUGGUGAAUACCUUCACAGUGUCAGUUGUAUACUAUCAUACUUAUAUGCCAUUUACCAUUCGUACUAUAUUCUCAUUCAUUCUACUACUUGACUGACUUCAGGUCUUGACAGUUGGAACUACCUUCUCUUUCUCUUCAAAUAACUUCCAACAAUGAAUCUCGAAUAGAUAAUCAUAUAAACUAUCCUUGGCGGAUACCACUUACUGUUCAUACUUUUAGCGGAUAUCAAAACAUCAAAAUAUCACAUAACAUGAGAAUGAGAAUAACAUACUUUUCAAAUCAUUGAUAAUCAUAACCAAACAACAUACUUUUCAUAAAAAUAGUUGAUUCAGAAUCACUUACUUGUAUAAUCUAUUUUGACGGAUUUAGUCUCUUGUUUUUGAAUACUUAAAGUAUUCGCAUAAAACAUAAAUCAAAUAAUAAUAUUUUAUUUAGGCAUUAUUAAUGAUAUAUAUAGCUUGUAUCAGGUUAGACCCACACCUGAAUUCGUAUGACUCGAUAAUAAUAAUUUCAUUUUCUGACUCUAAGAAAGGAGAUCAACCCUUGAAUCUUAGUCAAAAUAUUAAUACCUUGUCAAUAUAUUGACAUUUUUAAUAAUAUUUUCAAAUAAAUGAUUAAGUUGAAUCAUUUACUUAAUCAAUGGUUCCAAUGAAGGAUGGAGUAUAGAUCAGGGGUUUCAAAUAAACAUUUCAUGUGCGAACAAGAAAUACCCUUGUUAGAAUCUUUCAUAAAUGAGAACAAAGAAAGAAAUAAUCUAAUCGAAUGAUUUACCAGUACUUAUGAAAGAAAAAUAAUAAAAGAAAAGGGUUUAUUACAAAUAAAAUAAUAAAAUAAUAAAAGAAAAAGGUUUAUUACAAAUAAAAGGGUUUAUUACAAAUCUAAUCGAGGGUAAGGAGGCUCAACGAUUCUUGUGGUGAUUAGAUUAAAUAGAAGGGUUCUCAACUAACAAAUAAAAUAAUAAAAGAAAAAUGAUAUAUUAGAAAAGAUUAACAAUAAAACCUUUCAAGAAAAUUGAGAUAUGAAGUGUGAAUAAUAAAAAGGUUUAUUACAAAAUAGAGGAGGAGAAAAGAAAGAAAAUAAUGAAAAAUGGUGGUGGUUGAUGGCGCUGGUACGGUGACGGUGCGAUGAUGGUGGUGACGAUGGAGGUCUAGUGGUGGAGAUGUGGUGGUGAGAUGGUGGUGUGAUUGGCUAAGAGUGGGGGAGAUGUGGAAGAAUUAAGGAAAAAAGAUUUGUUUAGAAGGUUAAAUGGAAGAGAAAUGAAGAGAAUAGGAGGAGAAAGGAGGUGGGGUGGCCAAAGAAUGGAUGAGAUAAUCAAAAUGAAAAAAAUAAUGAGAAUGAAACUUGUCUAGGUGCAUUGGACGACAUUCUAUGGUAAGGGAGACAAAAUGAUAAGUUGCGGGGACAAAAGAAUGAAAAAGAGAUCAUGGGAGUGAAAAAGGGGUUUAAUGAAGGAAGGUUGACUCACACACAAGGAAAGAAAGCUCUGCUUGCAUGGUAACAAAGGUGGACGACAAGGAGGGUUUUUCCCAUGUAAAAGUUUCCAAAACAAAAAUAAAUAGAGAAUAAGGAAACUUGAACCUACGACCCUUAGGAAAUUUAUUUAAGCUCCUAACUACUAAACCAUUUAAUUCUUUGUUCACGCUCUUACAACAAUUAUUUUAAAAACAUGGUGUGAUCUUUACUAAGGUUUGAAACAAAUUUGCACCAAAUAGAAAUUAAUGAGAAGGAAGGUAUUCAAACUCAGAUCAUCAAUGACAGCUCCACCACUACUUAAUCACUAUAAUUGAUACUUAUCUAUUGAUAAAUGUGCCAAGGUCAUCUAAAAAAUAUUUUGGGCAUGACCACUCUCGGUUCAUUAACCCAAUUUCUACUAACUUAGUUUUUGAGAUGUAACAGGUAUAGUAUUUCUAAACAUCAAACCUUCCUAUACGCCCACUGCAUGCAUAAUAUCCCCACUUGCUACUACUCUAACAUAAUUCUAGCAUCGUCUCCUCAAGUACUUACACUGACGCAUCAAUACCUAAAACAUAAAUAUAACACCAGUAAGUUCAGAGGAACUUAGUGAGUUUUGAACAUAUCAUACAUUUUAACUUUUCUUGAUAAGUUAUUCAUUUUUAAUAUUUGGAAUUUCCACAUCUGUCUUCAGUGAACACCUUCACAGUGUCAGUUGUAUACUAUCGUACUUAUAAGCCACUUACCAUUCGUACUAUAUUCUCAUUCAUUCUACUACUUGACUGACUUCAGGUCUUGACAGUUGGAACUACCUUCUCUUUCUCUUCAAAUAACUUCUAAAAAUGAAUCUCGAACAGAUAAUCAUAUAAACUAUCCUUGGCAGAUACCACUUACUGUUCAUACUUUUGGCGGAUACCUAUACUUAUAGUGAACAUAUCAGAUUCCAUCAGAGCUCAGAAGAAGAUAUAUUGCUAUACCAAUACAUUGAAAGUCAAAUUACUUAGAAUUCCACAUUAUUAGCAUAAUUAUUCAAAUUGGUGGACUCUUUCAUCAAAUUCGCCCAUAUACUAAUCUGACAAAUAACAACGACGGAUACCCUCUUCUAACAUGUUUAAUCAUACUUCUUUUCAAGAACUUUCCUUAAGACUUAAUCGAUUUUAUCACAAAACCUUUUACUUUAGAGCUUCAGUUAGAUCAUAUCCUUUUUAUACACUUACCAGAAUACGCCAUUAAGGCCAAACAGGGUAUGCCAAAAAUGCGACAUACAGAUUACACCAUAAAGGAAUUAUACAUAGUAUGUUACAAAUCUAAUAGAAUGCCAAAAAGGCCAUAUUAUAAUGUCACAAAGGCUAACAAAAUGCGCCAUAAAGGCCAAAUUAGAGUAAGCCAUAAAUGCUAGAAGUAUGCCACCUAGGCAUCCAAUAACUAUCGUGUUUCCUAAACUUACAUCAUGUGAGGUUUGCCCAUUAUCGCCUUGGGACACAAAAAAACCCUAGUCGAUAAAUGUGGCUUAUUUUCCCUUUUCAGAAUGUGCCAUGACCAUAGACUUUCUUCAAAAUUUACAUGUUAGAGUUCAUGUUUACUGUCCCGAUGGACUUCAUCGUAUCCCAUCGCGGUGACCAAACUCACAACUCAACCUCUCUACACUCAUAGACACCCCCAUUUCCCAAACAAUUUCAAUCAUAUAUUACACAUUCAAGUAGACUAAAUCAUCUUUUUAACCAAAGCAUACUUCAUUACAUACUACACACAUCAUCAUCACAAUCAUAUCUCAUAGUACACAUUCCGAACACAUACACUUAGUUGCUCCACAAAACCAUAUUCACUCAUCCACAUGGUUCAUUAUGUUCUAGACUCACAGGGACCAAUAUCAAAGAUACAUACUUAUUAUAAAAAAUUAUUCAUUUACACACUCCUCAUUUCUGAUACAUCAAUCAAAGAAAACUUUUCUAUAAAAAAUUUCAUGAAUAGAUAUUACGAACUCACCUAAGACUCACCUACUACAACUAUCAACUUCAAACUCGGACAUCCAAUUUGAACCAACAACAAUUGCUUACAGAACCUGAAUUCAUCAUUAAACCCAUUUACAAAUAGAUUGUUAACAUUUCAAUUACAGAAAAUCUUCAUGCAAGGCUUCUCAUUCGUAACUUACUACCCAUAUACUUCAUAGCAUCCUUAUUCUUAACAUGCAAAGUUACCAGACUUACCAGGAGAUGGAACGCCUCCGUCUCAUUCAAGAAUCGUUAGCUUUCAGAUCACAUAAGAAAAGGAACAAAAAAUAACAUUUAAUACUUAUGAAAAGAAAGAAUCAAAGAAUUACUCUAAAGGAAAUAGAAAACCCUCUUACGAACCUUUCUUACACAUAUAUAUAAUCCACUCUCAUUUAGUGAAAUUUGACAAUGUUACCUCCAAAAUUUUAGAAUAUUCCCUUAAUAAUGUCCUAUGGAAUCUAAAAGAAACAUAAAUGAAAAUCUUUUUCAAAUGCCAUUUUUCUAAUCUGUUUAGUUGGUUUAUAACCAUAUUUAGUUACUGAGACUCGCCCUUCACAGUACUGGAACAAACUAGGCAUAAUAUACAUUUGGUAGUGACAUACACAAAGCUUACUUUUCCUAUAUAUUGCAUUCAUUCUUUACUAAAGAACACACCAAAUAUUGAAUCUUGAUAUACUUCCCUAAGUGAAUACUCAAUUCACCUGAAGCAUUAGUUCACCAGAAGCUACCAUUUGGCAAACUAAGUUCCGGAGUGCACUAGAAUAGAUAUAUUCUCAUCUAUGCACCUAAAAUUUGGGUUAUCCAAAUUUGGGGUGUGACAUUAAAUAUUAUUUUGGCCUUUAUUGUGUUUAACCCAAUGCUAAUGGUUUAAUUGUGUCUUUAAAGUUAUCUAAAUGUUAAUAAUGAUGUAAUUUAAUCAGUUACUCAUAUCCAUUAAGCAAUGGUCGAAUUGUAGAUGCCUUUAGCUAUAAUCCUUUUAUGUGUUUUUAAAGUCUUAGGAGAUAAUAGUUGAAAUUUAAUUCAAAAUAUUUUGGAUAGAUGCCAUUUCUUAUCCAUCAAAGCUCAAACUUUUGAUGACUCUUGGCCGUCUAUGUCUCUGUAAAUAGCCAUCCUCUUUCAUUUGUAAUCACUUUUUGAUCUAUUAAAUCUAUAACACUCUUUGAGAGUUUUCUUUCAAGAAUUCAGUGCUAAUUAUUUUUAGUAGAAAAUUUCAACUUCAAGUUUUUUGAAUUGUUGGUGGAAAGUUGUAAUGACACGACAGUGGUGUCAGAAACUUCAGUUUCGAAUUGUCAUUUCUGUGAACUGUGUUCAUGAAUUUAAUAUUUACAAGGCUAGAAGAGAAGUAUAUUAAAUUUUGGUCUAAUAAUUUUUUUAAUUGAUAGUUAAUUAAGAUGAAAAUGUAAUUAUCAUAAGGUUAGUGGUAUCAAAAAAUGUGGUUCUGGGACUCCCUUUUUGUAGACCGAGAUUGUAAAUAUUUUUAUUAAAUAUUUGUGGAGCUAUAUUAUAGGUGAAUUGAAAUUUGGAUAAGUAAUUUUAUUGAAUUAGUGAUUAAUCAAGGUAUAAGAACUAAUUAAUAAAAGUUUGGCAAUUAGAGAUUUUUAAUUAGGAAUAAGCAGCAGGGAUUAAUAAGGCAAUUAUACCUUAUUAUUUAUAAUGGACGGUUGUGGCAUGUUUUUCCAAGAAAUUUGUUUAAAAAUUUUAAGUAAAUUAAAAUUAAAGAAAAACAUAAAAUGACAUAUAAUCUGUAUAUGAUAGUUAGGAGGGGGAAGAAAUGAAAAAUGAUUACUUUUAAAAUGUUAAAUAUCAUGAUGGUGGGGGUGCAUGAAAGGCUAUUGGUGGACGAAUAAACUAAGGUGGAGAAAGAAAGAAAGGAUAAAAUUUUCAUUUCACCUCAAUUGGCUUUGAUUUUUAUUACUCGGGGCCGAUUCGAAUGGAGGAGCUAAGGGGAGAUUCGGCUGCAUGGGAGAUGAAAUGAAGCAAUUAGGUUGUUUAUGUAAGAGUUUAAAGCUCGCUAACAAGGAGGAAGGAGGACCAAUUAGUAAUGGGAAGGCCAAGGAUUUGGUAGUUAAAUUUGGCCACGAAAAUUUUUUGUGAUUUUUCUUAAAAAUCCUUUAUUAUUUCCAUGCUUGAAAAUCUUAUCAAUUUUACAUGGAUGAUUUGAUGUUAGUUACAUGGAAAAAAAAAUUUCGUUGCAAAUUACAUGGUUGCUAUUGUUUUGUAUUGGUGAAACUUGUUUAUUUCAGAUUUAGUUGCUAUCCAAUUAGUGCAAAAAUUUCCUGUUGCUCAAGCAAAGUAGAUGUUGUUGCUGUUCAUUUUUAUACUUUUAAUGCUCUAUUUAAGCACCGAAAUUGAAGUGCUUAAAUGCUAUAAAUUGAAGUGUUUAACUACUGUAAAUUGAAGUGUUUAGUUGCUGGAAAUUAAGAUGUUUUAUCGCAGUAAUUGAGGUGUAUAAGUGUUGUUAAUUGGGAUUUUAAAGUGUUGUAAGUUGAGGUGUUUAAAAGUUGUAAAUUAAAGUGUUUAAGUGCUGCAAAUUGAGGUGUACAAAUGAGUUUGAAAUUAGUUAUUGCACUGCAUUUUUGGUGAUCAAAUGUUGUCCAAAAUAAGUUAUAAAAAAUCCAUUUAAUGUUAUUUUAAAACAUGCUAUGUUGUCGUUGUAAGCUGUCCACAUAUUCGUUUAUGAUGUCCAAAUGAUCACAAAUAUAAGUCAUAUUAUUGAUGUAAAAGAAUUCGUUGUAGUGAUGCAAUUUAAGUUGCUUGAAUGUUACAAAUGUAGGUUGGCUAAAUGUGCUUUCAUGUUAAUUUAUUACUCUAUCCUGUUGUUGUUUAUGAUGGUACAAAGAAAGACAUAAUAAGAGUGUUUAUGGUUGAUUAACUACCCUACAUGGUUGUUGUCUCAUGCUGCCCAAAUUGGGACAAAAAUAAGGGUGUCAUUGCUGAUUAAGUGCUCUAUAAGUUUGUUAAUUUUGUGCUGUCCAACAUGGGAAAAAUUAAUGGUGGUGAAGUUAAGUUGAAUAUACAAUUGGUAUAUUUGCGAUGUUGUGGAUGUGGUUUGAGUUGCUAAGAAAUGAAAUGACUAUAAAUUAAAUAAAAUGGUAUGAAUUGUUGUAAGGAUGAUAGUUGGUUGAGAAGCUUGUAAUGCUUGAUAGUAUUGCUUGUAUUAUUAGAUCUGAAUGGUGUCUCUUGGUGCCAAUUAAGGCAAGGUAAUAGAAUUGGUUUUGGUAUAGAAUGUAUAGAUGAAUUGUUGAAGAAUUUGGUUAGUUCUUAUAGGUCUAUUGGACUACCUAAAGGUUACUAUUAGGGAAUGUUUUGAGUUUGAGCAUGAAAUUUGAUACUUAUUGGACCAAUGAUGCACUACACGUCCAUGUAACACCCCCAACUUGAGUCCGUUGCCGGAUUAGAGUUACGAGGCAUUACAGAUUAAAACCCAACUAAAAUUUUUAUUAUUAUAAAUUAUACUAACUCAACCACGAAAUUUCAUUCCAUAUAUAUAUACAUAUAUAUAUAAACACAUAACCAAUUAAAAUCAAACAUGCAUCAUAAAUCAAAUUACAUAUACUAACCAUCUCUCAAAAUUUCAACCAUAUCAUUAUCAUUUACCUAAUCAAAAUUUAUUAUCAUUCAAAUUCUUAAAACAUUUCCAAACAUAUAUGAUUAAAUAUCAAAAUCCAAACAUAUAUCCAAAUAUUUAUUUGUACACAUAUUUCAUUUCAAGUUACUAACUAUACUACAUAUUACAACAUAGGUGGUCUACCAUAUUUGGACAAUUAUUAUACAUCAAUUUGAACAGCAUUUAUAUACCAAACUAGAUAGCAUUUUCACACCAAAAUUUGGACAGCAUAUAUACAAAAUUUGGACUACAUUUAUACAUCAAAAUUUGACAGCAUAUGCAUAUAUAAUUGGACUGCAUUUAUACAUCAAAAAUUGACAGCAUAUACAUAAAUAAUUGGACUGCAUUUGUACAUCAAAAUUUGACAGCAUAUACAUAUAUAAUUGGACUGCAUUUGUACAUCAAAAUUUGACAGCAUAUACAUAUAUAAUUGGACUGCAUUUAUACACCAAAAUUUGAUAGCAUAUACAUAUAUAAUUGGACUGCAUUUGUACAUCAAAAUUUGACAGCAUAUACAUUCAUUUACUCUAUCAAUAAGCCAAACGUAAUUAAUCACCAACAUUACAAGCAUACUUCAAUUUAUAAAUCAUCCCCUAUAAUCACUUAACNNNNNNNNNNNNNNNNNNNNNNNNNNNNNNNNNNNNNNNNNNNNNNNNNNNNNNNNNNNNNNNNNNNNNNNNNNNNNNNNNNNNNNNNNNNNNNNNNNNNNNNNNNNNNNNNNNNNNNNNNNNNNNNNNNNNNNNNNNNNNNNNNNNNNNNNNNNNNNNNNNNNNNNNNNNNNNNNNNNNNNNNNNNNNNNNNNNNNNNNNNNNNNNNNNNNNNNNNNNNNNNNNNNNNNNNNNNNNNNNNNNNNNNNNNNNNNNNNNNNNNNNNNNNNNNNNNNNNNNNNNNNNNNNNNNNNNNNNNNNNNNNNNNNNNNNNNNNNNNNNNNNNNNNNNNNNNNNNNNNNNNNNNNNNNNNNNNNNNNNNNNNNNNNNNNNNNNNNNNNNNNNNNNNNNNNNNNNNNNNNNNNNNNNNNNNNNNNNNNNNNNNNNNNNNNNNNNNNNNNNNNNNNNNNNNNNNNNNNNNNNNNNNNNNNNNNNNNNNNNNNNNNNNNNNNNNNNNNNNNNNNNNNNNNNNNNNNNNNNNNNNNNNNNNNNNNNNNNNNNNNNNNNNNNNNNNNNNNNNNNNNNNNNNNNNNNNNNNNNNNNNNNNNNNNNNNNNNNNNNNNNNNNNAUUUUCUCAAUUUAGCACUAAUUACUCAAAUUCACCAAAAAUUCAGAGACAAAACAUGCUAAUCUUACAAUUAUAUUUCAUAUUUCAUCAACUAGCAUCAUGAAACUCAAACAUUCAUCAAUGGCACAUUUCAAAAUCAUCAACAAUUCACAAAAUUAAGACAUGGGUUUUGAAGUAUUCAAAGCAACGAUCUCAAAAACGUAAAAAUUAUCAAAAAAAAAAAUCAUACUUCAAUCAAGCUUACAAGUGCCGAAUAUAUUAAAGCUUUUAAACAAUCUUCUUUGUUCUUAGUUUAGGCCAAAAGAUGGAGAAAUAAUGCUUUAAUUUUAAUAUAUUAAACAUACACUAACAUUAAUAAUUAGUUUACUUUAUUAACCUUUAUAUAAAUAAAUAUAUACAUAUAUAUAUAAGGCUAUACUUGUACUUUGCCACCCACGAACUAUAUUUUGGCCUUAUUACAUCAUAAAUACUCCAUUUAAUAAAGACAACAACAAAUUGGUUCCUUUAGAUUUAACCCCUAAAUUUUCGUUUUACGCGAUUAAGCCAUUUUCUUUAAUCAAUCUCUCAAACGAUAAAAUUAAAACACGAAAAUUUCAUACAAUUAAAUUCACACAUCAUAAACACACAAAAUAAUAUUAAAAUAUUUUUCUAAUUCGGAUUUAUGGUCCCAAAACCACUGUUCCGAUUAGGGUCAAAAUUGGGCUGUUAUAACUCUCCCCCCUUAGGAAUUUUCGUCCCCGAAAAUCUUACCGGUGAAUAGGUUUGGAUAACGUUCUUUCAUUGUAUCUUCUGACUCCCAAGUUGCUUCUUCAACUCUGUGUUUAUGCCAAAGUACUUUGACUAAUGGAAUUUUCUUAUUUCGUAAUUCUUUAACCUCACGAGCCAGAAUGCUAAUCGGUUCUUCUUUAUAUGACAUAUCAGAGUUAAUUUCAAUCUCGGUCGGACUAUUCACAUGCGAAGGAUCGGAUCUGUAUCUACGAAGCAUCGAAACAUGGAAUACAUUGUGAAUCUUUUCUAACUCAGAUGGCAACAAUAAUUUAUAAGCAACCGACCCGAUACGCUCUAUAAUCUCAUACGGUCCAAUGAAUCUCGGACUUAAUUUACCUUUGUGACCAAAUCUAAGUAUUUUCUUCCAUUGGUGAAACUUUCAAAAACACUUUGUCCCCGAUCUGAAAUUCUAUAUCUUUUCUUUUCAAAUCCGCAUAGGAUUUCUGAUGAUCUGAUGCUGAUUUCAGACUGUCCCGAAUCACUUUCACUUUCUGUCCAGUCUCUUUAAUCAAACCGACCCCGUGUAUCUUAUUUUCACUGAGCUCGGUCCAAUAUAAUGGUGUACGACAUUUACGACAGUACAAAGCCUCGUAAGGUGCCAUUUUGAUACUAGAUUGAAAGCUAUUAUUAUAAGCAAAUUCAAUCAAAGGUAAGUAUCAUUCCCACUUACCUUCAAACUCUAGAAUGCAACAUCUCAACAUAUCCUCAAGUAUCUGAAUGAUUCGCUCAGAUUGACCUUCUGUUUGCGGAUGGAAAGCUGUGCUAAAAUGUAGUUUCCUACCUAAAGCAUCUUGUAAUUUCUUCCAAAACCGCGAUGUGAACCUCGGGUCUCUGUCCAAAACAAUAGAAAUAGGUACACCGUGCAAUCUCACAAUUUGUGAAACAUACAAUUCAACAAGUUUAUCAAGUGAAAAAUCAGUACGAACUGGAACAAAGUGAGUCGAUUUUGUUAAUCUAUCAACAAUAACCCAGAUUACAUCUUUCUUGCUCGGUGACAAUGGCAAACCGGAUACAAAAUCCAUUGUGACUCGGUCCCAUUUCCACUCGGGAAUCAUAAUAGGCUGAAGUAAUCCAGACGGCACUUGAUGUUCGACUAUAACUUGCUGACAAAUUAAACAUUUCGAAACAAAGUCAGAAAUGUCUCGUUUCAUACCGUGCCACCAAUAGUGUUGUUUCAGAUCGUUAUACAUUUUCGAACUACCUGGAUGAAUAGAAAAUCGACUAUUAUGAGCUUCAUUCAAGAUCAUCUGAAUUAACUAUGAACUUUUCAGAAAACAUAUUCGAUUUCUAAAUCUCAAACAAUCCUCAGCAUCAACUAAAAACUCUGAAUUAGCUUUUAAAUCACAUUGGGCCCAUUUUGCAAUUAAAUCAUCAUUGGCUUUCUGAGCUUCAUAAAUUAGUUGAACAAAUAACGGUUUUUCUUUCAACUCAGCUACUAUCGCACCAUUACCAGACAUAGCCAGAUACGUGUUCAUUGCACGCAAAGCAAAUAAUGACUUUCGACUUAGGGCAUCAGCAACAACAUUAGCUUUUCCCGGAUGAUAGUCAAUAACAAGCUCGUAAUCUUUUAGCAAUUCUAACCAUUUGCGCUGUCUCAAAUUUAGAUCUUUCUGAGUCAUCAAAUACUUCAGGCUUUUGUGAUCGGAAUAAACAUGACAUUUUUGCCAAACAGAUAGUGGCGCCAUAUUUUCAAUGCAAAUACAAUAGCGACCAAUUCCAGAUCGUGCGUCGGAUAGUUCUUUUCGUGCGACUUUAAUUGUCUCGAGGCAUAGGAUACAACUUUGCCUUCCUACAUCAAAACACAGCCCAAACCAUUUAAAGAUGCAUCACUAAAAAUAACAAACUCUUUACCUGAUUCUGGCUAAACUAAGACUGGAGCUUCAGUCAAAAGAACUUUCAACUGAUCGAAACUUUUCUGGCACUUUUCUGACCACUCAAACUUAACGUCUUUUCGUAGUAGCUUUGUCAUCGGGGUCGCAAUCAGGGAGGACCCUUUCAUGAACCGUCUAUAAUAACCUACGAGCCCUUGAAAGCUUCAAACUUCAAAGACAUUUCUCGGAGGUUUCCAAUCAAGUAUAGCUGAAAUUUUACUCGGAUCAACCCGAAUACCCGAUGUUGAUACAACAUGACCCAGAAAACUGACUUCGCGUAACCAGAACUCCCAUUUACUGAACUUUGCAUACAAUUAUUUAUCUCGCAAAGUUUGUAACACAAGUCUCAAAUGUUCGGCAUGCUCAGUUUCGUCACGAGAGUAGAUCAAAAUAUCAUCUAUAAAUACUACCACAAACUAGUCUAGAUACUGUCUAAAGAUCCGAUUCAUCAAAUCCAUGAAAAUAGCAAGUGCGUUAGUAAGUCCGAAAGGCAUAACCAAGAACUCAUAAUGUCCGUACCUCGUUCGGAAAGCUGUCUUUGGCACAUCAGAGUCUUUAACUCGCAACUGAUAGUAACUUGAUCUCAAAUCUAUUUUUUUGAAAACACUGAAGCCCCUUUAGCUGAUCGAACAAAUCAUCAAUAUGUGGUAACAGAUAUUUAUUCUUUAUAGUCACCUUAUUGAGCUACUGGUAAUCAAUACACAUUCUCAUCAUUCCGUCUUUCAUUUUCACAAAUAGAAUUGGUGCACCCCAAGGAGAGAAACUCGGUUGUGCGAAAACCUUAUCUGUCAACUCUUGCAACUGUGCUUUUAACUCUUUUAAUUCAGUCGGUGCCAUACGGUACGGAGCUAUCGAAAUUGAAGUCGUCCCUGGUACUAACUCAAUACAAAACUCUACCUCUCGUGUAGGCGGCAAACCUGGCAAUUCUUCGGGAAACACAUAUGAAUACUCACACACAACUGAUAGAGAUUCAAUCUUCUUUUCGGUCACUUUACUAUCAAGAACAUAUGCAAGAUAAGCUUCACACCCUUUCUUCACAUACUUUUGAGCCAACAUCGAGGAUAUCACUGCUAGUAAACCAUUCAGAUCAUUAGAUUCAAUCCGAAUAAUCUCGUCAUUCAGGCACCUUAAAUUGAUAGUCUUUCUUUUGCAGUUAACCACAGCAUCGUGUAAAGUCAACCAGUCUAUACCCAAAAUUAUACCGAACUCGUCAAAUGGUAACAACAUCAAAUUAGCCGAAAAACACAAAUCUCGAAUCAUCAAGGGACAAUUCUUACACACUUUGUCGACCAAAAGACACCGGCCCAGGGGGUUUGAUACUUUAAUUACAAACUCAGUAGACUCAACAAGUAGAAUCUUACUGAAUACUAAGGUAUCACACACAUAAGAAUGAGUCGAACCAGGAUCAAUCAACGCAAUAACAUUGGAAUCAUAAAGAGUGAAAAUACCAGUAAUGACGUCUGGGGAUGAAGCCUCCUCACGUGCGUGAAUGGCAUAGGCUCUAGCAGGUGCGCGUGCCUCGGAUCUAACAGCUGUAUCUUUAGUCCCCCUCUAACUGCCACUCAUAUUACACGCGUUUCUGGGUGGUCUACCCCUAGCUGCAGUGUUACCCGAUCUCGUAUUCUGUACCGAAUUUUGAUCCGAUAACUCUGGGCACUCACGAAUGAAAUGAUCCCUCGAUCCACAUUUAAAACAGGCUAGAUCAUGCAAUCUGAAACUACCGGAAUGUCGUUUAACGCAAUGUUCACACUCGGGUUGAUUUGAUCUGACAUUACCCACACUCGCUACUGAAGUAGCUCUCGAGCUCACAGGCGGUCUUUCCCAAUCUCGUCGUGAAUACCCCGUAACAGUCUUUGAACGGCUAGUAUCAUCUCGAAAAUUCCUUGAGGUCGACUGAAAUGACUUAGUAAAUGAUCUUUUACAGGAAUCUCUAGCUUCAAAGUCAGCUUUUCUCUUCUCUUUUCCGAGCUCCUCGGCUUUACAAGCUCGUUCAACAAGUACCACGAACUCUUUUAUCUCAAGUAUGCCAACUAACAAUUUAAUAUCUUCAUUCAGCCCAUCUUCAAAUCUUUUACACAUAAUAGCUUCAGUCGAAACACACUCUCGGGCAUACCUACUAAGUCUCACAAACUUUCGCUCAUAUUCUGUCACUGUCAUCUAACCCUGUUUCAAUUUAAAAAAUUCCUUGCGUUUCUGAUCAAUGAAUCUCUCACUGAUGUAUUUCUUACGGAACUCAGUCUGAAAUAAUUCCCAGGUCACUCGCUCUUUCUGAACCACCGAUACUAGCGUAUUCCACCAGUGAUAUGCAGUGUCCCGUAGCAAAGAUAUGGCACAUUUCAAGCACUCAUCAGGGUGCAAGAUAACUCAUCAAACACUCGAAUAGUAUUAUCGAGCCAGAAUUUAUCUCGCUCGCAUCAUCAUUAUCAGUGGCUCUGAACUCUUCGGCCCCGUGUUUUUGAAUUUUAUCAACAGGAGGCUUAAGUAAUCUCAUCGGAUCACUUACUUGAGGUAUAAUAGGAACCGAAGAUGGAUUAAUCGGGGGUGGAGGUUGUUUUGCAGCCGAAUUAGUCUGGAUAUAUUGAGUAAACCAGUCGUUCAUCAUUUGGUAGAAGGCUUGUUGGCCUCUCCAUCCUGGUUACUCGAGGUCGGUCUAGAAUCUACCGGCUCUGUCCCUUGCACAGGAGCAGGCGCUAUACUCUCAACAUCAUCAGCUACGGCUCAAUCGGGAUCCAUUACUAUAUGAAAACACAUUUUUAGAUGUCAGAAGUCAUCACACCAUCUCAGUAUAAAAAUAUGGCAUGUAUAGCUAGACUCAUACAUGCUACGUUAGUCCUAGAAUCGACUAAACCGUAGCUCUGAUACCAAUCAAAUGUAACACCCCCAACUCGAGUCCGUCGUUGGAUUAGAGUUACGAGGCAUUACAGAUCAAAACCCAACUCAAAGUGUUUUUUUAUAAAUUAUACUAACUCAACCACGAAAUUUCAUUCCAUAUAUAUAUAUACAUAUAUAUAAACACAUAACCAAUUAAAAUCAAACAUGCAUCAUAAAUCAAAUUACAUAUACUAACCAUCUCUCAAAAUUUCAACCAUAUCAUUAUCAUUUACCUAAUCAAAAUUUAUUAUCAUUCAAAUUCUUAAAACAUUUCCAAACAUAUAUGAUUAUAUAUCAAAAUCCAAGCAUAUAUCCAAACAUUUAUUUUACACAUAUUUCAUUUCAAGUUACUAACUAUACUACAUAAUACAACAUAGGUGGUCUACCCUAUUUGGACAAUUAUUAUACAUAAAUUUGAACAACAUUUAUAUACCAAACUAGAUAGCAUUUUCACACCAAAAUUUGGACAGCAUAUAUACAAAAUUUGGAUUGCAUUUAUACAUCAAAAUUUGACAGCAUAUGCAUAUAUAAUUGGACUGCAUUUAUACAUCAAAAAUUGACCGCAUAUACAUAAAUAAUUGAACUGCAUUUGUACAUCAAACUUUGACAGCAUAUACAUAUAUAAUUGGACUGCAUUUGUAAAUCAAAAUUUGACAGCAUAUACAUAUAUAAUUGGAUUGCAUUUAUACAUCAAAAUUUGAUAGCAUAUACAUAUAUAAUUGGACUGCAUUUGUACAUCAAAAUUUGACAGCAUAUACAUUCAUUUACUCUAUCAAUAAGCCAAACGUAAUUAAUCACCAACAUUACAAGCAUACUUCAAUUUAUAAAUCAUCCCCUAUAUUCACUUAACUACUAAAUCCAACCAAAUCAUAUAUAUUUCAUAUAUAAUACAUAACCUAGACACUUAACAUUACUUAUCUUAAUGAAUAUAACAACUUAAUUACUUCAACCACAUAAUUACGGAAACACUUGAAUGAAAUCACCAAGCACAUAUAUAUAUACAUUACCAUAUAAAUACUAACCAUAAAAUACUAAUCCAUGAUGAAAGUAUGCUUAAACCAUAAUUCACCCCAAAACCGAAGACAAAUAAGAAAAUCAAGCCAUUUUCGCAUGGCUUAAUAUUACAUCAUCUAAAUUCAAGCAUUUCAGCUACGCUAUACAUGCCAUAGGAUCUAAUCCAAAAUUUACAAAAUACCGAGAGGAGUCGAUAGUGUGAUAAUCUUCUCUGACGAUCCCCGAGCUCAUAACUAACUUCCAAAAUCUAUAAAAAUGAAGAACAACAUACACACAAUAAGCUAUUUAAGCUUAGUAAGUCAUAAGCAAACAUUAUUCAUUUUAACAUUAAUAUUAAACCAAUCAAAUCAAAUAUAAAUAAACAUUUAACUUUAAUAGCUUAAUGCACAAAUACUCCAAUUAUUGUAUAAUUAUCAAAAUAUAAUUUAAAAGCUACAAUAAUAAGCCAAACUACCAAUCACUUAUAAGCACAAACAUGCUCACAUAUUGUUCAUAUAUCAAAUAACUUUGUAUCAUCAAUUCAAUAUACAACUUACCUUAAUUUCAUAGCAUGAUAUAAAUACAUACCUGAACACUAUUAUUGUUUCGAUUUCACAUUCGGUCUUCCCUUAACAUUGCCUGUUGAACCGUUCAGAAUUAAAAAGGAUACACGGAUAAUUAAAAAGCUAGUACAAUGCCAACAUCCCAGAUGUAGUCUUACAUGUAAUCACAUACCGAUGCCACUGUCCCAGACAGGGUCUUACACGAAAACACAAGUCGAUGUUGACGUCCCAGACGUGGUCUUACACGAAAACACAUAUCGGAGUCCUAUGUCAUGACAAAAGUAUCCUAUCUAUUCCUAGGGUUCGUACGGGGCUUUUAGGCAUUGAUUAUCGAUCGAAUCGAACUCGAAAGAAAAUUCCUAUCUUAAUAAUCAUUUUCGGCCAAAACAUAUAACAAAUAAAUAAUUUAAUUUAUCACUUUUCAUUUAUAUAUUCUUGAAUUUAACAACAUUUAAAUGCUUAUCGACUUACCUCGGAUGUCUUCGACUGCUAAAUCAACUACUCGACCACUUUUGUCUUUCCCCGAUCCAAAUUCGAUUUCUUUAAUUCUUGAUCUAAAAAUAUUCAAAUUAAGCUUAUUUAAACACCAUUCUAUUCAAUUUACCCUAAAAACACAUGAAUGGGCAAAUUACAAUUUUGCCCCUAAAAUUUCACACAUUUUACAAUUUAAUCAUUUUUGCUCAAAACACAAAAUACACAAAUUUUGACUACACUCCUUGAGGGCCGAAUAUUCCUAGUGCCUAUACAAGCUCAUGCAUUUCAUUUAUUUCACAUUAUAGUCCUUCAAAAAUCUAUUUUCUUAAUUUACCCCUAAUUACUCAAAUUCACCAAAAAUUCAAAGACAAAACAUGUUAAUCUAACAAUUAUAUUUAAUAUUUCAUCAACUAACAUCAUGAAACUCAAACAUUCAUCAAUGGCACAUUUCAAAAUCAUCAACAAUUCACAAAAUUAAGACAUGGGUUUUGAAGUAUUUAAAGCAACGAUCUCAAAAACGUAAAAAUUAUAAAAAAACAAAAUUCAUACCUCAAUCAAGCUUGCAAGUGCCGAAUAUAUUAAAGCUUUUAAAAAAUCUUCUUUGUUCUUAGUUUCGGCCAAAAGAUGGAGAAAUAAUGCUUUAAUUUUAAUAUAUUAAACAUACACUAACACUAAUAAUUAGUUUACUUUAUUAACCUUUAUAUAAAUAAAUAUAUACAUAUAUAUAAGGCUAUACUUGUACUUUGCCACCCACGAACUAUAUUUUGGCCUUAUUACAUCAUAAAUACUCCAUUUAAUAAAGACAACAACAAAUUGGUUCCUUUAGAUUUAACCCAUAAAUUUUCAUUUUACGCGAUUAAGCUAUUUUCUUUAAUCAAUCUCUCAAACGACAAAAUUAAAACACGAAAAUUUCACACAAUUAAAUUCACACAUCAUAAACACACAAAAUAAUAUUAAAAUAUUUUUUUAUUCGGAUUUGUGGUCCCGAAACCAUUGUUCUGAUUAGGGUCAAAAUUGGGCUGUUACAGUCCGUGUGACUCUUGUUUUGAACAAUUGCUUUAUUAUCUUGAAAAUGUUACAAUUUAGUCCUUGUUUAUUCUCGAAACGUCCGUAAGCUAGAUUUUAAACCUGUUUUUGUUUUUAAAGCAUGAUUUGUGUCAAUGCAAACGAUUAUUCAAUGAUUAAUUGAAUUUUGGAGUUUACAGGUCACAAAUUUGGAGAUGAUUAUGUGACAACUAGUUGGUAUGACUAUAAAUGCAAUACUGAAGGAUUAUGUUCUUAUAAUAUAAUUUAACUUAUUAAGCUGCUUACAAACCUUUUUUAUUUUAUUUUAUUUAUGUCUUUUUAUAGUGUACUUCAUGUUAUAAUAUUAGUUAUAGAAAUGCCACUGAGUUGAUUACUCAGUGUUUAAUUUGAUUUCCAUAUGCAAGUUGGGUUCAAUCGUGUGUAUUCAUGGUUAUUAGCAUCCAACAAAAAAUCUCACACUCAUAGAGUGGGUGAAAUUUUUUGUUAGUCUGGUCAGUAUGUACUUAUAGGGUUUUAUGUGAUAUUAAGCUUAGUUGGCAAAAUAUUUCAUACUUUGAAAUAUUCUAUAAAUUGACAUACAUAAUAGUUGUUAAUGGUAUGUACUAUGUAUUUGUUUUAGUGUUGAUGUUGCUAUGUGAGUUAUUAGAUGAGGUUAUAAUGUUUUUAAUUUGAAUCAAUAUAUAUAUUUAAUAAGGAUGCAUGAAAUGAAAUGAAUAAAGAAGUUAAUAGUUGAGAUAUUGGUAUACUAAACAGGACAUGGCUUUGGGUCUAAAUGUAUGAUUUGAAUUCAUUAUGGAACGAUUGAUGUUAGUUGCUCCGACAACAAAUGUGAUAUCUCAUUCCUCGGACCCAACGAUUGGGUCAGGUAAUGGGGUGUUACAAAAGUUCUUCAACUUUUGGGUUUUCAAGUUUAUACUUGGAAGGUUAAUUUUCAUUCUUUACCAUUAGUUUUUUUAUUGAAAUGUAGUUCUUUAGGGGGACAAUCUUCCAUCAUACUCCUUUUCCAAUUCUAUUUCGUUCUUUUAUAUUGUGUUACUAAUUUCACAUUGUAAUCUUUGUUUCAUUUCUUUAUGUUAGCUUUGGGUUCCAUUAGAUUCAAACAAGCCUUUAAAGUCCAAGUUGUGUUUAUCUUUCCAUUUUUAUUUAAAAUCGCCUACAUCUUGUCUCAUUAUUUCUUUAAAACAUUUUCAUUUUAUCUUAUUUAUCCCUUGUUUAAUAUUAUCAUUUGUUUCCUUUCAUAUUAGCACCAAGAGCUUGAAAUAACAAAUCCUUAUCCUUGGGCAUCUACGAACCUUAUCCGUACUACUCAACCUUAUCCUUUCCCAUUCUUGUCUUUCAUCUUUGCUUUAAUUAUUUUGUAGCACCCCACAUCCAACCCGAACAGCAGAUUCAAAUGUAAGAUGUCACAUCUAUUGCCGGGACAAUUCAAACUACUUCAUUAUGUCAUGCUAAGUAAUUGAGUUUAAAACAUUUUAAUAAAAUCAUGGUAAAUGAACAGAUUUGAUUUUAAGACUUUAAAUUCAUACUGAAAUCAUUUAAAAUUGGUUCUUAGAGGUUCAAAGUUGUCUAGGAUUAAAAAUGGGCCUCGAAAGGUUAAAAGGUUCAAAAUAGUACAGUGACCUUGUACAAGACACUAUGGUAUCAAUACAAGUCCCCAAUUGCAUUGAUUCAAGUCUCUAGUACUAUAGCUUUUUGCAUUCUGACCUACUUGUUGCGUUACAAGAAGGCCUAACUACUAAUACAACUAUCCCAUGACUCUAAUAUUACCUUAAAACUCACUAGUUUUGACGCCCACACACUCCAAUAUCAAUACCUUGACUUAUAGGGCUCAAGAAUUUGGUUUAAAACAUUAUAUACAAUUAUCAAAACACCUCUAAACAUAGUAGCAUAAUCAUACUUCAAGAAUAACCAUUUACAAUUUCUCUAAUCAUUAUAUAAGACUCACACAAUCUCCUAGAUUUAGAUUCAUGUCAUUUACUUAUCAAUUUCAAAUUAAACAUUACAAGGGAUUUAUUGAGCUGAGAUAUGCCUUUGGUUGCCAACAAACCUCAAAGAAAUUCAAACUCACUUGGUACUUACGCAUGCAAAACAAACAUAUCCGCAUACUGAGCAUUAAAAGCUCAAUGGUACUAACACAAUUUGAUUUCAAUACACAAAAGUAUCAAGUAAAGAAGUAUACUAUAUUAACAUUAUAUUAUGUCACUAAACCAAGUACGAAAUUGUUCAACAAUGAUCAUAUAUUUGCAUAUCAUUAUAUCAAUUCACCCUCAAGGUAUUUAACUUGCAUAAUCAAUGGUCUUUCAUGUAUCAUUUCUCAUUGUCAUUAUGUAAUCUGUAAUCACAGGUCAUUAUACUAAUGCACCAUUUCAUCAAACACGUAUCCAAUUUUCGAUGCACCUUUAGGGUAUUUUCAUCAACAUAUUCUUAUGAUCAUUCGCAUAUCAUUUUUCCUAGCUUUCAUUAUAUAUACACAUAACAGAUUCAAAAAUAGGAAUUCACCUUUAGGAUAUUCAAAACAAUGUUACCUCCAUAUAUACACCUAACACAAGGUCACAUAUAUCUUAUUAAUCAAGUUUCAUUUAUGUAUAUCAACCCUUUUUAACUAUAUGCAAAGUCAAGUACAAAUACCUGAAUUAAUCCAUCAAUAUAAGUUCACGAUCUUCUAAAAAUUAAAGCUAAUGAUAUGUAGAAUUCAUAUAUCAAUAUAUGCUCACCACCCUUUUAAGAAUUGGAGCUAAUGAUAUGUACUCAACCUAUCCAGAAUUAGAGUAUUACUCUUGACCCCUUUGGGAAUUGGAGCCAAUGUUUUGUACUCGACCCCUCUAGGAAUUAGAGUAUCAUUCUCUACCCCUUCGAGAAUUGGGGAACUCAGGUCCCAUCCUCUGGGAAUUAGAAAUUAAAUAAAAUGCGCUUAGCACUAAAAUGUUCUCAAACAAAUCGAAUCCUAAAAUAUACAAACUAUACUCGUAUCUCUAUUCGACAUCGUUAAUAUGACUUUCCUAAUGUCAUUUAGCCUUAUAACAUAAUUCAAUAUGGUUCACUUCAUAAUAUCAAAUAUAACUCAUCCAAGAUCAUAAUAAAACCUUUAUACACUUACUAACAACUUACGUUACAUGUUCAAAUCAACAAAUCAAUAGCACACAUUCUUGUCAACAAUCACCACUAAUGCAAUAUAUAUACAUUCAAUUAUAUAUAUGUUUGAUUACUUGUAACUUUAUGUAAAUAAUACAAAUUAUAUUAGCACGAGUUGAAUAUGUUACUCAUGUUUUACCAACAAUUUUAUUUAAUUACUAUUUGAUUAAAUAUGCUUAGCUAUUGAAUAUUAUUUAUAGAGUUAAACUUAACUUUUAAUUGGUAUAUAUGAUAAUUAAUAGAUAAAAUAUUUUAUCUAUUUCGUGCUUAAAAUUUUAUUCAAAUUAAAACUCAAAUUUAAAUAAUUUUUUUUAAAUUGAUCUACCAUACUUAAAUUAUAAAUUUAUUUAUUAAAUCUAGAUUAUUAAAUUAUAAGUUGAGCUUUACGUAGACAUUUUUAAAUACUUAAAUUAUAAAUUUAACUAUUAACUAUUAAAUAUUAAAUUAUAAGUUGAGCUUUACGUCAACAUCUUUUUAAUAUUUAAAUUAUAAAUUAACUAUUAAACCUAAAAUAUUAAAUUUUAAGUUGAGCUUUAUAUUAAUAUUCUUUUAGCUAACUAUUAAUUAUAAAUUAAUUUAUAAUUAAAUAUUAUUAUUUAAUCAAUGGUAAUGAUAAAUACAAUGAUUAUAAAUUAUAAAUGAAUUUUUUUUAAGAUUUUAAGAUGUCAAUUUAGUAAUAUGAUGAAAAAAUAAAGAUAUUUUUAUUGAUUCAAAAGUUUUUUCAAACUCGUGCUUUUAUUUUGGAUAGUUUUAAAUGAAAGACAAACAUGGUAAGUUGAAUAUCUCAUUUUAAAUUUUUUUUUCAAAAUUUUUAAUAAAAUAAAAUCAACGUAAUAUUGUGAUAAUGAGCUACCUACCUACUUAUUGUUGGGGAUCGACUCGAUUAAGCAACGAACAAAUAAAAACAGCGGAAGAAAUUGAGAAAGUAAAUACACAAAUUUAACGUGGAAAAACCCCUCCAAAGAGGAUAAAAUGUAACAUCCCAAAAACCGGGUUUGAAGAAAUUGAGUUUUGAACCCCAGAGUGGUUACGUUCUGAGUUUGAGUUUGGAUUUUGAAAUUUUGACAAGUGAAUUUGAUUUGGUUUAGUGGUUAAAUGUUCUGGUUAUGUAUGUGACAUUUUGGGUUCGAAUCCCAUCUUUUGAAAUUUUGCUAUUUUGACUAAACUCUAUCUUUGGACAUAUGGGUUAUAGGUUAUUUUCGAUCAAAUGAUGACAAGAAUGAGUUUGCUAGUUUAAUGGUUAAGCUUUUGUAUACCCUUUGGUCUUGUGUUCGGAUCUCCGCGAAUGUAAUAUGAAUUUUUUUUAUUUUACUGCCUCGUGAGGUAACUUUGGUAGGUUUUAAAUUAAUCUAAGUCUCUCAACUUCUUUUUUUCCUGCUAUAUUUUUUUUGUUCUUUUUGUUCUUAACUAUUGUUCUUUUCUCUUCUCUUUUAUUUGUCAAGUUCUUCCACCGACGAUUUUCUGUUGAAUCAUUAUGGCAUCGGUUCUUGUAACUUCCUUACACUGUUCAUCUAUAAUCAGUCGUGUAAGUAUUCUUUGUCAAGUUCCAGCGUGAGUUUGUUGUUGGAUGGAAUAGCGAUUUAUUUUCUGUGAGGAAAAUGUUGACUUGCGUAACUCUUUGUUAGGCGAAGGUCUCAAGUUUAACGUUCUCUCAAUGACUUAAGGUAUUCAAAAUUGUAGUUCGAUUAUCGGUGUUGGGAUCACUUUGGCUGCUUCUACAUUGAAUUUGUAUCAGGUGGGUAACCCAAAACCCAAAUUUAUGCAAUUUGUGAACGCCAGAAAUCAUGGCCUUCGACACCACACGAUUGUGUGUUAGGCCGUGUGGUAGGCUGUGUGUGUCACACGGCCAACACGGCCAAGGACACGGGCGUGUGUCCAGGCCAUGUGUCGAGCCUUGUGGUAGACCGUGUAGGCACUAUUUUGGCCAACAUCGCCAGGGACACGAGUGUGUGUCUAGGCCAUGCUCAAGACUGUUUUACAUUAGAGGCAUAUAGCCCAGCAACACAGGCGUGUGUCCAAGCCGUGUGUAAGAAUUUAGGGAUUAAGUCACAUGGGUGUGUACUAGGUCAUGUGAUAGACCGUGUAACUCACUAUUUUAGGUCACACGACCAUGUGAUAGGUCGAGUGUCAAGCUGUAUGUGACAGUAAAGGGGCUACACGGACGUGUGCUAGGUUGUGUGGACCACACGGGUCAGCUACCCAGGCCGUGUGGAUCCACAUGAGCGUAUAGGUCAAGAUUCUAAAAUUUUCCUUAAGGCCGUGAUCGUCAUUCGGAUCGAACGUAGGCCUUCUAGAGGGUCCGUAUGAUCUGUAUUAAGCUACAAACCUCAAUAUUUAUUGAUCUGUUAGUGUAUAAUCUACUAUAUAUAUGUGUGUCCACUCUGAUAUAAGUUAAGUAAUGAUGACUUGCUAAUGUAUAGUGUGCCUCUGUUUAGAUGUGUUAAGGUAUGUGCCUUAUCUAGGUAUGUUCCGUAUUCUACUAAGUUUGUUGGUGUACCUUUGCGUCGCUCUGUUGCUUAAGAAUAUGUGAUAUCAGAAUAUGUUAAAUUAAUUGGCACUGAUUCUGAUGCUGAUUUGUAACCAUGCAUGUGACUUUGUGGCAAAUCUGAUCUGAUCUGUUGAAGUUUAAUAAAUUUAUUUUACAAAUCAUGGACUUCCAUGCCUAUUGAUUCUGUUGUUGUACAAUAGCAUGACCUACAUGUUUAUCACUCUUGUUUUGUGUGUACAUGCCAUGACACAUGGCAUAGGAUUUUGGAUGAUGUUAAAGAAGUAAGAUUUUGUACUGGCAGUUUAAUGAUCUACGUAUUUAGUAGCUUGACCAUAUAUAUUCGAUUUGGUAGUUUAACUGCAUAUUGAUAAGCCAUUGUUGUCAGGCAACCUGGGGUGACGGGUCAUCAUUGCUGGGUAACCCGAGAUGACUUUAGUGGUGUGUUUUGGGUGGUUGAGUUCAUAGUGGAACUCUAAUUUGGUGUGUAGUGGAGUUAGGUAGGACGUUUUUUUAAAAAAUCUACAUUAUUUUUUUCUGCAAAUACUGCAUUGGCAUAGACUCACAUCCUCGUUUUUAUUCUGUUAUGUUCGUAUCUAUUCUGUUAUGUUCUUUUUGUUCUGUUGGACUAUCAUUUUUAUAAUAUCAUUGAUAUUCUGAUCUGUAUCGUUCUAGGUAUAUGAUUUGUUUCAUUCUGGUUAUAUGAUCACUAUUAAGUUCUCUGCAUUACUUCGAAUUAUAUGUUCUGUUUUAUUGAUUUGUAUUUGGGGUUGGUUUUACAUUGUGCUUUGUAGCUGACCCUUUUUGUCUUAUUCUUGUUUGUUUAGGUAAAUCUCUGAUUUAGGAUCGGACGGUGUGUGGAGCUCAGAUUAUUUUUACCCUGAUGUAAAUAUGUUUUAAUCUUUUUUGGUUUGUAAUCUGUUUCUUAACUCACCUUGGUUUUUGCUAAUCUAGUUAGUAACUGAUAAUUUCUAACACGAAAUUAUAAAAUCACUUAAGUCAAGUAAAAUGGAUUUCGAUUUUCAAAGUUAAGACCCCAAAAAUAUUUUCAUUACACAUCAAGUAAUAGUUUGAGUGUUUUCUAAAAUAUUGUCGAAACCAGAUUUUAGUGUGUUCAUGUAACCCCUCCAAAUUUGGUCUAAACUUUCAGGCUGGGUUUGGGGUGUUACAUUUUAUGGUAUCAAAGCCAGAUUUACAAAACUCGACUGUGGUUUUCGAGUUUAGAACUAUUUUCAAAAAAUGUUUUAAGUAAUUGAAACUUCUGACUGACUUUGUUUAAGGCUUUUUAAAAGUAUGUGUUCAGAUUUUGAUUAUUUUUGAGUCUAUAAAUAGAAAAUCCAAGACUCCGAUGCCGAUCCUGUAACUAUCUCUACCUUAGCUAAAACUGUGGAAAUUCUGUAAAAAUCUCUAUUAAAGCUUCAGACUUAGUAUUGUUAAUAAACCUAAGCUAACUCAUAAAAUUCUGAAACUGUAGACUAGUAUGAUACGUAUACGUAGCCUUGUUGUGUGAGGGUGUGUUAGAUAUAGCUGAGCGACUCAAGUUGAGUCCUUUAGUUGGGGUAAGGAGCCCAAUUUGACAAUUUAUGAAUUUGGUAGGACGCGGGAGUCUGAGGGCGGUAAUUAGGAAGCGUAGGGACCUAUGGUGCCUCGGGCUGUGUUUAGUGACUUGCAAAGGUCGAUGAGACUCAAAUUGAGUCUAUGGGUCGAGAGUCUGUGAUUGAGCGACUCCAAGAUAAGAGAGUGCGUGCUAUUGAUUUGAACUUGUGACUAAAGAAUCAAUAGCGAUUUUUGUGAUGUGUUUUUGUGAUAAUUUACGUUGAUGUAUAGAGAGUUGUUAGAAAUAACAUUUGGUUUUGUAUUGAAUCUAAGCUGUGUAGUGUCAGCAUGGUGGUUUGUUUGGAUAAGUACAUUGCAAAUUUUUUGGUUUAAGGACUGAUGAGACUGUAGGAAUUUUGGCGAUGAAAUUCUUUUAAGGGGGAGAGAGUUGUAACAUCCCAAAAACCAGGUUAGAAGAAAUUGAGUUUUGAAAUCUAGAGUAGUUACGUUCUGAGUUUGAGUUAGGAUUUUGAAAUUUUGACAAGUGAAUUUAAUUUGAUUCAGUGGUUAAAUGUUCUGGUUAUGUAUGCAAGGUUUUGGGUUCGAAUCUCAGCUCUUGAAAUUUUACUAUUCAGACUAAACCCUAUCUUUGGACAUAUGGGUUAUAAGUUAUUUUUGAUCAAAUGAUGACAAGAAUGAGCAUGCUGGUUCAAUGGUUAAGCUUCUGUAUACCCUCCGGUCUUGUGUUUGGAUCACCGCAAAUGUAAUAUGAAAAUGUUUUUAUUUUGUUGCCUCAUGCGGUAGUUUUGGUUGGUUUCAAUUAACCAAAGUCUCUCAAGUUAUUUUUUUCCUACUACGUUCUUUCUAUUCUUUUUGUUCUUGACUAUCAUUUUUUUCUUCUAUUUUAUUUGUCAAGUCCUUCCACCGAUUGUAACAGCCUAUUUUUAGUGAAAUUGAAACAGUGGUUUUGAGACAAAAAAUCUGAAGUAAAAAUAUUUAUUUUAUUAUUAUUUUAGUAUCUACGGUAUGCUAGUAGUGUCGUAUAAAAAUUUUGUUAAGAAAUUUUAUCGUUUGCAUGCUUAAUUAAGUAAAAAUGACUAAAUCGUAAAAGGUACAAAAGUAGAGUUCUAAUACUUAAAAGUAUCUAUUAGCUAUGAAAUUAAAUUUUUAGGGGAUUUAUGUGGUAAUUAGACCAUUUUUAUUAUAAGUGGACAUUUAUGGACAUGAAUUAGGUGAUUUUAAUGUUGAAAUGCAAGGUUAUUUAUGUAAAUUAAUAAAUAAGUUAAGUAAAAAUAUCAUAAACAAAAGCUAUCAUCUUUUUUUUUAUUCCUCCACCAACAAAAUGCUAGGAAAAUACCAUUAAAGAAGUUUGAAGGUUCGGCUAUGUCUUAUGGUUGCAUGUAAGUGAUUCUUGAUCCCGCUUUUAAUGAUUUUUAUGUUUUUGGGAUCAUUGUAACUUAAUCUAGCUAGACCAGGGACUAAUUUGAAAAAUUGUUAAAGGAUUAGGGUUUUUCCAUGAAUGUGUUUGUGUGAUUCUUGAAAUUUUAUGGAAGAAAAUUAAUCCUUGUUGUUAAAUAAACAACUUUUGUGCAGUAAUUUUUGAUGAAAUUAUCAUUUAGGGACUUAUGUGUAAAAGUAGUAAAACAUCAUGAUGAAAUUGUGAAUUGAUGAGUGGUUUGGGUUGGUAUGAGUCCCUAUGUAAAUCGGCAAGCAUGAUAUAAUGAUGAAAUUGCAUAAAUGUUAAUUUAUGAGCUUAAGGAUUAAAUUGUAAAAAAAGUUAAAAUAAUAGGGGCGAAAAGGUAAUUUUGCAAAAGUAUGAAUUUUGGAUUGAAUUUAAUAGAAUGAAUAUUAUAUGUAUUGAAUUUUCUUAUUUAGAUCAAGUUAAGCCUUAUAUAGGUCUAGAUCGAGGGAAAGAUAAAGUCGUAGAUUAGUGAUCCUAUUUCGUCGUCUUUGCAUUCGAGGUAAGUUCGUGUGUUAAAAUAGCGUUUUAAUGUUGUUUGAUUUAAAUGUUAUUAUGCUAUUCAACAUGAUGGAAAUCCAACAAUGUUACGAUGACUAUCGAGUCCCAUUUGAACCUUAGGAAUAUAUAGAUUACAAAUGACAUGUCAUUAGGGUUACCAUGUUUCGGGUGUUAGUCUUGAAUGUCCUAUCGAUGGCCGAGUUUUAGCAUUUGUUACAGAUCCUCGUCAGUUUGUGUGAGCAGCAUUAUGUAGCUAUAUUCUGACUGUCAGCUUGUGUGAGUAGACCCAUUUAUGGCUCGAACGAGCAUCGAUGUAAAGGAAAAGGAAAGGAAAUGGUUUCGACCAUGUGUUAGCACACUUUGUGUGAGUUUCCCGUGUAUCCGAUAUUAUUCUAAGUGGUUCAACAGGCAUGAAAAGGGAAAGAACGAUAAAUGUUCCAAAUGCUAAGUUAAGAACUUAUGAAAAGGUAUGAAUUAUUGAUAAUUAAAGCAUGUAUAACUAUGUUUAUGAAAACUAUGAAUUUAAGUAUGCCAUGUUCAUAAAACUUAUCUUACCAUGAGAUGAUUUUUCUAAGUUAUGUGUUUAAUCACUAACUUGUGUUGUUGAUGAUGCUUAGGUUUGUGCUAAGCUAUGUUGGAUUGAUUCAUGUCUAUUUUUAAGAUUAUGCAUUGAAAUGGUAAGCUUUGUUCAUGAUUUACGAACUUACUAAGCAUUAUAUGCUUACGAUGUUGUUCUUUUCUAUGUUUUAUAGAUUAUCAGAAGCUCGAUUAGUUUGGUAGCUCAUCAGAGACCUAUUUACACAAUCCAGAGUUUAUAUUGGUAGAUUUUGAUGUUUUGGUCAUGGUUAUAAUGGCAUGUAUAGGUGAAUUGUAUUUGAUGAACUAGUUGUUAUGUUUGGCUUGUAAAUAUGGUAAUUUGGUUGGUAUGCUUUUGGCACUUUGAUACUAUAAUGGUUCAUGUUUAUAUGGUCAAAUUGAUGCAUGGUUUUAUGAACAAAGUGAUAGGUGUUGGCAUGUUUGCAGUGUGGUCAAUUGUGGUUAGUUUUCGUAUGAAAAUAGGUUAGAUAUGAAUGCUAGAUGAAUGGUCAAUUUAACAUAUUUUUGGAUAGAUUUGAUAAAUUAUGAUUGAGGUGCCUUAAUGACAUAUAGGUUGUAUGGAUUUAUGGUCUUAUUAUGCAUGUUUUGACAUGUUUCGGUACCUUGUUCAUAGAAGCAUUUGGCUUGUAGGUACUUGUUGGAAAUGGGUGAAAGGAAUGGCUUGAUUUUGGCCUAUUUCUUGUCCACACAGCCCUGUGACACGGUCAUGUGUCCGCUGUAGGUUUCAAAGGUUGCAAGUCAGACAGUUAUACGGCCUAGCACACGGACGUGUGAGAACAUUUUGAGAGUUAAACGGCCUGGCACACAGGGUGUGGCUUGGCCAUGUGACCCAAGUCAGAGAGUUACACGGGCUGGGACAUGGCUGUGUUUCCCUAUUUUGAAUGUUACACAGCCUGAGACACGGGCAUGUGUCUCAGCCGUGUGAGGCAUAUGGCUUGGCCACACGGCUGUGUGACCCCUGCGGUGUAAAUUUUUACAACUUUUUCCUUAAUGUUUCAUAUGUUCCCAAUUUAGUCCCGAAUCGUUUCUAAAGUAUUUCUAAGGCCUCGGGGGCUCGAAUAAGGGGUGAUAUGCAUGUGUUUGAAUGAAUUAGGCUAUGAUUUAUCUAAUGUUUGGAAAUGAAUGUUUUAAGUUAUGUUUUACAGUAAUGCUCCGUAACUCUAUUCUGACAACGGAUACGGGUUAGGGGUGUUACAUAGACGAUUUUCUAUUGAAUCAUUGUGGCAUCAGUUCUUCUAACUUCCUUACAUUAUUCAUCUGUAAUCAGUCGUGUAAGUAUUCUCUGUCAAGUUCUUGCGUGAGUUUAUUGUUGGACGGGGUUGUAAUUCAUUUUAUGUGAUGAAAAUGUUGACUUGCGUAUCUCUUUGUUAGGCGAAGGUCUCGAGUUUAACGUUCUCUCGACAGCUUAAGGUCUGUGAAAUUGCAGUUCCAUUAUCAGUGUUGGGAUCACUCUGGCUACUUUUACAUCAAAUCUGUACCAGGUAGGUAACCGAAAACUCAAAUUUUUACAAUUUGUGGAAGUCAAAAAACAUGGCUUUCGACCACACACGGCCCUGUGGUAGACUAUGUAGGCACUCUUUUGGCAAACAUGACCAGGGACAUUGGCAUGUUUCUAAGCCGUGCUCGAGACUUUUUUGCAUUCGUGACACACAAGCAAAGACACGAGCAUGUGUUCAGGCCAUGUGAGAGAAUUUGGAGAUUAAGUCACACGGGCGUGUACCAGGUCCUGUGAUAGACUGUAUAACUCACUGUUUUAGGUCACAUAGCCAUGUGCCAAGCCAAGUGUCAAGCUAUGUGUAACAAUAAAGGGCCACACGAGUGCGUGCUAGGCCGUGUUGACUAUAAAGGCCAGCUACCCAGGUCGUGUGUAUCCACAAGAUCAUGGGAGUCAAGAUUCUGAAAUUUUCCUUAGGGUUGUGAUCAUCAUUCGAUUCAAACGUAGGCCUUCUGUAGGGUCCAUAUGAUCUGUAUUAAGCUAUAAACCUUAAUAUUUGUUGAUAUGUUAGUAUAUAAUCUACUAUCUGUAUGUAUGUCUAUUUUGAUAUAAUUUAAGUAAUGAUGACUUGCUAAUGUAUAAUGUGCCUCUAUUUAGAUGCGUUAUGGUAUGUGCCUUAUCCAGGUAUGUUUUGUAUUCUACUAAGUUUGUUGGUGUACCUCUCUGUCACUCUAUUGAUGAAGAAUAUGUGAUAUUUGAAUAUGUUAAAUUAAUUGGCACUGAUUCUGGUUCUGAUUUGUAACCAUGCAUGUGACUUCAUGGCAAAUCUAAUAUGAUCUGUUGAGGUUUGAUAAAUUUGUUUUACAAAGCAUGGACUCUCAUGCCUACUGAUUCUAUUGUUGUAUGAUAGCAUGAUCUACAUGCUUAUUACUCUGAUUCUGUGUGUACAUGCCAUGACACAUUACGUGGGAUGUAGGAUAAAGUUAAAAAAGGAAGAUUCUGUACUGGCAGUUUAAUGGUAUGCGCAUUUAGAAGCUUGACCACAUAUAUUUGAUUUGGUAAUUUAACUGCAUAUUGAUAAGCCAUUGUUGCUGGGAAAACCAGGGUGGCGGGUCACCGUUUUGGGCAACCCGGGAUGACUUUAGCGGUGUGUUUUGGGUGGAUGAGUUUGUGGGAGAACUCUAAUUUGGUGUAUAGUGGAGUUGGAUAGGACGUCUCUGAAAAAUCUGCAUUAUGUUUUUUUGCAAAUAUUGCAUUGGCUUAGACUCACAUCCUAGGCUCUGUUCUAUUCUAUUCUUUUUGAUCUUUUUGUUUUGUUGGACUAUCAUUAUUAAAAUAUUGUUGAUAUUCUGAUCUGUUGUGUUCUAGGUAUAUGAUCUGUUUUGUUCUGGUUAUAUGAUUGCUAUUAAGUUCUCUAUGUUACUUCAAAUUAUAUGUUGUGUUCUAUUGAUUUGUUUUGGGGCUGGCUUUACGCUUUGCUUUGUAGCUCACCCCUUUUGUCUUAUUCUUGUCCUUUCAAGUAAAUUUUUGAUUUAGGAUCGGAUGGUGUGUGGAGCUCGAAUUAUUUUACGCUGAUGUAAAUAUGUUUUAAUUUUCUUGGGUUUGUAAUAUGUUUCUUAGCUUGCCUUACUUUUUCUAAUCUCGUCAGUAACUGAUAAUUUCUAACGUGAAACUACAAAAUCACUUAAGUCGACUAAAACAGAUUUCGAUUUUCAAAGUUAAAACCCCGAAAAGAUUUUCGUUACGCAUCAAGUAACAGUUAGGUGUUUUCUUAAUUAUUGUUGAACCCAGAUUUCAGGGUGUUUGUGUAACCCCUCCAAAUUUGGUCUAAACUUCUAUGCUAGUUUUGGGGUGUUACAUAAAAAAUAUGUUAAAAGAUAAUUUUACUAUAUUGGAAAAAUAACGAAGAGUACAAAAGAUGGAGAUAAAAAACAAAACCCUAAAACCCAAAAAUAAAGAACCCUCAAAACAUAAACACAAAAUUCUCCAAAAGUGUUAUGAGUUAUAAUAUUUUAAUGGGUGUGUUUGCUAAGGUUGUAAAAGACCCUACUUAUAGGCUAAAUUUGUAGGUCAAAUAAAUUAAGCUAAUAAAUGCUAAAUAUAUUAUACUAAUAAAUACUGAAUCUUGUAGAACGAAAAUAUAUUUUGUUUAACUUGAUUUGCAAACAAUCUAUUAUUUAAUAGGAAUUUGGGUCACACAACUCUAACAAUCUCCUCUUUGACACGAAUUCUCACAACGCUAUCUUUUCCAAAGCCCAUCACUGGCCUAUCUUGAAUUAUACAACGAAUUAACUAAGUUGAAUAUGUGCUUAGAAGCUGGAAGACUUCCAGCCUUCAACUUGUGCACUGUCAAAUCAAAACUAACCCGGGUCUGAUUUUCACGAACACAGUGCCUUAACUUUUCAAAACAUGCAUCCAAAAGAGAACCUCUCUUCAAUGAAAUGGUCAUACAUUUUUCCCUCCUAUGACCAAGUUGCCUCUGCUCCAAACAAGUUGACUUUGACUCCGUAAUGGACAAGGGAUGUCCGAUUUCAUCGGUCACUAUAGAACUUUCUAGAAUAUAAAGGUUGUUGGUCCUUUUAUCUUUAACAAAACGAGAACCCCAUGAGACACCUUAAUGCUGCUCGACUCGAUGUUGAUUCUGCAACCUUUCGAGUCUAAAAUACUCAAAAGAUGAGAUUCUUUCGUAAAUCAAGUAUAUAUUUGACAUCUGAGAGUGACCUAAUCGUCCCAUCCUGCAUCAUAAUUUUAAUAGUACUAAUAUCGAUUGCCUUACUAGAUAAAUAGUUUCCCAUGUACACAACUCCAUCUUCAACCGAACUAGGAUCUACUUAGAUGUAAUCUUGAAGCUAUCGCUCGUUGAUAUUAACAAAAAAUCAUCAUCACUUUCGUUAGCCGAAUUAACACUAGCUACAUCUUCCUCGUUACUUUCAGCAGCCCUUUUAUUUCACAGUUUAUAACAAUCUACUUUGACGUAACCUAACUUCUUACAAUAGUGACACAUUUUUUCUCAUUUCUUUGAUGCUACCAAAAUGGAAGCUUGCCUAUCUACCUUGCUAUCUGAACCAAAAUCAUUGUCAAGUUUGUCUUUACUCAACAAAUGACCCUUCACAUCUUUGAACGAAAGUUUUUCUCUGCCAUAAAUCAGGGCCUCCUUGAAAUACUUGUAUGAAGAGGGUAAAGAGCACAGUAAUAGCAUAGUCUGAUCUUCAUCGUCAAUCUUAACCUCAACAUUUUUUAAAUCAUUCAAAAGAGUAAUAAAUUGACUAAUGUGACCUCUAAGAAGCUCAUAUUCGUUCAUGCAAAACGUAAAUAGACAUUUCAACACUAAACGGUUAGCCAGAGACUUAGUCGCAUAAAGAAUUUCUAAUCUUUUCCACAAGCCAGAUGAGGUUUUCUCCAUCAAUACCUCAUACAAUACCUUAUUCGAGAGGCAGAACUAGAUUGUAGACAGGGACUUUUCAUCAAGAUCUUCUCAUUUUGUUUCAUCUAGAUUCUCAAUUUUUUCUCGGUAACGACCUUUUACAGGCCAGUCUGAACUAGAAUUGCCAUCAUCCUAACUUCCCACAGAUUGAAAUUUGUGACACCAUCGAAUUUCUUAAUGUCAAACCGUGUUGCUGUCAUAUCUGAAUAGGCUGCUCUACGAAAAUUGAACUUUGAUACCACUUGUUGGAGAUCGACCCGAUUAAGCAACAAACAAGUAAAACUAGUGGAAGAAAUUGAGAAAUUGAACACACAAAUUUAGCAUGGAAAAACCCCUUCAAAGAGAAUAAAAAACCACGAGCAAAAAUAAAUUUACUAUAAUGGGAAAAGAAUGAAGAGUACAAAAGAUGGAGAUAAAAAAAACUAAGCCCCGAAACCCGAAAACAAAGAACCCUCAAAACAUUAACACAAAAUUCUGUAAAAGUGUUAUGAGUUCUAAUAUUUUAAUGGGUGUGUUUUAUGAGGUUGUAAAAGAACAUAUUUAUAAGUGAAAUUCGCAGGUCAAAUAAAUUAUGCUAAUAAAUGCUAAAUAUAUUAUAUUAAAAAAUACUAAAUCUUCUAGAAAGAAAAUAUAUUUCGUUUAACUUGACUUGCAAGUAAUCUCUUAUUUAACAGGAAUUUAAGUCACACGACUCUAACACUUCUAACAUUUUUUAUUGAAAAUUUUAUAUUAAAUAAAAAAUUAAAAUAAUUAUCAAACAAAAAAUAUUUUCAUCUUGAAUGCAAUGAAAAUUUCUAGUUUAUACCCUAAGUAACGGAAGUGAAGAUUUUAAUAUAAAAAUGUAGACAAAAUGGUCCAAAUUUUUUUUGCAAAUAAAUUUUAUAAGCGAUUAUACAAAAAUAAAAAUAUUAGAAAUAUAGGUUUAUUGUUAUUUGCACAAAUAGAUGCCCGGACAAUUAUAAACUAAAAAAAAAAAAAAUUCUAUUUUUAAAAUUUUAAGAUAUAUAGAAAACACAAAAAUUAACAAUGUUAUCUAGAAAAAGUAUAAAUUUAGUUAAUGAUUUCAAAAUUUAAAUAGCAAUUAGGAUACUAACUAAAUUCAAAGAUUUAAAUAUAAAAUAACUCAUUAUAUAAUAGGAUUUUAGUUAUGUAGACUUAUCUAAAAAUAUUAUUUUCGACACUUAAAAAAGUAUUAUUUUCGGAUCACCAAUGUAGUUAUUUGAGGAGCGAGCCGAAUUGUGACUUCCAAUUUGAUUUGCGUUGGUUGGCAAAAGCACAUGCAUCUUCAACCAAAGCAUCAAAGUCAAAACUUGGAGGGAAAAUAUUUGGUAUAUUAUUAUUGAAAUUAUAAUCGCAUCUCAUAUAUUCAUAACCGACUGAAAAGCACAUUAGCGUGGAUCCAACGCAGAUUGAGCUUAAAAAAAAUUGGUGUGGUCCAAUACAUACUCUCAUCUUGUGAGUAUAGUUUUUUUCUUUUAAAAAAAGUUUAUUGAUAAUUUAAUGUUUAAAACAAAUCUUCUGUCUUCUAAAACAUGAGCCCAUCAGCUAUCAUGAUAACUGCAAUGAAAUAUUUAUUAUUAAUUUAAAUGCGGCGUGCUCCCACCAUCUUUUUUCAAUAUUACUAGAGUAUGUCAGGUUUUGUUUUUAAAAAAAUUAUAUAAAUAGUAAUAUAAUUAUUAGUGUAUUUCUAUUUUGGUCAUUUAAAUUUAACUUUUUUUGUUAUAGUUACUAAUAUUAAAUUUUAUAUUUUGGUCACUCUUUUAUUAAAUCACUGACAAAAUAGAAACAAGCUAAUAGUUAAAUAACUAUUUAUACUUUAAAAUAUAUUGAAAAAAAUAAUAAAUUAUCAAUCUAUGACACAACUAACACUAUUUAUGAAUUUAUAACAAAAACUAUGGUAAAAAUACCACAAGGGCCCUUAUACUAGGUGUGAGAUUGCAUUUUGCCCCCUCUACUCAAAAAAGGGCAAAUUAGUCCCUAUACAUUAGAUCAAAUAGCAAACUUAUCAUUUUUGUUAAAAUUUUCAUCCAUUUAUACUGUUAAAAACUAACAUAGUUGAUAGAAUAACCAAAUAGAGACACAUGGCAUGCCACAUGUACCUCGUGCUAACAUACAUGGACUAGUUUUUAAUAGUAGAUAUGGAUGAAAGUUUUAACAAAAAGGACAAAUUUACUCUUUAAUCUAACGUACAAGACUAAUUUUCCAAUUUUUUACUAGAAGGGACAAAAUGCAAUCCAACUCUUAGUACAAGAGCCUCCACGGUACUUUUACCCCAAAACUACAUUAACCCAAUAAAUCACACACUCAUUAUAUGAUUUUUCUAUAGGCAAAUGAUUUUCGUACAAAAUACUACUGUACAAAAUGUAUGGAACCCAAUUUUUGAGUGUUUUUGUGACAAAAACACCCUUGAUCAAAAUUGAAAUUUUAAUACCUCUCUUAUCAAGAUAAAUAAUCAUUAGUCAUAUUUUAAUGUGAAAAAUGGACUAAGCUCCCACUAAUUUAUUAUCUUCUAACAUGCAAAACACUUUUUGCAAUUUAUAUCCUUUCCUAAGGAAUAUAUAUCUUUAACUAAGAAAAAAAAAAAAGGUUUUCCCUUCCCAAUUUCCAAUCGUUAGCCUCUUAUCCCCUCAUCUUACUCUAUUUUUUAAGGGGGAAAAUAUUUAACUGAAAUAUUAUUCAUCUGUGAAUUGCUUACAAAAUAAAUUUUCAAUUGUCUUUAAUUGCAAAUAAUAUUCUUCCUCUUCUUAUCUAUAUUUUUAUUGGCAAAAAUAUUUCAAAUAUUUAUUUUCUAAAAAGAAAAUCCUUAUCUGACUAUUUUUUCUUAAGGUGUAUCUGAACAAUGAAUGAUCAAAAUCAAAUGAAGAAGUUUUAUGUGAUUUUUCGUGGGAAGAAACCAUGCAUUUAUAGUUCAUGGAAUGAAUGUGCUCCUAAUGUUUAUAGAGUAAAGAGAAGCAUUUACAAGUCAUUCAAAAUUCAGAUGGCUGCAGUUGAAGUAUUCAAGAUGUUCUUAAGAUUGAAUCGGAGGAGGACGAGGAGGAGAGGUCAAGCUUUGAACUUUCUGUAGCAAUUCGAUUUUCAGUGGUGUAUGAAAAUGCGAUUUCAAAAUCUCAUUUCCGUAAAUCGAGUCUUUACAUAUAAAAUAAGAAUAUUUACAGAGUUAUUAUAAAACAUAUUGAAUUUCAAUUAAGUAAUUUAACCAAAAAAAGUAGCUAAUUAAAGAUCAGGGACCAAAUUGUAAAAGUCCAAUCGAUAGUGAUUUUUAAUUAACAAAAGACUUGAGGACCUAGAUAACAAUUAUCUAAAUGACCAAAAUGGUUAUUUAACCAUUGUAUAUCAUGAAUUAGUGGAUGAUGAUUUAGAAUUCCACUUUGUUUAGCUAAUGGUUAAUUAAGUAUAAUAAAACAUUAAUUUAGCUAAUUAACUAAGCUUAAUUAGAAAAAAAAAUCCAAGUAUAAAAAGGAAGAUAAUGGGAAGAAAGAUAAGAAUGCUCAUCUUCUUCCACCGUCCAAAAGAAUAUAGAAAUAGGAGAAAGUUUCAAGCUUUCACCCAUUCGGCCAUGUCCAAAAUUCAUAGAUAAUAAGUUAUUUUUCAUGUAAUUUUUAUAGAUUUAUGAUCAUGGAAGUUUAAUUUAACUAGCCCAUGUAUCAAUUUGUUCAAUUUUUGAAAUUUUAGCAAGUUGCCAUUGUUGAUAAAUUGAUGAAUUAGACUUGAAUUUGAUAGAUAUUUAGCUUAUAUUAUGAAAAGGGCUAAAUUGUAAAGCUUAAUAAGCUUGGUUGUUAACUUUGUAACAUUAGGAACCAAAUUGAAUAAAGUGAAAACCUAUCAUGAAACUAUGCUAUGAAUAGAAAGUCUAAGGUCCCUAAUGAGUGAAUGUGAAAUCAGAUUUUAAUCCGAUGCUAAAUAUCGGAAUAUAUGCUUAUCUCAAGUUUAAGUACUAAAUUGAAUAAUGAAAAAUAUGCUUGACCUUAUAUUUGAAUUUGAAUCAAAUGAAUUUUGAUAUUGUUCCUUUAUUAACAAUUGAUUAUAGCUAAAGACGAUGCCAGUCCAUCAAGAGGGAAAGGAAAACGAGAGUCGUUGACGAGUGACAUAAGAUUUCGAUUUGUGCUUUUAUGAUUCGAGAUCAAUCAUUUUCUUUGUAUAUUCAUGACAUAUUUCAUGAUUGAGUAUCGAGGUGAGAUAAUAAUGGUCGUUUGAAUUGAUUUUCUAUGAUUGAUGUUAGCUUCAUUGAUUAAACCAAAACCGCCUAGAGGGGGUGAAUUGACUUUUAAAAUUUUGUGGAAGCUAGAAAAAAAAGAUUGUAACGCCCUAGAAUUUUUAUUUUUGUUCUUGCAAAAGUGUGACACAAUUAUGUAUUUGCUUUAGUGGUUAAGUGUUCUGGCCGUGUGAGAGGUCCCAAGUUCAAGCUAGGACUUGGGCAAAUUUUGGUAUUUUUAUGAAUAAGCUCUAUCUUUGGUCAGUAGGCUUUUAAGUAAAAGUUGACAAAUAAUUAGUAGAAUGAGCCUGUUAGUCUGGUGGAUAAGUGGAGUGUUGUUGUGAAGGAGGUCUUGUGUCCAAUUCUCUGUGACGGCGUGGAGACAGUAUUUUCGCUCCAGUUUCGGCUGAGAGUUGUGUUGGGGCAAAAUUCUGAGUAGUUGUAUUUUAGUGGGUUAAUAGGGAGUGAUUUUAGGAGAUAAUGGUGGAGAGAUUAUCAGAAAAUAAUAUGAUUAUCUUUUUGUUGCAGAAAAAAAAGUAGAGUUUUAGUUUUCUCUCCAAUUACCUAAACUUUUUUUGACGAUUUCUUCUUCUUUUUUCCCUCCUCUACUGAUUCUUUCCCUUAGUUGCUGCCGAAAUUUCCAUUAUUUUUCCCCUUCCGUUUCUUUCUUUAUUUUCCAAUUGAUUUGGUUAUUCAUCAUUGGUUGCGUGUGUUCGGUAAGUAACGGUUUUGUCUAUUGUUAAUUGUUCUUGGUUAAUCUCUGAAAGGGGGAUUCCUUUUUGGUGUUUAGGAGUUAAUCAAUGGGCUGGUGGUUUUGAAUCGACGCUGUGAUUGUGCGAAGUCGUGGUUACUCAAGUGAAGUAACGGUUUUGUUAGGUUUUUAGUCAAGUUCCUUCCAAAAUUGGUUGAUUAGAAAUGAAUUAAGUGAUUAAUCUAGAGAUUUGUUGGUCGAUUUGUAGGUUCUAGAGGCUUAGGAGUGCUUACGCAUGAGAAGCGAUACUAGGUAUGUACCCGAAAUGCAGAAAAUGAGAUUUAGCAAAAAAUUGAAAUUGCUUGCUGUCAAGAAAUAAGAGAAAGAAGAGAAAAUGAUGCGAAAAAUUGUAGAGAAAGGAAAUAAGGGUGUUAUAAACUUGAAAAUCAACAUUCUACACUAAAAUAGUUUUGGACAUCAGUAGUAGUCUAACUUUGAAAAAUCAUCAAAAAUAGAGGAAAUUGAGUUAGAGGUUGAAUAAAAUACUCAAUUAAAUUUUAUUGAGUCUAGUUUUUCAUGGAAGAAACAGUGUAAGCAAUGAAAUUGUAAGUUAUGAGAUAUAAUGAAUUUUCUAAGACAAGGUCAAAAUGGGUUUGGGUUCCCCUGUUCUGACUUUGGAAAAAUCAUUGAAAAUUGUAAAAAAAUAAUUAGAGGCUUAAAUUCUUAAUGAUUCUAUUUUCAAGAGAAACAAACAGAAACAUCAUCCGAAUUCCGUACUAAGAGAUAAAUAAUUUUUAUUAAGGAAAGUUUGAAGCUGUCAAACAGCAGAAUCGGGAUAGAUUUGAAGAUUUUACUGUACUGAUUUGAUAAACUAUAAAAUCUAAAAAUUUUAUGGUAGAAAGGUAUUUGAGUCUAGUUUCGAAAACAUCACGCGGAUCUUAAUUUGGAAUUCUGUAGCUCAAGAUAUAAAUAAUUUAGGGACAAUGACUCAAGUAGACAGCUUUGAAUGAACAUAUAAGUAAAUAGUGAAAACAUAUAUGAAUAUUUAGCUAGCAUGGGUACAUUAAAAGUGGAUCACAAGGGCAAGGCCAAUUUGGGCUGAGUGGGCCACAUGGGUAUGUGGGCCCACACGUGUAGACCACAUGGGCGUGUGAGCCCAUUUUCGUUGAAUUGAUUGCUAAGGUUACACGGGUCGCCCAAGUCGACUGUGGACCUACUGUAGGGUCGGUAAGCAUCACUUAGACCCUAAUUGUACAAACUAACUAUUUGAUUUAUAUAUGUGUUGCGCUUGAUGAUAGUAUGCUUAUAUACUGAAUUGGUUAUAUGUAUUGAUGUCCUGAGAUAGCAUGUCCUGACUUGUAUGUUGCAUUGCAUGGGGUUGGGUUAAUUAUAUUUGGAGAAAGUGUACUAAAAGGCUUUUAAGCCUAACAUACUGGUCGCUCAGCUUCAAAUAAUUGUUUUGUGUCGCAUUCGGUACUACUUGGAGUGUAGGGAUGGGUGGGUUGAUUUGAUCCCUACAUGGAGUGUUGGGUUUGCCGGAGAUGGUGUGUGGAGGUUGGUUGGGUAGGACUUUGUUACUGAAUACUGUAUGACUGCUACUAAUACUGCGAUGGGCUAAGGCCUUGCUGCAUAUAUUGAUACUAUACUGAGAUAGGCUAAGGCCCAAACUGUUACUGAUACUGAAAAAGGGCUUAGGCCCAAGACUGCUUUAACUGUGCACUGAAAAAGGGCUAAGGCCCUAUUGUUUGUUUUCUGUGGAAUUACACACUGAGUUUUCGUAAACUCACCCUUUUUGUUAAAAUUUGCACAGUUAAUCCCCAGAUCUAGACGGAUCGGUGUGACGUAGGACUCAGCGGUGACCACGGUUUUGGACUUUCAUGGUUUUUGACCCAUAUUUAUGAUAAUUGGUUUUAUUUCUAUUAUAUUUUUUACUGGCUAAGUUUUUGGGUUGUAAUUGGACUUUUGGACUUUGGUUUUGGGUUUUAAUUAUCUUUACCUUAUGGAUUACAACUGUUAGUAGUAGGAAGCCUCUGUUUUUAGAAGAAACAAAUGUUUUUCCUAAAAGCACGAUUGUUUAAUCUAUUUUAAAAUCUUCUGCAAAUGAAUAACGUUUUGAAACUAUCGAUUAAAUGAGCAACACAAUUUUGGAACUAAUAAGAUAUUAAGAUAAGGAAUUCAAUUGAAAUGGUUUUAACGCGAUGACACAAUUUUCAAACAUCCUAUCGUGUGACAUCGCUAGAUCCGGCCAUAACGUCUAGGCCAAGUUUGGGGUGUUAUAUUUAGUGGUAUCAGAGCCAAGUAGCAAAAAUCGGCUGUGGAUUAUGGGUUUUAAAUUUGGUCAUUGAAAAAUUGGUUUUUAAAAGAUUUGAAAUAUUUCUACUGGGUAUGUGGUGCACCAAGUCUCUGGUGCCGAUCUUGUAAGUGUUCUAAAACUGAUACAUGCUAUGAUAUUCUGAAACUAGUAUAUGUUAUGAUAUUCUGAAAUUACUGUAGGUAGUAUAUUGUGAAAAUACUCUAGUUGGUGUAUAUUGAGACUGUAGCAAAACUGAUAGAGACUGCGAUUUACGAAAAUCACUCUGAAUUACUCAAACUGUUAACAUUAAACAUCUACUAGUAAAUACUGAAACUGAAACUGAUGCAUAAAAAUUUGUAAUACAGAUAAAUCCGAAUAGACAUGAGAGCACGAGGUAUUUGUAGACGUGGUGCUCAAGGUCGAGGUAGAGGCCGCAGGGGGAUCGAUUUGAGUCCUCUUCCCUGGGUAAUAUACCGAAUUUGGACACGAGUGAGACGCCAGUGUUGCCCGCUACUGAGACUGAGUCUCAUGAUCGUAUGGCUGGGGAUAACACAUUGUCUCAAGAUAUGUUGAGGAUAUUGGAGAGGGUCGUUGGUCCUAAUAUUGGAUCAGGGGGCCGUGGGUCAGUUACGGAACGACUUCAAUUUAAUAGAGCUGAGCUUCUGAGGGGUGUCACUUGGGUUGCCCUUAAUGUAUUCGAGUACUGGAUUGAGGCCACGGAGAGGAUCAUGGAUGACCUAGAUUACACCUUCGAGCAGAAAUUUAAGGGUGCAGUCUCGCUGUUACGUGAUGAAGCUUAUCAAUGGUGGCUUACUGUUAAGGAGGGCACUCGGCCCAAACGUCUGACCUGGGAGUUCUUUAAGAUCGCCUUCCAGGGGAACUAUAUGGGAGAUAGUUAUGUUGACACCCGUAGGAGGGAGUUUCUGAAUCUAACAUAGGGAGAUCGAUUAGUGGCUGAGUAUGAGGCCGAAUUCCUAUGAUUGAGCCAUUAUGUGAGAGGUAUGGUGGCGACUGAGUAUGAGCAUUGUGUUCACUUUGAGGAUUGCCUCAGAGAUAAUUUAAGAGUCCUGAUAGCUCCACAAAGGGAGCGUAAUUUUUCUUUGUUUAUUGAGAAGGCGAAGAUCACCGUGGAGGUUAAGCGCGCUGAGAGCCAAAACCGUGAUAGGGAGAGAGGUAGGAACAAGAGGGAUUUGGAGCCCUUGAGUUCUGUGCAGAGGCCUAAGAAAAAGGCCAGAGCUGAUGGGCUAGUUAGAGCUGGUCCCCUUGUUACUACUACUGGACUUCAGCCAUGUGUCGACCGUGGUAGAUGCCAUUAGGGCAAGUGUUGGAGAAGGACUAGGGAGUGUCUGAGGUGUAGAUCAUUAGAUCAUCGCAUUUGGGAGUGUUCGUUGAGGGUCGAUCAGAUGCAUGCUCAGGGUACUAGUACUGCACAGCCACAAAGUGUAGCACAGCAGCCACCUAGAGGUCAUGGUCAGGCUAGGGGUGGUAAUGGUAUGGGAUGUGGGCAGAGAGCACCGGGCAGAGGUGCUGGAUAGGCUGAGGCGAGACAGUCGGUCCUAGUUUAUACUACUCAUUGCCAAGAGGAUAGAGAUGCUCCGAACGUUAUCAUAGGUACGUUUCUUAAUUUUCAUGUGCGUUACACUGCAUUGAUAGGUAUAGAAUCUACGCAUUCCUAUUUUUCCUGUUCUGUUCCCAAAAAUCUAGGGAUUCCAGUUGAGAGUACUUCUAGUGAGGUGGCUGUGCUGAGCUUGUUGGGGUAAUCUGUUAGAGUUAGCAAACUGUAAAGGGAUGUUCCUUUAGGGGUUCAAGGGAUGGUAUUUCUGGCUGAUUUGUUGGAGCUUCCGCUUGGGGAGUUCGAUAUGAUAUUGGGGAUGGACUGGUUGGUUAAGCAUCAUGUCAGUUUGGACUGUGUGACUAAGAGGGUCGUAUUGAGAACUGAGGAGGGUAAUAAAAUAGUUGUGAUUGGGGAACGCUGGAAUUACUUGGCUAACGUGACCUCUGCACUGGUAGCUGAGAAACUUGUUCGCAAGGGAUGUGAGGCGUAUUUGACCUACGUAAGUGUUUCCACUUCUGGGGACUCUACUGUAAACGACAUUAGAACUGUGAGGGAUUUUCCAAACGUCUUUCUUGAGAAGCUACUAGGUUUACCUUCGAAUCGAGAAAUAGAGUUUAGGAUUGAGGUUUUCCCUGGUACAGCUCUACUGUCUAUCGCUCCCUAUCGAAUGGCACCGAAGGAGCUUACGAAGCUUAAGGCUCAAAUUCAGGAGUUAUUGGAUCGUUGGUUUAUCCGCCUUAGUGUGUCCCCGUGAGGAGCACCGGUACUGUUUGUUAAGAAAAAAGAUGAAUCCAUGAGGAUGUGUAUCGACUACCGACAACUAAAUAAGUUGACUAUUAAGAAAAAGUAUCCACUUUCGAGGAUUGAUGAUUUGUUUGACCAGUUCAGAGGGGCGUCUGUGUUCUCCAAAAUUGACUUGCGUUCUGGGUAUCAUUAGUUGAGGGUUAAGGAGGCUGAUGUGCAUAAGACGGCAUUUAGGACUCGUUAUGGUCAUUACGAGUUCCUAGUGAUGCCAUUUGGACUGACUAAUACACCGGCAGCUUUCAUGGAUCUGAUGAACUGAGUGUUUUAGCCCUACUUGGAUCGGUUUGUAGUGGUGUUCAUCAAUGACAUAUUGGUUUAUUUGAGGACCGAGGAUGAGCGUGACUAGCACCUUAGGAUUGUUCUUCAGAUUUUGAGGGAAAAACAACUCUAUGCUAACUUCAACAAGUGCGACUUAUGGUUACGUGAAGUAACAUUUCUAGGUCAUGUAGUGUUUGCUGAGGGGAUUUGAGUCAAUCUUUGAAAAAUUGAGGCUGUAUUGGAUUGGGAGCAGCCUAAGAAUGUGUCUAAGAUCCGCAGCUUUUUGGGGCUGGUAGGUUAUUACCGACGGUUUAUGGAAGGAUUUUCACUGAUUGCAGCACCCUUGACUAAGCUGUUACGUAAAGGUGUACCAUUUGAUUAGGCCGAUGCGCAGGAAGAGAACUUUGAGAAGCUUAAGAUUGUACUAACUAAGGCUUUUGUUUUGGUACAGCCUGAACCUAGAAAGGAGUUCACGGUUUACAGUGAUGCAUCACGUGUCAGUUUGGGAUGUGUGUUGAUGAAGGAUGGAAAGGUGGUUGCAUAUGCGUCUCGUCAGCUGAAGACACACUAGGUGAACUAUCCGACGUACGAUUUGGAGUUGGCCGCCGUAGUUUUUUCAUUGAAAAUCUGGAGGCAUUAUCUGUAUGGUGAGAAGUGUAUCAUCUACAUUGAUCACAAAAGCCUCAAGUAUCUCAUUACUCAGAAGGAGCUGAAUCUAAGACAGCGAAGAUGGGUUGAGCUGCUUAAGGAUUACCACUGUACCAUUGAGUACCAUCCUGGCAAGGCCAAUAUGGUGGCCGAUGUGUUGAGCCGUAAGGCUAUGACCGAUCUGAGAGCGAUGUUCGCUCGACUUAGCCUAUUCGACGAUAGAAGUCUGGUGGCAGAGCUUUCGGUCAAAUUGACAUGGAUUGAACAGAUUCGAGGUAAAUCGUUGGGGGAUAAGUCUCUUAGGUUGCAUUUUCGUUAGGUUGAGAAUGGUUGCACUACUGAUUUUGGGAUAAACAGUGAUGGGGUACUUUGUUUCCGCGGUCGGAUUUCUGUACCGAAUGAUGAGGAUUUGAGGUAGUCGAUUCUGAGAGAGGCGCAUGGUAGUCCCUAUGCUAUGCAUCCUGGCUAGAACAAGAUGUACCGAGAUCUUCGGGAAUUGUACUGGUGGCCAAGGUUGAAGCGAGAGGUUACUAACUUUGUUGCUCGCUGUUUGACUUUUCAGUAGGUUAAGGCUAAGCAUCAGUUACCUUCGGGUUUGCUGUAGCCGGUUAAAAUACAUUUAUGGAAAUGAGAGUGAGUAACGAUGGACUUUGUUAGUGGGUUGCCUUUAACACCCACUCAAAAAGAUUCAGUGUGGGUCAUCGUGGAUUGAUUGACUAAGUCUGCACACUUCAUCUCAGUUAGGACAAAUUAUUCUUUGUAGAAGUUGGCGAAGCUCUAUAUUUUUGAGAUAGUAAGAAUGCAUGGGGUACCAGUUUCGAUCAUCUUUGAUAGGGAUCUUUGGUUCAUGUCUCGAUUUUGGAAAAAGGUGUACGAGACUCUUGGUUCAAGGUUGGACUUCAGUACUACGUUCUAUCCUCAGAUCGAUGGUCAGUCAGAGAGGGCGAUUCAGGUACGAGAGGAUAUGUUGAGGAGCUGUGCUAUUGAUUUUUGAGGUAGUUGCGAGGAUGAUCUGCCGUUGGUGGAGUUACCCUAUAAUAAUAGCUUCUAGUCUAACAUCUAGGUGGCACCUUACAAGGCACUAUACGAUCGUAAGUGUCGCAGUCCUUUAUGUUGGACUGAGUUGGGCGAGCGAUGUGUUCUAGGUCCUGAGUUGGUCUUUGAGACAGAGGAUAAGGUUAGAUUGAUUCGGGAUCGUUUGAAAGUGACUUCUGAUAGGUAGAAAUCUUAUGGGGAUUUGAAGGGGCGUGAGAUCAAGUAUUCUGCGGAGGACUUCGUUUUUCUCAAGGUCUCACCAUGGAAGAAGGUACUGAGGCUUGGUCGUAAGAUCAAGUUAAGCCCUAGGUUUAUUGGACCUUACCAUAUCCUGAAGCGAGUGGGACCAGUUACUUAUCAGUUAGAACUACCUCCGGUAUUAGAUCGUAUCCAUGAUGCGUUCCAUGUCUCUAUGUUGAGGCGUUACUGCUCUGAUCCUACUCAUAUUGUCCCUGUUAAGGAGAUUGAGGUUAGGCCAGACUUGACCUUUGAGGAGGAGUCUGUCCAAAUUCUGGAUUGUGACGUAAAGGUUCUGAGGAGGAAGUCUAUUCCAUUGGUGAAGGUUCUAUCGCGUAAUCAUAGCACUGGGGAGGCCACGUGGGAGCCUGAGGAAGCGAUGCGUCAGCAAUAUCCUUAUUUGUUCUGAUCAGGUAAAUUUUGAGCCAACAAUAUUCUUUUAGGGGGUAGAGUUAUAAUGGCCCUGAAUUUUUAUUUUUGUUCUUGCGAAGGUGUGACACAACUAUGUAUCUACUUCAGUGGUUAAGUGUUUUGGGUGUGUGAGAGGUCCCAAGUUCAAGCCAGGACUUGGGUAAAUUUUGGUAUUUUUAUGAUUGGUCAGUAAGUUUUUAAGUAAAAGUUGGGAAAUAAUUAAUAGAAUGGGCCUGCUGGUCCGGUGGAUAAGUGGAGUGUUGGUGUGAGGGAGGUCCUGUGUUCAGUUCUCUGUGAUUGCGUGGAGAUAAUAUUUUUGCUCCAAUAUCAGCUAAGAGUUGUGUUGGGGCAAAAUUCUAAGUAGUUGUACUUUAGUGGGUUAAUAGAGAUUGAUUUUAGGAGAUAACGGGGGAGAGAUUAUCAGAAAAUAAUUUGAUUAUCUUUUUGUUACAGAAAAAAAGUAGAGUUUCGAUUUUCUCUCCAAUUACCCAAACUUUUUCUGAUGUUUUCUUCUUUUUUUUUCCCUCAUCUGUCGAUUCUUUCCCCUAGUUGAUUCUGGAAUUUCCAUUAUUUUCCCCCUUUCAUUUCUUUCUUUAUUUUCCAAUUGAUUUGGUUGUUCAUUGUUGGUUGUGUGUGUUCGGUAAGCAAGGAUUUUGUCUAUUGUUAAUCGUUCUUGGUGUAUCUUUGAAAGGGGGAUUCCUUUUUGGUGUUUAAGAGUUAAUUAGGGGGCUAAUGGUUUUGAAUCGACGCUGUGAUUGUACGAAGUCAUGGUUACUCAAGAGAGGUAAAGGUUUUGUUAGGUUUUUAGUCAAGUUCCUUCCAAAAUUGGUUGAUUAAAAACGAAUUAAGUGAUUAAUCUGGAGAUUUGUUUGUCGAUUUUUAGGUUCUGGAGGCUUAGGAGUGCUUACGCAUUAAAAACGAUACCAGGUGUGUACCCAAAACGCAGAAAAUGGGAUUUGGCAAAAAGCCAAAAUUGCUUGCUUUCGAGAAGUUAGAUAAAUAAGAGAAAAUGAUGCGAAAAGUUGUAGAGAAAGGAAAUAAGAGUGUUAUAAACUUAGAAAUCAACAUUCUGCAGUAAAAUAGUUUUGGACAGCAAAAGUAGUCUAAUUUUGAAAAAUCAUCAAAAAUAGUGAAAUUUGAGUUAGAGGUUGAAUAAAAUACUAAAUUAAAUUUUAUUGAGCCUAAUUUUUCAUGGAAGAAAUAGUGUAAGCAAUGAAAUUGUAAGUUAUGAGAUAUAAUGAAUUUUGUGAGACAAUGUCAGAAUGGGUUUGAGUUCCCCUGUUCUGAAUUUGGAAAAAUCAUCGAAAAUUGUAAAAAAAUAAUUAGGGGCUUAAAUUUUUAUGUUUAAAUCCUUAAUGAGUAUAUUUUCAAGAGAAACAAAUGGAAACAUCAUCCGAAUUUCGUUCUAAGAGAUAAAUAAUUUUUAGUAAGGAAAGUUUGAAGCUGUCAAACAACAGAAUCGGGAUAGAUUUGAAGAUUUUAUUGUACUUAAGUCAUAAACUAUAAAAUCUGAAAAUUUUAUGGUAGAAAGGUAUUUGAGUCUAGUUUCAAAAACAUCAAGCAGAUCGGAAUUUGGAAUUCUUUAGCUCAAGAUAUAAAUGAUUUAGGGUCAAUGACUCAAGUAGGCAUCUUUGAAUGAACAUAUAAGUAAAUAGUGAAAACAUAUAUGAAUAUUUAGCUAGCAUGGGUACAUUAAAAAUGGAUCACACGGCCAAGGCCAAUUUGGAUUGAGUGGGCCAGAUGGGAGUGUGGGCCCACACGAGCAGACCACAUUGGCGUGUGAGCCCAUUUUCACUGAAUUGAUUGCUAAGGUUGCACGGGUUGCCCAAGUCGACUGUGAACCUACUGUAGGGUCGAUAAGCAUCAGUUAGACCCUUAAUUAUAUGAACUGGUUGUUUGAGUUAUAUAUGUGUUGAGCAUGAUGAUAGUAUGCUUGUAUACUGAACUGGUUAAUGUAUUGAUAUCCUAAGAUAGCAUGUCAUGACUUGUAUGUUGCAUUGCAUGGGGUUAGGUUAAUUAUAUUUGGAGGAAGUGUACUGAAAGACUCUUAAGCCUAACAUACUGGCAGCUCAGCUGCAAAUUACUGUUUUGUGCUGCAUUCGGCACUACCUGGAGUGUAGGGAUGGGUGGGUUGAUUUGAUCCCCACAUGGAGUGUAGGGUUGGACGGAGAUGGUGUGUAGAGGCUGGUUAGGUAGGACUUUGUUACUGAAUACCGUAUGACUGCUACUGAUAUUGUGAUGGGCUAAGGCCCUACAACAUAUUUGAUACUGUAUUGAGAUGGGCUAAGGCCCAAACUGUUGCUGAUGCUGAAAAAGGGCUUAGGCCCAAGACUACUUUAAUUAUGCACUAUGAUUUUCUACUGUUUGUUUUCUGUGGAUUUUACACUGAGUUUUCAUAAACUCACCCCUUUUGUUUAAAUGUGCAUAGGUAAUCCCCAAAUCUAGACGGAUCGAUGCGGUAGAGGACUUAGCGGUGACUACGGUUUUGGACUUUCAUGGUUGUUAACCCAUAUUUACGAUAAUUGGUUUUAUUUCUAUUCUAUUUUUUACUGGCUAAGUUUUUGUGUUGUAAUUGGACUUUUAGACUUUGAUUUUGGGGUUUAAUUAUUUUUACCUUAUGGAUUACAACUGCUAGUAGUAGGAAACCUCUGUUUUCAAAAGAAACAAAUGUUUUUCCUAAACACACGAUUGUUUAAUCUGUUUUAAAAGCUUUCACAAACGAAUAACAUUUAAAAACUAUUGAUUACAUGAGCAACACAAUUUUGGAUCUAAUAAGAUAUUAAGAUAAGGAAUUCAAUGGAAAUGGUUUUAACGCGACGACGCGAUUUUGAAACACCCUAUCAUGUGACAUCGCUAGAUCCUGCCAUAACAUCUGGGCCGGGUUUGGGGUGUUACAAAGAUGGAACAGAUUAACACAAUGGUUUAGAUUAGUUCGACCCAAAUUGCCUACUCCACUACCUUAACUUUCCACUUUUAAGGAUCUUCCCAAAUUCACUAAUUUGACUAACCUUUAAGGACAAGGUUUAACCUUAUAGCUCCCUUCAAGUUUCUACCAAAACAUUAAGAUAAAACCCUCUCAAAAAGAAAUGCAAAUAUACAAAUAGAGAAUUAAUCCUUACAAGAUUGGAUUAUUUUCCAAUUUAGCACAAAAGAAAUAAUAAAACACUUGAGCUGAAUAAACAACAAUGAAAGGUCACAAGUGUGUAUAAGAAAAGUAUGAAAACUUUAAGCUUAAAGGUUGAUUAAUUGAAGUUUUUUCUUUAAUCAUCACUGUUAGUGUUGUAGACCCUUUGGAGGCUGGUUUUUAUACCCUUUAAUUAAUUUCCAACCAUUGUGGUUGUUGGAAUAUUGAAUAGAGUCAUUGGGGAUGAAAAUACCAAUGCAACAAUGCCACCUGCAACACCAGGUAUCGAUACUUUUUUUAUUAGUGUUGAUACCGUAUGCAUUUAAUGUCUAUUUUAGUAACCGUUGAAGCCAUCAAAUCCGAUACUAGGGAAUUCUAUCAAUACCAAAUAUAAAGUAUCGAUAUUGUAUCGAUACUUGAUAAGUCCUUUGGAAGUUUGAUUGCCAAUUUCGUAUCAAUACUGUAAAAUGUAUCGAUAAAAGCAUACCACUAUCGAUACUUGAAGAAAUUUAUCGGUACCUAGCAAAAUGAAUGAUACCGUAUCAAUACUAAUUAAAUAAUUUUGAAAAUAGAAUGUCAUUUUUGUAUUGAUACGGGAAAAUGUAUCAAUAAAAUUUUAAAUUUAUCGAUACUCAAGAAAAUCUAUCGAUACUUGAUAAAAAAUAUCGGUAAUGGAUCAAUACUUUUUGGUCUAGAGUAGUUUUAACAUGUUUGAAAGUUUUUUUUAACAAGUUGACCAUAAAAUAUUUUCUAAGUAUGAGUUCAACUAUUUUUAUUUUUAGAUGUCAUUUGAAAUGAUUUUUUUUGCCAAGUUUUAUUUAAAAUGAUUUUUGUUCAAAACAUAAUAUUUGUUAUAUCAAAAUAAUUUCCAAGUAAAGCUUGGUUCAACAGUUGAUAUUGAUUAUCGAGAUAGUGGAUUGAAUUGGAUAAAAUGGAAAGUAGUAUUAUUUAGUGAAGACAUUAUGUGUAAUAUGAGAAUGGAUUGAAACAUGCUAUAUGGUAAGAGAUAUUUUUGGGUUGAUGAUGAAUUGAAAUGAGAUUAUAAAUUAAAUGUGAAAUUAUAUAUGAAUUGGAUUAAAUUGAAAUGAAAUGAAAUGGAUUGGAUUGGUGAUUAGUGAUUGGUGAUUGAAUUGUGAUCGAUUACAGGGUAUGAAAUACAAAUGUGACCGAUUACAGAGUAUUAUACGCAAAUGUGAAUGAUAUAGGGUAUGAAUAUGUUAAUAAAUAUGGUUCGUGCCCAUGUGAACUUAGUAAAAUGUUAGGAUACUAUUAGCAUUCCAAUUGGGUCAUAUGUGUGCUUGUAUGAGAUAUGUGAGAUAUGAAGAUUAUGGUAGAUUAUAUUGAGAUCCAACAUCUGUUGCACAUCAUCGAGUAUUGUUUGUCUCUAUGGAGACUUUGGUGUGGUAGAGGGAUGUAAUUGAAAAUGUUUAAACAUUUUAUGCCUACGAGCUUUGCACUUUGCUGCCUUGGUGUAGUGUAGUUUAAGCUCAUACGAGCUAUCUUGAUGUGAAGUAGUUCAUCUGUGUAUCCAGAUUCGUUUUACUAGGGUCCCAUUGGGUGAACAAUUGAAAUAAAAUCUUGAAAUCGAAAAAUGAAAUAAGCCAAAUUUUGGUAAGCUAUUAUAAUGUAUGAUUUGAAUUGAAUUGGUAUGAACUUGUGAUUUGAUAAUAGUAUAUGAAAUAAUUUGUUGAUAUGAAACUAUAUGUGUGCAUAUAUGUAAUUCACGGUAGAGAAAGUGUAACACCCAAUUUUGGCGGGUUUUGAGAUGGCAAGUGAACAAGAGUAAUCUGAGUGGCGAGAUAUUAUUUUCCCAGUUGAUACUUUUGUUAGACAUAUUGGGCGCAUAGUUAAUAAUGGAGUAUCAUGAAAGGAUUGUUCUGUGAAUGCGUUAAGUCGCGAAGAAGACGGGAUUCGUAGGAUGGUUUAGGAUUCUUGGGUAAAUUGGGUUAUCACCAAAGGUAUUGUACGUCAAUUUAUUGAGUUACAUUCUAGUCACGUUCUAAUGGUAUAGUUAGGAAGGAUCGAAAGGGUGAACCAAAUAUAUGUAACUAUUGGAUUUCCUUUUUGCAACUGUAAACCAUUUGUAUAGGCAGUCUUGAAAGUUUGUGCCAUGUGUCAAAUAUCAUUAUGAGAACUUGGGUUUUAUAUGUUAUUGUGAGUUUAGGAAGAGGGAGUUUUUCUUCCUUUUUUUAUUUCAAAAUGCUAUGAUGGUUUUAUCUGGGAGUUAAGACAAGAUCUCUCUUUUGUUAAGCUGAAACUAAGGAUCCAAGCACAUGAAGAAGGUUAUUUUGCAUCCUGGGUAAGUAUUAAGUAUGAUAUGUUGACUUCUGAAAGAGUAUGUUUGUUUUGUAGGCAUGGACAGUAAAAUGAGGAAGUAAGGUUUUUCCAUGGGGGAUUAUCUUGGUUUUAGAUGAUUGUAAAAAUUGAAUGAAUGAGCUUUAAUGAUGUUCCUGUAUUCUAUAAGCAAUGAUUGUUGUGGGUUUUGGUUAGAUGUUGAAAAUGGAGUUCCAGUUGCUACUUAUGGGUAUCAAGUGAGUCCCUAGAUUGACUCUUAUAUGUAUAGAAACUUCUAUGCUAAGUGCCCAAAGCAUGUGAUCAAAACUAGUAAAUAAUAAUGUGACAAAUCUGAUAAGAAAAGUAAGAAUUAUGAUCCUAGAAGACUAUGUAUGCUUAUGUCUAAAAAUAAGAACGAGUCUGAUAGGAAGUGUAUAUAUGUCUGGUAAGCAUAAGAUUUUUUGUCAUGAGUGAGUCGAUGCAUGAUGAAUUGCGUCUGUCUCUAGAGUCAUCUAAAGGGGUUCGUCGGGACUAAAAACAUGAAUCUCUUAAAGGACAAGUCCAUGGGCGUGGUGCUAAAGACCAUAUCGUGUAAGGCUGUAACUGGUGGGUUAUGGCAUCAAAUGGAAGAAUUUAAGGAAGAUUAUUACCUAAUGUGGUUCUCUGUGUACCCUAGGACAAUGAAGGGCAAACCUCACUAAGUGUGAGUCUAGGCAAAUCCCUAUCACCCAAAUCACCAAGAGACGAAAAACCUUUGUGGCGAACCUGUUAAAGGAAGCCUUUAUGGCUAUCUCAAAAAGAAGGAAUGCCUUUGUGGCGUAAUCUAAUGAAUGACCCUUGUGACAAAUAUUUGUAGGAAAAGUAUGUACAAUGAACUCUGUAAGAAUGAUAUGUAUGAAGGAAUGGUAAGUAUGGUAAAUUCUGAAAGUUUGAUAUAUAAAUAUGGCCAACCUUGGAGGAACAAUAUGGAAAAAUCUAAAGGAAUGGUUUUGUAUAGUAUGACAAGGUGAAUCCUUCAUAUUAUGGGAUAUGAACAUUAAAGGUAAAACAUGUCAAAUGUGUUUGGCGAAUCAAGAGUGUUCUGUCUGUAUGUUCCUUUGUAAUAGUAAAGGUUAAAGAAUCAUGAAUGGGCAAGGCGAAGAACAUGAACAAUGUAACAAUGACGUGAAAAGGCAAGUUAUGAUCGUUGUACAAGGUUUGAAAACUAUGGCAUGAUUAAUAGAAUCUUGGAGACGUAUUUGUCAGAGUUAAGCUAUAAAAAUCUAGAACAAGGAGAUAGAUAUUCUCGAAUAAGACUUAGGUAAAUUAGGGGUUACCCAUUGUAAUGCCCCAAAUUUAAGUUUUUAAUUUUUGCAAUGUUUUGUCACAAAUUGCUUGUUUGCUUUAAUGGCUAAGUGAUUUGGGUGUGUAUGGGAGUGUUUGAGAAGCCUGGGUUCAAGUCUUGGCUUUUGCAAAAUUUUUAGUUUUGCUCUUAAUUAAAUAUGGACACUGGUACUUAGGCCUUAUAAAUAUUAGUGUUGGUUUUAUAUCAUAAAAAGAGCUUGUGGUCUGGUGGCAAGAUGGCGUGUUGGGUAACUGUGAGGUCUGAGGUUCAAGUCCUGGGUUGCGCAAUGGAAUAUUUAUUUUGUUGCUUGAGCUGGGUGGGUGGUGGAGUUGGACUAGAAUACUGUUGAGUGGAGUUUGAAUUGGUAAUGGAGAGAGUUGAGGAGGAUUUGAUGGAGAAAAUCAAUGAGGGAUAAGGGGAGAGAUUUGAGGAGAAAAUUUAGGAGUGGGUUAAGAAGAGAGUUUUGCCGUUUGGGAAGUUUUCACCUUGGGAAUUUUGGCUAGGGGUAUGGGUGUGCCAAAUUUGGUCUUUGGCAUUUUGGGUAAUCGGUGUAUUGCGUUGUUUUCUCUGCUUGUCUCGAUUUGGGUCAAUUUCGUAUUGUAGCUUUUGAUUUUUGGCAAGUUUCUUAUCGGGUUUGUACACUUUCCUAUUUCGUUUUCUUUUCCCCCUUCUCUCUGCUGGCCAAAUAUCCUUUUCUUCUUCCCUCUCAUUUUUUCUACCAAAUUCUCCUUUCUUUUCCCCCUUUCCAUCCCUCUCUCUUGGCCGAAUCCCUUUCCUCUGCCCCUUUUUUUCUUUGACUGAAUGUUCUCCUCUCUUUUUCUAUUUUGAUUCUUACCUAGUAUUAUUUUAUUUUGCUUUUGAACUGGGGACUAUCUCAUUUCUUUAUGUGGGGUUUAGCCGAUUGUUAUUUCUCUGUUCGAUCACUCCUUGCUCUUAUCUUUUUUUCACCGCGGUUGAUGUUCAAGUGCUGCAAGUAUUGCAGAUUAUCGGUAAGUCACGAUACUCCUCGCUUUUUGUUUUAAUCGGUUCCUUUCCACUCUUUAUCUUUAAGCCGAAUACCCUCUUGCCCACUAUUAUGGCCUAAUUUAGUCUAUGAAGGUCAUUGUGUGGUGCAGAUUAUCGUUGUAGCAUGUGAUUGCUUUUGGGUUAGCGGUUUGGAACAGUAGGGUUGCCCUCAUACAAGCAAGGUAAAGAUGGUGAUUUUUGGGUUGUGUCUUGUAAAAAAAGAGAGGGUGUUUUACCCUAACAGUUAAGGGACUAGCGUUGGAUUAUGUUGAAUCUAGGUUGGUGUACGUGGAGGUUGUGCUCUUCUCGUAAUUAGGUGCGUAAUCACACCCUAUCAACUGCAAAUCAGCAAAAGCCGAAAAGUCGAAAAAGACGGCGUUGAGACCAUAUGAGCGUACGAAUGCUCGUGUGGUAAACCGAACCCAUGAAACAUGGUGUUGGAUUGUAGAGGCUUCCAUGAGCAUUUUCAUGGGCUUAGGCCGAAAUGGGUCACAAAUUACCAAAAUACACCCAUAGGGUAAUAUUAUCGAAAUACCCUCGAAGGGUAAAAUUAUUAAAAUACCUCUAUAGGGGAAAUUACCGAAAUACCCCUAAAGGGUAAAAUGACCAAAAUAUCUCUAAAUGGUAUAAUAACCAAAAUACCCCUGAAGGGUAAAAUGACCAAAAUAUCCCCCGAAAGGUAAAAUGACCAAAAUACCCCCACAGGGUAAACUGACUGAUAUACCCCAAGAUUUGGAAAAUGUGUAUGACUGUUUUUGCUCUAUGGUAUAUGUACAUAUUGUUACUGAAUAUGACAUACUGCAUACACGUAUGAUUUAUGACAUGACAUUCUGCAUAGGGUUGGGAUUCUGAUAUCGGGGAAGUAUACCAUACUGGUAGCUUUGCCACAAAUACUAUUACUGGCAGCUUUGCUGCGUUACUGUUACUGGCAGCUCUGUUGCACUAUUAUUACUGGCAACUUUGCUGCGAUAUUUGUGUGUUGCUGGGUGGGUCGAUUUUAUCCCUACAUGGUGUAUUGGUGGUAUGGAGUGGUGUGUUGGCUGGAUUGGGAUGGGUAGCAUCACUGCAUUGUACUGUUUACUAUAUUGGGCUAAGGCCCACCUUGUUACUGUAUUGGGCUAAGACCCACGCUGUUACUGUAUUAGGCUAAGGCCCACACUAUUACUGUAAUGGGCUAAGGCCCACACUGUACUGAUAUUGUAUAGGGCUUAAGCCCAGAUUGAUUCUGCAUUUUGCAUAGUGAUUGUUUAGAAGGGGAUUACACACUAAGUUUUGUAAACUCACCCUCUCCUUUAACUGUGCAGGUAAUCCUCAGCCAUAGGCGAUUCGGAGCUGUAAGGGACUCAAAGAAGGCCACACAAUCACUGUUUUUCAUAUCUGCAUUUAUUCUGAUUUAAAUAAUAAGUUGGGUUUUGUUUUUGUAAUAAGGCCUUUAAUUUGGUUUUAAAUUUUAAUUGGGUUUUCACUUACAUAUUUUAUACUGCUAGUUAGUUGAAAAUGAAUUUUCAAAAUAAUUACUGUUUUCAAAGACACGGGCUUUAAAUGUUAGAGUUUUCAAAAUGCUUCCGCGUUUUAAAUCAACUUAAUAUAAAAAAAAAGCAGUUAACAAGGCAAACAUAUGAUUAAGUGUUUCGUUAGAUAUUUAUAAGAGGUUUCCAAAAUUAAGAAACAAGUUUGUCAACAAGCCAAAAUUUUUUAGAAACACUUCAAUGUGACACACCAGAUACAGCCAUAACAUUUAGGCCGCGUGUAGGGUGUUACACCCACUAAGUUCUAUCGAACUUACCUCUGUGUCAUUAUGUCACAGGUAGGAGGAUUAGGGGGCAACACGAAGUGGGACGACACUAGGACUACACCAAGGGAGUGGUGAAAACGGGCUAUAUGCAUAUAGAGCAAAGGGAGUGGCGUGCUCAAGUCUGAUAGAAAUGUUAUGAAUAAGUUACGAAAUUUGUUUAGAAGCCUUGUGGUGUGUGUAAAAUGUGUUUGUAUUAUAAACGCUAUAAUGCCCUCAACCCAAAUCAAUUCACCGGAUCCGGAUCUUAAGUGUUACAUUGCUAUAACAGACUUAUACAUACAUAAAACAUGUAAAUUUUCAAAGAAAUACAUCUUAUUAGUAAUACUGCCCAACAAACUUGUGUUUGGGUGAACAAUGUGUACAAAACUCAGAGUAUAAUUACCAUCACAUUGGUUUAUACGAUCCCACUUAUUUAACCUCUAAAUAGUACUAUUGACUUAGAUUAUUUGGCUAACACAAUUGAGUGACCCUAAGGCUAAUAAACAAAUUUUCAAAACUUGUUUGAAAUGUUUCUAUCAGACUCAAACACGCCCGUGCAACACUCACUUUCUAUUCUUAUAUGCCGACUUAGCCAUCCUUUAGCGCAGCGCUAGCGUUGUCCCUCCUAGCAUCUCUUUUACUUGAGAGAUAACACACAUAGGGGUAAUUUUGAUAGAACUUAGUGAGAAAACCCUCUUUUACCUGAGCCCUUAUUCAAGGAUUUCAUCAUUUGUUUCUCGUUCAUGACUUUGACCCUAUCAAUUGUAUAGACUUCGCCAUAACCUUCCAUAUUGCAUUUUCCUUUAAAGCUAAUCCAUAGUUGCCAAAUCACAGACUACUAUGUACGUCAUUCAUUCAGACUCUUCUUGCAGGCAUUCUCUUCAGAUAGUCAUCAUAAUAACCGUUCUAAAGAUUCUGCCACGAAGGCAUUCCCUUCCAAAGAUAGCCACAGAGCCUUUCUUUUCAGAGUCUCGCCAAAAAGGGUGUCCUUCUAAAAGAGAGAGCCAUAAAGACAUUAUUUUUAUCAAAGAUGGUCACAAAGGCUUCCGUUUAACAGAGAUCGCCACAAAAGCUUUGUUAUCAAAACUACCACAAAGACACUUUUUUAACAGAGAUAACCACAAAAACAUCUUUUUAGAGAUAGCCACAAAGGCAUCCUUUUAGAGAUAGCCACAAAGGCUUACUUAUACAGAAGUUGGUGUUUUUAACAAUAGGUGUUUGCUCAAUUGAUCAAACCGAAAUUGCCAAGAGGGGGUGAAUUGGCCUUUAAAAAUUUAGUGGAAGUAAAGAAAGAGUAUGAAACAAUGAACGUAAAGAUUUAGAAUGGUUCGACCCCAAUUGCCUACUCUAGUACCUUAGCUUUCCACAGCUAAGGAUUUUCCCAAAUUCACUAAUUUGUUCAACCUUUUAGGACAAGGUUUAACCUUAGAACUCUCUUAAGAUCUCUACCCAAAUCUUAAGAGAAAACCUCUUAAAGAAUUACAAAGAAGAAAACUAAGAAAUCAUCCUCAUAAGAUCAGAAUGUUUGCCAAUAAAGAAAAAAUAAAAACAGGAAUACACUUGAGCUAAGAAUAACAACAAAAGCUCACAAGUGUGUAAAAGAAAAGUAAGAAAGAAUUCAGCACUAAGGUUGAAUUGAUUGAUAUUUAGGCUUGAUUAUCUCUCUUGUAGGACCAUCAGAAGCUGAUAUUUAUACCUUCUAAUACAUUUCCAAUCAUUGUGGUUGUUGGGAGAAUAAAUAAAGUCGUUGGGAUAGAAAUAUCAAAUCAUUAAAUUCACCUGUAACAAAAAGUAUCGAUACUAUAAGCAUUUAAUGUCUGAUUCAAUGACCGUUAAAGUUAGUUUCUAAUGAUACCAAACAAUGAUUUAUCAAUAUCUGGUAAAAGGUAUCGAUACAAUUUUAUGGGUAUCAAUACUUUUUGAUGUUUUUCAAUAGAUCAUGAAAAACAGAAUGCAAAAUUAGUAUUGAUAUAAAUUUUGGGUAUCGAUAAAAAUCAAUAGGUAUUGAAAUAAUUUUAAAGGUAUCGAUACUAAUAGUUUGUAUUCAAUUUUUUAUUUGAAACAAAGAGCAGAUUUGGUAUUGAUAAAAAUUAAGGUAUCAAUAAAAUUGUGCAAGUAUCGAUACAUUUUGGAAAACAUUGAUACUUCUUGUUAGGAGUAGUUUUUCAAUUGAUUUGAAAUGGUUUUGAUUAAAUUCAAGAUUUUAAAUUUAUUUUUUAAAAUUGUCAAAAAUAUUCUAAGUGUUUACAGCAUUUUCUAAGAUGUUUGGAAAUUUUGAAAUAUUAUUUAUGGUUUAAGUUCUUUGUUCAAAAGAAAAACAAAUUUAUAUAUUAAAGAUAUGUUUUUUAUAUCAAAAUAAUUUAACAAAUAAAGCUAGUUCAACAAUCUCCCCCUUUUUGAUAUAACAAAAUAUAUUGGUAAAUUUAUUUUUGAAUUUCUUACUCCCUUUUUUAGAGUUCAAUUUGAGUCUACUUGGUUUUUUUGUGAAAUUUUGAAAACAAGGAUUUGACAAUAAAAAAAUAGUCACUUGAUGCUGGCAUUAAACGAUUAGUCAUAAAAUCAACCAAAUACCAAUAAUUUACCUUUAUAUUAUUUUCUCCCCUUUUUGUUAUAUCAAAAAUUAACAAAUAAAGCUUAAGAGAGACUUCGUUAGUUCAAUAAAAGAGUAAAUAAUUUGAAAAACAAACAAAUAACAUAGAUGUUUCAAAAACAAGUCUCACAAUUAAGAUACCAAAAUAAACAUUAAGUUCUAACAUAGAAUUAAGAAAAUAUGCAACGAAGAUGAGUGAAAUGCAUGAGAAAAAGAAAUAUAUGCGUCCUAAUCUUCUUGAGGUGGAGAAGGAGAAGAUAAUUGAUACAUUAUAAAUGCAAUAUUUUCCUUCAUCCUAGACAUCCUAGAGUUUAAACCAAGAACCUUAUCAUUAAAAUGCCUAAAGGCAUCAUCUACCUAAGUGCUGAAACCCCUAAACUCCUCACUCAAGGAGGUAAUUGCACCAAGGAUGAUGAUAAACAUUUCGUUAGAGAGAGGCUGAGCAGAUGGUUGUGCGAAGGAAGAAGCCAGUGGAGGGUCUUGGUCUUUUUCAAGUUAUUCAUUAUGAAAAUCAUAAGGAACAUGGUGAACAUCUUUAACCCAAGUGUUGGUAGUAGGAUACAGUUUAAAACCAUCUCUACAAAGGGCAGAAAAGCUAAUAGGUUCGUGUUUAACGACCAAAGGAGAAUCAACAUUAGUGGGGAUGUUAAGACAUUUGAAAAUGUAUGACAAGAAUGUACCAAAGGGCAGAGAGAGUUUACUCUAGAGCUUUUGACCAAUACAUUUGGUAAUGUUAUUGAAUAAAAUUAAAGCCAAAUCUGGACGCCAAUAGUCAGUAGAUCAAAGAACAAUAUGUUUUGAAAUAAGAUGUAAUAUCCAUGUAAUUAUAAAAUGAAAAAUGUGAUCAUGGACAUCUAGCUCGGAUGCAAACGAGCGUCGAACGUUCAAGGCUAGAUUAUAAGAGCCUUUCUCAUUUGACUCACCUUGGGGAGGAAGUUUCAAAAAAAUCACUGAAAUUUUCUAAAGUGAGAUGAAUAGGAGUAUUCAUCUCACUGGACUCAUCAUGUUUGAUUAUAGCAUUUGAAUAAAAUGCUCAAACAAUAUUAGCAUGACUUGUUGAACAGAUUUUGAAGAAAUCAAUCCACUGUCAUUCGGCUAAAAUUUAAAGAAAUGGAAAAUUUAUUUUGCCCAAAAAAUCGAUAUCAAGGGUGCAAGAAACAUUAACAUUUUGUUUUAGAACAUAGUGACUAAAAUGGUAGGAGUCAUAUUUAUCUUUAAAAUAAUUAUCAAAAUAAUUGGGUUGUCCACUACAAGAAGAUGAAGGACCGGAACGAGGGCGUCUCCUAACUGACAUUCUAACUAACUGGUCAAUAAUAACUUUAUUAGCACUAAAAAUUUUGGUUGGGAAGAUUGUCAAACACUUUGUGAGCAAUAAGUUUGAAUAAUUUUUUUUAAGAGUUUGUUUAAAACUAGGCAACCACCUACAUGAAAACACAUGUAAUAGCUUGGUUUUAUUUAAAUCGAAACAAUGGUUUUAGAACCACAAAUCCAAUGAUUUAGUUGGUUCGGAAAAAGAUGGUUUGUAUAUGAAAUAUGACUAGUAGACAUGAAUUGUGAUAAAUGACUGUGUUAGACUGUGUUGAGUUAGGUAGUGCCUCGUAACCCUAAUCCAGCGAUGGAUACGGGUUGUGUGUGUUACAACACAUUCGAAAUCAACCCAAAAAUACAAUUUCCAAUCAACAAUUUAAAAGUAAUUCAACAAAUUUCGUACUAGAAAAAUAAGAGUUUUACCUUGAAAUUGCUUUGAAAAUUUGAAAAGUACGAGCGAACUUGAAGAAUUCUUGUAGAAUAUGAUAAUGUAGGUGAUUUGAGUCAAGUUUUUAAAGAAAAAAAGGAAGAAAUAGAAAUUUUUGAAGAGUGGGUUGAGAGGGUUUUGAAAAAUGGAAGAAAUAUUUAAGGUUUAGUUGAGAAACAAGUUGUAGGUACCUUAAAAGUUCAACGAGUAUCAAUACUUUUAAAAUAAGUAUUGAUAUUUUUCAAAAAGUAUCGAUAAAAUUGUAUCAGUAUCGGUACCAAAUGCUGAAACUAUUUUCCAAGGUGCAGAAAAUUUUCUUAACAUGAAUUUUAAGUUCUAACUAGUUCUAUACUAACUUAGGAUGACUUAACAACAAUAUCUGAUGAGUUCAUAUGCUUGAAUAUGCCAAACAUGAGUAUGAUGCAUAUGAAACAUAUAGUAUGGUGAGGUAUACAAAAAUUGAACAAUUUCAUCAAACAAAGUCUAAUUGACCACAUUCAAAUAUAUUCAAAAUUUUUAUACUAGACAAUAUUGAUCAAACUAGAUUAAUCAUGCAACAAUUAACUCUCCCUACCUAAUUGUAUAUAGAAGUCAUAAAAAUCAUGCAUAGUUACUUUUGCAAUCAAUUUUAAGUCAUAAAACAUUUCAAAGACAACAAAGUACAAAAAAAUCAUUUGAACAGAAAAUUAAGGUAAGGUAGUAAUAUCUAGUUCUCUCCUAAGUGUCCAAAAUCUUUCUUUGUCUAGAGGUUUUGUAAAAAUAUCAACUAAUUGAUUUAAGGUGUCAACAUACUCUAGAACAAUCACUCCUUUUUGGACAUGAUCUCUAAUGAAAUAAUGUCUAAUAUCAAUAUGUUUAGUUCUAGAAUAUUGGAUAGGAUUUUUAGUGAGAAAAAUAACACUAAUAUUGUCACACUUGAUAGGAAUGAUAUCUAUAUGAAUUCCAUAGUCCUUAAGUUGUUUUUUUAUCCAUAAAACUUUAGCACAAAAACUACCGGCAGAAAUAUACUCUGCUUCGGUGGUGGACAAUGCAACACUAUUUUGUUUCUUUGAAACCAAUGAUCUGAGUAUGUUGCCUAAGAAUUGAAAAGUACCAGAGGUGUUGUUCUUAUCUAGUUUGCAUUCUCCAAAAUCUGCAUCUGAGAAUGCAAGCAAGUUAAAAGAUGAGUCUCUAGAAUAACAAGGCCUUAAAUUAAGAGUGACUCUAAGGUAUCUAAAGAUUUUCUUAAGGGCUUGUAAAUGAGAUUCUUUAGGACAUGAUUAAAAUCUAGCAUACAAACAAACACUAAACAUGAUAUCGGGUCUACUUGCGAUAAGAUAUGUUGGAUGGCUGGUACGCCCUGUGACACAACUGAAAAAUUAUUUCGAGGACCAUCAAGUAAGGAUCCAUGUAUGAGGAAUGAAUCAGGAUGAAACAAUGGUAAAAAAAUAUACCUUUCAAAACUAAAAAAUGGUGAAUAACGUUGUUGAUAGGAUCCCUUUUGGAGAUGUCGAUUCCAAGCUGCAACAAUAACGUCUCGGCCUCUCGUAUCCACCCAGUCAAAGAAUGAAUAGCAAAAUUCUCUUGAACUUUUUAGAGAGAAUUUUCAAGAAGCUAGACCUUUUUUAUUUUUUUUCUUGGCAACCCUAACACACUAAGGGAUUCCUUUCCUUUUAUUUAGUUUGAUAUCAUAUAUCAGGAAAUAAAAAAUGAGAUUAUUCCCUUAUUAUUAGAUAAACAAAUGAAAAGUCAAGAAAAAUAUUAUAUUCUUUCCAAAAGUAUAUAACUUUCCAUGUCCUUUUAUAUUUUGAUUGAAAUUAUUAUAACUUUUUAUAUUAAUAAUUUUGGUAAAAUAUAUAUAAUUAAUAUAUUGCAUUAAUCAAAUGCAUAUAUUAAAUUUAUUUAUGUUCUCUAUUUGUGUACAAUAAGAUUGUACAUAUAAUGUGUUUAGUAUUUAACUAGCAAUUAAAUUAAUUCAACAAUUAAUUUAAUUCACGUGACAGCUAAAUACAAUACUAGAUGUAUUUGGGUUUUGUUAGCAUCAACUAUAGGGUAUGACACUGCAUCUAAAAGUUCGUUUUCAGUGAAAUUGGAACAAUGGUUUCAGGACCACAAAUCUUAUGUGAAAAUAUUUAUUUUAUUAUUAUUUUAACUUCUACAACAUAUUAGUAUUACCGUAUAAAAAUUUCAUUAAGAAAUUUUACUGUCUGUAUGUUUGUUUUGAUAAAAAGGACUAAAUUGCAUAAAGUGCAAAACUAGAGUUCUAUAGGCUAAAGGCAUUAAAUAGCUAUAGAACCUUAAAGUAUGAGUUCUUAUGUGGAAAUUAGACCAUUCAUGUUGAUAGUGGAAUGUGAUGGAUAGGUUUUAAUGAAAUAUUAAAGGUUUUUAAAGGUUAUUUUGGUAAAUGAACAAUUAAGUAAAUUAAAAGUAAAAUGGUAUCAUCUCCUUCAUCCAUUUAACCUAAAAGCACCGAAAUUUCUUUGAUAAAAGGGGGAGGAUUUGGAUAGGGUAAAAUCUUCAUGCAUGGUAGGUUUUCAAGUCCAUUUUAACAAUUUUUAUGUUUCCGGGAUCAUUGUAGCUUAAUCUAGCUAGCCUGGGGACUAAUUUGCAAAAUUAUUAAAUGUUUAGUGUUUUACCAAGAAUGUAUAUAUAUUUUUAUGAUGUUUGAUGGAAGAAAAUGAAUGUUUGUUGUUAGAUACACAACUUUUGUUAAGAGAUUUUUUAUGAAAUUGUCAAUAAGGGAUUAAAUUGAAAAAUAGAAUUUAUACAUGGUGAAAUUGUGAAAUUAAUGAAAUGAAUGAAAUGUAGGUCUUGCUAGGGACCAUAUGAAAUUCGACUAUGGUGGUUUAAGGAUGAAUUGCAUGAAUUUUCAUUUUAUGAACUAGGGACUAAAUUGAAAUGAAAUCAAAAUUAUUGGGGCAAAAAUGUAAUUUUGCUAAAAUAUAAUUAUUAAAUUCAGCUGAAUUUAUUUGUUUAGAUCAAAAAAAUCUCGUAUGGCUUUAGAUCGGGGCAGAGAUAAAGAUUCGGAAUAAUCGCCUCCGUAUCUUCGUUUAAUCGUCGAUGUAAGUUUGUGUAAUUAUAUUGCAUUUGUAUGUUCUGUGUUAAUAUAUAUAUGUAUCAUGGAUUGUUAUUCUUAAUUUGUUGCAUAUCCAACAAUGUUACAACGACUAUCAAGCCCCGUUCGAACCUUAGGAAUUCGUAGGAUACAAAUGACAUGUCAUUAGUGUUUACAUGAUCCGGGUGCUAGUCUUGAAUGUCCUACCGAUGGCUGAGGUCUGACAUGUGUUGCGGAUACUCCACAGCUCGUAUGAGUAGGCCCAUUUUCACAGCUUGUGUGAGCAUUCUGAUUCACAGCUCGUGUGAGAAUACAUGUAUAGGAAUUGACGGAUUACAGUUAUAUAAGUUAGCACACUAUGUUUGAGCUAUCUCAGGUAUCCAACAGUAUUCUAAAUGGUUCAACGGGCGUGAUUUGUAAGAGAAUGGUAAGAUUUCGGUACGAACUAAUACAUGAACACAUGUGAAUUACAUUGAAUUUGUGAUGCAUCGCAUAAAGAAAUGUUGAGAUGGAUGAUAUAUGCAUAUGAUACAUGAUUAAAUGUUGUGAUCAUCCAUGAUUAAUUGCUUAUGUUAUAUGCCUAUAUGGCUAACAUGGUUGGUGUAAAUGCUUAGGCUAUGGCCAAGUUGUGGUUGGAUUAUGCUAUGUUUAACUUACUUAUUAUGUGAUGAAAUGGUAAGUUGAGUUUUACAUUAUGCGAACUUAUUAAGCAUUUAUGCUUACUCUGUGUUAUUUUCCAUGUUUUAUAGUGAAUCAGAAGCUUGUUCGGGUUGGAAGCUUGUCAGAGUUAUAUCACACUAUCCAUUGGCUAAAUCAGUAGAUUUUGGUGUUUCUAAGUUUUGGUUAUAAUGGCAAGUAUAGGAGUUUUUGUUUGAUGAUUUAGCCAUUUGUUUUUGGCUUGUGUUAUGGCAUUUUGGAUGGUGAAAUGGUGUUAAUUUUGGCAUGUGUAAAUUUGGCCUUAUAAUGGUUGAUAUCAUGGCUUAUGAUGCUUGAAUGAUAGAAGAUGGAAUGGUAGUUAAAAAUGUAUGUUAUAAAUGGUCUUUUAACAUGUUUAAAUGUGGUGAAUUGGCAUAAUUGUUAUUGAUGACAUGUAUGGCUAUUGGUGCUAGAUGUUAAACGCCAUAUUUGGCACUUUUUGGUGUGUAUUUGAUAGGUAAACAAAAUGUACAUAUGAUUAUACAUGUGCUUAAACUUAGUUAUAAAUUAGUUGAAAUUUUGGCCAAAUUGUGCAUAUGAUUAUACAUGUUUAAUGGUUGUGAUUGAGGUGCCUCUUGGGCAUAUUGGUUGUAUGUAUAUGUACUUUAUUUGAAUAGCUUAUUAUGGCAUGGUUUGGUGCACUUUGGAGUGUUUGACUAUAUGUGGAAAAUUGCUUCUAGGUGGAUGCAUGUUUGGGAAAGAAAAUUGCUUGGAAAUGACUUAUUUUUAGUCCACACGGCCAGAGAUGCGGGCGUGUGUCUGAGCCGCGUGUGACACACGGCCAGGCGACACAGCUGUCUGUCCCCUAUAGCUUACAAAGGGUUGCAAGUCAGGCUGUUACACGGCCUAGCACACUGCCUGGUACACGGGCGUGUGGCUUGGUCGUGUGACCCAAGUCAGUGAGUUACACGGGCUAGGACACGACCGUGUGUCCCUACUUCGAAUGUCCACUUGUGAGUCACACGGCCUGGCCAUACAGACAUGUGACCCCUGCAGUUUGAAAAUUUUCAACUGUUUUUGAAAAAUUCUAUAUGUUUCUUAUUUAGUCUCGAUUUGUUUCUAAUGUGUUUUUAAGGCCUCGAGGGCUCGAAUAUGGGACAAUAUAUAUUCCUUUGAUUGGUUUUGUUAUGAUUGAUGAUGUGAAUUAAAUGUUUUAAAUAUUUUAUUGUUUUGAAUUAAAAUCUCUGGUAAUGAUCUGUAACCCUAUUCUAGAGAGGGAUACAAGUUAGGGCUGUUACACUAUAGGCUCUUGUAAUGUUGGUAGUAAUACUAGAGCAUUUUGAACAUUACAAGCAAUGUGUGGCAUCUAGCAAUGUGUCAUUGCUACCCAAGUUGCAAGAAGUCGUGAUUUGACAUAACCUUUCUGUGAUAAUUUUUUCAUGUAUUAUAUCAUUUUAUCCUUAAUAUUUAGAUUUGACAAAAGUCAUGGAAUAAUCAAACUUGUAUGGUCCGAUCUCAUAUUUUUUAAUUUUCUGAGUAGACUACAAUAAACAAAUAACUAUGAUAUCUAAUAUCAACUUAUUCGAGUAUGGCAAUGCAUUUGUAGUCUCACUCCAUCAAGAGGCCUAAGUUAUUGCUCCCAUUAUGGAGGAGGGAUAAAUCCUAUGUUGAUUAACCAUAUCUCACUACAUGGAUUAUGGUAUAUCCAACAUCAGUGUUUAUAGCAUAACCUGUUGUCGUAUACGUUUGACUGUAUCAAAAUAUACGAUUCAUGAUGUUGGGACAAUGAUGAUCUCAAGUCUGAAGAUCAUAUACAUAGUUACCACUAUGAGUAAUAUUUGUGACUAUUAUAUAAUAAUCCAAGAAACAUACUUAUAGCAGGUUAGUCCAGUAUGUUGUUCACUAACACAUACUCAUUUAUUGAUUUUGACAUCCCUAUGUUAAUGACAACACUUUGUCAUCAAUCAACUACACAUUAGUCUCAAUGCAUUAUCAUUGUCCAAGCUUACAAUAAUACUCGACUAAUGACCUUUUUAAGAAUAAUCAUAUUCUUCUUAGGACUUAUUAUUAAACAAUUUAUUUAUACAAAGAAAAAAAACUAAAAUAAUAAUGGAAAUGCCUUAUAUUAACAAACAAUGUAAAAUGAGUAUGUGAUUACAAUCAUCUCAUGACUGUUCUUUGGACACACUCUAACAAGAUAAAGUAAAGAGUCAAUCAUAGACCUAUAUAUCUUUAAAUCAACACAUUUACCUUCCUCAUCUUUGUCAAGCUUUGUAGAAGAGCUCAUUGGAGUAGCUUGUGGUUUGAAAGUGUCCAUCCAAAACUUCUUGUGCAUUUCCUUUGUGUAUUUAGCUUGAUUGAUGAAGAAGUCAUCCUUUCUUUACAUGAUUUGGAGCCCCAAAAAUAAAUUUAGUUAUCCCAUCAUGCUCAUCUCAAAUUCACCUUGCAUUAGCUUAGAGAAUUCUUGACAAAGAAGAUUAUUCUUCAACAUAAAUUUGAACUACUAAUAAAUCUAUAUUUUCUUUUGAUAAAAAGUGUUAUGUUAAUCUUCUCUUUACAAAAACCUAUUUCAAUGAGGAAAUUUGAUAAUAUUUCAAACCAAGCUCUAGGAGCUUAUUUUAAACCAUAAAAGGCUUUUGAAAGUUUGAAAACAUGAUUUGGAAAUUUUGAAUCUUAAAAAUUGGGCGGUUAUUCAACAUACACGUAUUCAUUUAUAAAAACAUUUAGAAAAGCCCUUUUAACAUCCAUUUGAUAUAGUUUAAACUCAUUAAAACAUGCAAAAGCUAAAAGCAAUCUAAUAGCUUCUAUCCUAGCUAUGGGAGCAUAAGUUUCAUAAUAAUCUAUUCCUUCCUCUUCAGUGUAACCUUGAGCACAAGUCUAGCCUUGUUCCUUACUAUGCUACCACUCCCAUCUAGCUUGUUUCUAAGCCUCAUUUAAUACCUAUAGUAGAUUUAUCAAAAGUUCUUUCAACUAAGGUCCAAACUUUACUUCUCUCAACUUAAUUUAACUCUUCUUGAAUAGCCAAUAUCCAAUAUUCAUCAUUUAAUGCUUCUUUGAUAUUUUUAGGCUCAAUGCAUGAGAUAAAUGCAAUAUAGUUACAAGUAUUUCUAAGAGAAGACCUAGUAGUUACCCCUUUGGAUAGAUCUCCGAAAAUCUUACAUCCUUCACAUAGUUGAACUUUCUUGGAUGAGUGACUUUCCUUUCCUCUAUUGUAAACUCCUUUAGAGCAUCUUCUAUUUGUUCUUGAAUCUUCUAGUAGUUGAUCUACUUUAUCAUUAUUAUUAGAAAAAUUAUGCAUAAUCAUCAAUACAAGAAUCCUUUCUAGGAGGAAGGUUAGAGUCAUAAAAAAUAUCAUGUAUAGACUUUUCUACUACUACAAUUCUUUUGUUAAAUUCCUUCAUCACUUUUUGCAUCAAAUUUACCAAGGUUGUCUUUUCCAUUUUCUAAAAUGAAACAUAUGCGUCGAAAGGGAUAAAAAUAGCUAAUGUUAGGUUUUUUAUUUUUGAAAAGUUCAUGUGGAGUUUUCUUUAAAAUAGGCUUAAUAAUCACUCUAUUAACAAUGUAACAAGCAGUGUUUGUGGCUUCCACCAAAAAAUAUUUUGGUAAAUUAUUUUCACAAAGCAUGGUUAUAGCCAUUUAUUCUAAAAUUCUAUUUUUCCUCUCAACAACUCCAUUUUGUUGACGGGUUCUAGGUGCAGAAAAAUUAUGGCUAAUUACAUUUGUGUUCCAAAAAUUUUCAAAACUAAGAUUUUGAAAUUUGAUUCCAUGGUCACUUCUAACACUAGUGAUAGAGUAGCCUUUUUCAUUUUGAUUCAUUUCUGAAAAUGUGAUGAAUUUUUCUAAAGCUUCAUCUUUAGUGCUUAAAAAAGAAUCCAAGUAAGUCUAGAAUAGUCAUCAACAAGUACAAAAGCAUAUUGUUUUUCACCCAAGCUAGUUGUCCUAAUAGGACCAAACAAGUCACAGCUAGUUGUCCUAAUAGGACCAAACAAGUCUACGUGAAUUAGUUGAAGAACUCUCCUAGUUGAUACAACAUUAAUAGGUUUAAAGGAAACUCUUUUAUGUUUACAUUUAACACAUGCAUCUCAAACUUUAUCGAAUUCAAAAUCAAUUUUAGACAAUCCUCUUACUAAGUCAUUUUUAGCUAGUUUACGCAAUAUACUUAUGCUAGCAUGUCCCGGUUUUCUAUGCCAUAAUAGAGAAUUAUUUUAAUUUAUAGCAAAAAGGCAUAAAAUUUAAUCAUGCAAAUCAUCUAAAUGCACCAUAUAUGUAGACACUCAUUUUUGUCUGAGCCCAAUUGGAGGCCCAUUUGUUCCCUUUAAAUAUUUUUUCUCUCUUGGGCCCAUUCGAAGCCUACCCGAUUUUGGUCAAAUUGAGGCCUUUGUUUUUCUUUUAUUUUUCUUUCCUAUUGGGGCCUAUCAAGGGCCCAAACUAUUAUUAUCAUUACUACUACUAAUAUUAUAAUUAAAUAUUAUUAUUAUUAUUAUCUUUUUUAGGGCCUAAGGCCUAAGCUCUUUUAAUAGUCAGCUAGGGUUCCAGAGAACCUAGCCUCUCUUUUGUCACACAUCACAAACAUCCAAAAUAGUACCAAACUAUUAAUAAACAGAUCAAUAGAAACAUAAAAAAUUUACAAAUAAACAAGAUUGGAAAACAGUAUAUAUACAUGAAAUGAAAUGAAAGAAAAAAAAGGGGGGGCUUUUCAUAUUCUGGUCUUUUUUUAAGGUAAAAAAACAACAAUAACAACAAGAACCAUGGUAUUUAUUUUUCUAUUCUUCUUUUUUUUUCCAUAUACAUAUCUUGAGGGAUCGGGUUUGGGUUCCAAUGAAGGGGACAUCACCGGAACGUCGGUGCUCCACCCUUAGGAGCCCCAAAAUCUCAUUUUUUUCUUUUCUAAAAUAUAAGUUUUUUGUUAAAAAAAAGGGUCUUGAUCUUGGGAAAAUUUUAGAUUUUUAAAAAUAAAAAUAUGUACUUUUAGUCAAUUUUUUAACUAUUUCGAAAUAAAAGCUUUGAUCUUUAAGAAAAGUUGUGAUUCUUUAAAAGAACUUCGAUUUUGUACAAAAAAGAGAGGAUUCUAGUCACCUGUAAACUGAAAAAUAUAUAGGAUUUUCCUAUAUAAUUCAUUACCUUUGUACCUAAAUUUGUUGUUAAAACCAAGUAAUUGUUUAAUAAAUUAAUGAAAUAUGCGAAAAUAUGAAAUGAGGACAUAGAAAUUAUUAAAAUGUGAUUUUAUACUUUAUUAUAUAGUUUUCAUGCAUAAAAUGGCUUAUUUUAUAUUAAUUUGAGCAUAUUAUAUUUUUAAACUAUAAAGACUACUCCUGAAAACCCGAUUGUGGUUGAUGAUAAAGUGAAAGAGCAAUUUGAUUCAAUUUUCAAGCAUCAACCUAUGAUGCUGAAAAAAGGUUUUAAUCUGAAGAGUAAUGAUCUGAUGGCUGUUCCUAUGCCAAUUAGAAAGAUAAUCAAUGCUCUCAAAUGGGAAUGAUUCUGUGAUGCUCGUUCACUUCCCGAUGAUGAACUAGUUCAAGAAUUCUAUGCUAGUUUGACUACGCAAGAUGCUACUGAAGUUAUUGUUCAAAAGAAAAAGGUACCUCUUACUUCUAAGUCCAUCAAUGAUUUGUUUAAUUUACCUGAUGUUGAAUAAGAUGAGUACUACCCUAUGAUGAGCAAUAUCAAUCGGGAUUUUCUUCAACAAGUGCUUGAUGUUGUGACAAAUUCAGGAUCCCAAUGGAUUAUAAGAAAGUAUGGGAGUCAUUCUUGUCGAAGAGAAUACUUGAAACCAGUAGCAAAGGUAUGGUUAUUUUUGUUCGCUACAGUUUUAUGCCUAUCUCACACAGUUCCACCAUCUCGAUGGAACGGAUGCUUUUGUUAUAUGCAAUCUUGACAGAAAAAUCCAUUAAUGUUGGGAAAAUUAUCCGCAAGGAGAUUCACGAUUGUGCUAAAAAGAAGGCAGGAAGUGCUUAUUUCCCAUCAUUAAUCACUUCACUUUGCUUAAGGGAUCGUGUUAAAACACAAGCAAAUUUGAAGAGGCAGUAUGUCCAAGGGUGCAUUACAAGUCAUGAUCUUGAAAGGUUAGUAGAGAGAAUGCAUGAGCUGAAGUAAGGCGAGCAAGAGGAACCAACUGAGCCAGAAACCGAAAAGUCAAAAAAUAAAACUAAAAACUGAAGCUGAUUCAGUUACAGAUACUGAAGAAGAAUAAUUUGAUAAGAAACCAAAUAGUCGUCAACCAGCUGAAAACCCUGAACCUAGGGUUGAGCUAGAAGAAGAACAAGUCAAGCUAAGUGUUGAACCAGAAUUUACAACUCCAAUGCCGACUCCUACAAGUACUUCAAAGAAAUCGGAGCUGUCAAAUAUGAUGGACAUGUGCAAGUUCAUGCAUAAACAACAACAAACUUACUGGAAAUAUGCAAAAAUUAAGGAUGAUUCAAUUCAAAGUAAUUUUAAGAAUAUCUCUAACACUUUUGUUCCUAAGUUCCCAGAUGCUAUCUUUGAGACAUGGACGGAAGAUACUGAAGAUGCAAACUGACAAAGGGAAUGAGUCAGAAAAAUAAAAGUGGGGAUUAUUGUCUUGUUAUUUAUUUAAUUGUUUUUAGGUCUUUAGGAAUUUAUUUCUUUAGUAAUUAGGAUUUAAUUUCUGCAAAAUAAAACAUAGCAAGCAUGAAUAAAUACUUCUUUAGAAAGAAAAAAAUUAAGUGAUGUGGCAAUGGGAAUGAACAUGUCUAGGAUUGGGUUAUUAGGAAAGACUUGGUAUUUAAGCAGUCUUAAUGACUCACCUCUCUUUCUUUACAACCCUACCUAGUGUUCAAUUUUCAUUCAUUACUUUAUUCUUGCAAUGAGAACAUUGCUUCUUUUUAAAUAGAGGUAAGGCAAAGUGCUCAAAUUUUUAAAAUUUUCAAGUGUGUUUCAAAUCAUUCUUUCAUAAGUAUGUCUUAAUAAAUGAAUGUUUAGAGAAAUUUUUUUUAAUAAGAUAGCUUGUACGCAAGCAUGAACGAUGAUUUUAUCUGCGUGAUUGUAUGUUAUCAUGAAAAAUGGAAUGUUUUUAUGAUCUUAGUCUUAGGUAAUGUUUGCAAUGAAAACUUAGUUUCUCUUGAGAUUAGACAUGCAUGAAGGUUUAUAUCUUUAGAAUUGACUUAGUAACUUUCUUGAGGCGAAAUCCUAGGGGACAUAAAAAUCUAAAAUGAUAUAGGCACCAUUUUUCUUUGGACCGUUUGAGCCUUUUCAAGCCCACCUUAUGAUAUUAGACCCUUGAAACUAUAAUUUUGAGCUUAAAGGCCUGUUCAUUGUAAUAAACCUACAUUAUAAGCCAGUACCAUCUUUUUAAAAUUAUCCUAAUUUUGUGCACCUAUCUUAACUCAAUUUGUCUUGGGAAUCAACAUUUGAGGAAAUUUUCAUAAAGAUGUAUGUGCUCAUGCUUAAAAAAAAUAACAACAACAAAGACAAAGAAAAUGUAUGAGUAUGAGUUCAAAAUAAGUUUGGGGGAAUUCCACAGGUUCAUUUGAAGAAAAAUGUUGAAUUUCGAGAAAUCCAAGACAAGUUAAAGGUUAAGAUUUUGAAACCGAAAUGUCCCAUCUCUUAAAAUCCCCACCUUUAACCGAGCCCCAUUACAACCUUAUAAAAGACCUAUUGAUUUGAUGAUUAAGCCACCUAAUUAGUGGAGAGGAAGUAUUAAGUUCAACAUAUGAAGAUCAUAAAUAAGCCUUAUGAUUGUUUUGCUUAAUUGAUGAGAAAUUGUGUUGAAUGAAAAAUAUUAUCUAUGGCUGUGACAUACAUGCAAACUAUGAUUCAUGUUGGCAUAUCUUGAAAGUUAGAAUAAAAUUUUCAAAAUGUUUGUAUUUGAGUUACUUGUUAAUAAAGAAGUUCUAUGAGUAUGAAUAUAUUGAUGCAUGAUUAUGAGACAAAGAUUGAUGCUACUUACACUCUUUAGCAAAAUUUUCCUUAACAAGACCUUGUGCUGUGCAUGAACAUUACUCGGGACGAGCAAUGAUUUAAGUUUUGGGGUGUGUAAACUGAAAAAUAUAUAGGCUUUUUCCUAUAUAAUUCAUUACCUUUUUACUUAAAUUUGUUGUUAAAACCAAGUAACUGUUUAAUAAAUUAAUGAAACAUGCGAAAAUAUGAAAUUAGGACAUAAAAAUUAUUAAAAUUUGAUUUUAUACUUCAUUAUAUAGUUUUCAUGCAUAAAAUGGCUUAUUUUAUAUUAAUUUGAGCAUAUUAUAUUUUUAAGCUAUAAAGUGGGCCAUGCAUGAUUAAAUUAAAUAAUAAAAUAUAAAGUUAUAUUUAAUAAUUCAUUUUUAAUAAUUCAUUAAUAAAUUUAGUUUUAAUUAUUUAAGUAAAUUGAUUAAUUAAAGUGGUUAAAUUAUAUUAUUUGGUCCUCUAAACUAUGUAAUAGUUUUGGACAGGUCUGAGAGUUCUCUUCUAAUUGCAAAACCGUCUAAAUUGGAGACCAAGUGAACCCAAUUUUCAGCUGCACAUGGAUGUCAAAAACAAUUUUUUGGUUUAAUUAUACAAAGUCCUUGAAUAAUUAAAGAAAUUGGAGAUUUUCCAGAAUAUUUACUGAUGACUGAGUAUUAGUCUUGAGUUGUUGUGGCACUCAAAUUAACUAAAAAUCAAGGAAAAAUCAGCAUCUUUCCUCAAUUCAUGGAUGACCACUCUUGGAGGAAGUUUCAAAGGAUGGACACUCCUAUUUUUAGCAAACUAACUCCCUUGCCUCACCUAUAAAUAAGAGCUCAUUUCUCACUUUUUCAAUGAUCUCGCAUCCCAUCAUCUCUCACUCAUUCAUCAUUCUCUCAACUCUUUUAGCUAUCUUUCCCCUUCAUCAUCCUUGCAUAAGGAUUUCAGCAAUUAAGCCUCUUAAAGAACCCUUGGUUGGUCACCUUUUAGAGCCAUCAGCAAAGGAGCAACGCAAAGAAGUGAAGGAGCCUCAUCAGUUAGAGUCUUGGGUGACAGCCACUCUGAAUUGGGUUUAAUCUUUCUUUUCUUUAAAUUUAAUUUAAAGAUGUUUGCUAUGUGUUCUUUGUUCUUAUUUACAACAAUGAUAGCUUACAUUUAUAUAAGAUAGGAUGAUUAUUUUGAUUAAAUAAUAUUUAUUUGAUUCAUGCUUAUAAUGUUUGUACCUCAAUCGAUCAUGUUUUCAAUUAAAAUCAAGUCUCUAUUUUGUUCAUACGUGAUUGAAAUAGACCUGAAUUAACUGAGUGAUCCUAACCAGACAACGGCUAAUGGGCACAUAAUUGAAAUGUGCAUGCUCAAUUUAGAUCCUAACGUGAUUGAAUUGUAGGUUGCAUAACAACUCUAACCAAGCUCUGUUAUCUACAUAGUUUUUAGAUUUGUGUGAUUAAAUUGUUUCAAACCUAACAUGUACAUGUUACCUCACAAGAAUGCUAUGAAACCCUUAGUAAAUAAGGACCAGUAAAAUGCGUAUUUACUAAGUAAAGGAUUCCGAAAGGACCUAAUGUGGUUUCCAAACUCAUGAAAGAUCGAGUUGCAAUGGAAUGUUUUUCCGAAUGUUAUUAAGCAUGUUGAUAAUAAAUUGAGUUUAAUUAAAGUAAUUACCCUAGUUUAUUUAUGUUAUAAUUGUUGUAAAUUGUGUUUAAUUUUACUAAAAUCUAUUUCAUUCAUAUAGUUUGCAUACUUAGGAUAAUUUGCAUUAGGGAUCAUUUCAUUUAGUUUAAUAUAUUUUAAUCACCAUUUCUCAACUAUAUUGUGUUUUUAUUUACCAAAUUGUUAAUAUAAUUUUACAAAUUAAGUGACUUAGCACAAAUACAAUCCCUGUGGAGACGAUAACUCGAUACUUACUUAUUACUUGAUAACGACUGUGUACACUUGCACAAACCCCAGCGUUACAUCACCGUAUGUGGUGGCUCCACCACCGAAAGUCGGAGAGUCGUUGGGCUCUCCGGUGGUGGAGCCAUGGCCAACAUAGAAGGAGGAAGAGUUUCUUUAAUGAGGUUAAAAAUGAAAGAAUGCAUAGUUUUUGUCCUAUUUAUAGGUGCCAAAAUGGGUAAUUUAUCCCCAUCCCCCUUACUUUUUAAAUUUAUAAAAAAACACCUCAUUUUUUUGUAGCGCCACCCUCACUCUCUAACCUACUUACACCCGUAACCCUUUUUCUUUAUUCAAACCUUCGAUUUAAUCUGAAAUUUCAAAAUUAAAAGUAAAUUAUUUUCUACAUCAGUCAUCUGUCUUCCAUAUUUUUUAUCUUUUAUUCCCAAAAUCAAGUUAUGUCAUUUUGUUUUCAUAUUUAAUAAAUUAUUUAAAUUUAUAUAUUCCCCUUCAUUUGCAUUUUUAUCUCAUAUAUUUGAUGUCAAUUAUGCACUUUAUUUUAAUUGUUUUAUAUUUAUUCACACCUAUAUAUAUUUUUUUAUUUAUUCUUAUUUCAUCUUUAUUUAUUUUCAUGUAUGUUUUUAUUUAUUUAUUUUUACACAUUCCUCUUGCAUACAUUUUAAUAUUAUUUGUUUAUGUUACUUUGGUUUUUUAUUGUAUUAUGAAUAAGGUGUAUUAUUUUUAUUAUUAUCAUCAUCAUGCCAAGGUCUUAUUUCUUUCAUUUAUUUAAGUUUUCUUUUUAUUAUUGUCCUUUUUGAAAGAGUUUUAAUUUUUCAUUAACUUUAGCCAAUUUAAUUAUUUUUCCUAUUUUAUUACUAUUCGUUUUAAAAGUGGGAACUUUAGGUCAUUUUUCCAUCCUAUAAAUGUUGCCAUGAAGUUAGUUAAGUAGGGGUUGUAUUUUACAGAAACCAUAAGAUUUUUUUUUGUUUACAUUUGAACUCAGGUUAGUCUUUAAGAUUUUAUCUACCAUUUAUCCUAGAAAAAUUAUAAAUAAUAUGUAGGAUUUUUUUUAUUAGGAUUUUAAACUAAUUUUAAAUAUCGUAUAAUAUUCUUCUUUAGAAUCUCAAAUUAAUAUGUAAAUAUUCUUUAGGACUUUGUUCGAGAUUAAAACUAAGAAUUUUUAUAGGUGAAUUGUAAAUCAUUAGUAGGUCUUUCUCAGUAUUUUAUUUUAGAAAUUCUUUAAGAAAGCUAAUAAAUGUUAUUUAAUAUAUAUUAUUUUAGGAUUUUGAGGAAUUUAAACCUUAGAUCAAGAAUUUUAAAGUAAGAUAAAUCAUAAACCCGGCAUAGGAUAUUUUCGUAAGAUCUUGAUAGGUUCAAUGUUAUUAAUUAAAUCUUUUAAGAAAAUAAUAAUAAUAAAAGAUCGAAUAAGUUGUAGGUGGAUUUUAAUAUUUCUCUUAAUUCAUUGGUAAUUUCUAGGUUUUUUUUAGAAUUCUAAAAUAGAAAUUAUUUAGGCAUCUCGUAGGGUUCCCGUUAAAAUUAAAAACCUCUAAUUUAAAUUUCGAAUUAUAUAAGUUUAGUAAACACAUUUUAAUCGAGUUACAAGUAAACCGAAGACAUUUUCUUUAGAGUUUUUAUUUAAGAUUUUCAUAAGAUUUUAUUCUAGAUUAAGACAUUAAUAUGCUUAAAUAAAAAACCUAGCUUCCAAAACCCAGUAGGAAUAUCCCAGGAUAGGCGUUAUGGGGGGUGCUAUAACCUUCCUCACACGUAACCGUACUCUCAAACCCGAAAUUUGAUGAUGAGAUCGAGUCUAGACUUUUAGGAUUUUUUCGUAGUAUUAAUUCUAGGCUUUUAGACAAUAAAGUGGCUAACCAACCUAGCCCUAAUUGGUUAGUGGCAACUCUACAUUAAUUUAGGCCCUCCGUGUCUAGCUUUGCUUACUAGGCCCCCAUACUCUUAUGUAAGCAACUUUAUGACAGCUUAGCGACUCCACUGGGGACGCUAGUGAGCCGACUUACUUAGGUUUUUUAGUAUUUGUGCAUAUUAGAUUUAUUUUUUUGUGCAUUAAUUUAUAUAAUUGUCUAAUGUCACUUUAAAUUGUUGAAUAUGUGUUAAAUAUUGAUUUAUUUUUUCAUUUCAUUUGCUUAUCCUAUUUUGAUAUGUAUGCCAAUGUAUUUGUUUAUUCUUUUACCAAUGAAAUUGAUUAAUGUGUAUGUCAACUCUACCAUCGUGGGGCGCCUAUAAUUGUCAUGUUGGAUCUUGCUUUCGAUCCUAUGCCCGGGCCUUUCCCAUUUAGGAUGAGUAGUUUUAGGCUUUCAUGUCACACUAUGCCACUGCAUAAGGAUAAGGACUACUUCAAGGUUAAUAUGGACAUAUAUGUUCGUGUAGCAAAUGCUAUCAUGUACGCUAUGGAGGUCUUACCACCCAAAGGGCCAACCUUUUUUAAAGAGGAACGCAUCCUUAUUGAUGUUGUAUUUAAGCCUUGGGUUCCCCGUGCACUAGAGUCAGCCGUAAGCCAGCAUGUAAUGACCAUUUUAAAUGUGAAGCCUAAAUGUAAGAGUUGUACCUUAUCCCUUGCAAUGAUACCCUAUAGGACCUCAUGAGCAUUUAUUCGUGUGUUUUGUGUUUGAAUUUUUUCACAAUGUUUUAUGAUUUAAUUUCGCAUAUUUUUAUGCUUCAUUUGACUUUAUUGUUUUUUUUACUGACUUUGUUUUUCUUGUGCCUUUGUCUCUCCAUGGAAUAAUUCAUGCAUCAUUUAAAUACCUUGGGCACAGUGUUGCAUCUAUAUUUGAUAUGAACACACUUCGAGAAGAUUCAGUUGUUCGACAUGGGGUAGAUAAUAUAGGGAUAAAAGCGAGAAUGUCAGAGGAUACUCAAAGCAGAGAAGGCGAUUGCCAGAUAGCUAGUUUUGACUUGAGUCUGCCUUAGAUAGUCCGCAUGGACUGUAGAAGGAAUUGCGAAGAUGAGUUAAAGGGAAUAUGAAAAUCAUGGGAUGAGGCUAAGAAAACACGCUUCCAGGACAAGUAUGGUGAUGUAGUCCAACUUUUGUGUCCAACUUUUGUUCAUUAAAUCAGAUGAUGCCCUAUUGAAGGCCAUGGUACGUUUCUGGGAUCCCACUUAUAGGAGUUUUACGUUCAAUGAAGUGGAUAUGGUACCGACUAUCAAAGAAUAUUCUACCCUUCUCCACUAUGACUUUAGAGAUUCGCUCAAAAUAUAUUGAAGUAGAACGUCAAUUUUUGGGGACCCUUAGUCAAUCUGAGGGGAUUAACUGUAGAUACGGUGAAAGCAAGAUUAAAAGAUAAAAAUGGUCCUUGCAUUUCCUGGUUUGACAUUAGAGAUGCUACGGGAAAGACAUGCGAUGAUAGACAUUUGACACUGUUCGCAUUUUUCGUAUACGGAUUGAUUGAGUUUCCAAAAGCUCUAGGAUAUGUGACUGUGGAGCUAGCUAAUUUUUUUGUUUUAGAUUGAAAAAGGGGUGAAUCUUGCUUCAGUAGUCUUAGCUGAAACCAUCAUUUCUCAAUUUCAUUAGAAGGAAAGGAGACGUGUAGUUUUUGUUCGUAUGGAUGAAAAGCCAUUUUAGGUGUCUCUAUAAGCAUUUUCUUCAGGUGUUUAUUCCUUCGACCACGCCUAUAGAGGAAUUUUUGGAAAUUAAGUGGCCUCCAAAUCAAUCAAUCGAGGAGUGGGUUUAGAACCUUAGUGCAUUGACAUACAAAGAAAAGAAUAGAAGGCUCUAUGGAUGAUUCAGAGCAUGGUACUCAUUGGGUGUGGUGGUUAUUGGUGGGUUCCCUUAAUUGGCAUAUGUAGUGUCACCAGUUAUUCCUCGUUGAUGGUUUUGAGCCAAUACGGGUAUGAUCAAUGUGUACCUACUACAGCUAGUUUAAAUAAUGUGGAAGCUUCGAUUCAGGACCCGAGGUUUUGGAAGAAAUUAGAAGAGAUACGAAUUAAGUGGGGUCAAACCUUGAGCUUGCAAUCAGAAACCUUUUUCAGCUAUUCCCCCUCGAAAAUGAAUAUCCAGUGGCACCUAAAAAGAAGCAAAAUCUCUGUGUCAGUGCAACUCAAAGGAAAAAGGAAAGUCCCAAAUGACGUAGCUGAGCUAACAGAAAAGAUACGUGAUUUAGAGAUACGUUUGAGGGGGAGAGAUGAAGAGGUCAGACAACAACGAGAGUAGCAUUAGGCAUAUGUAAAGGAAAGGAGGAAGAAAUCAUGAGACAACAACAACAACACCACCGGUAAAACAUGAAGGGAAGAGAGAAAGAACUAAGAAUAUAGUUAGAACGACGUCAACGAGAAAGAUCUGACUUGUUUACUUAGAUUCAGAGGUUGGAGGCAGAUCUAAGUCUAUGGGCUAAUAAACUCCAAAAAGUGCGAGAACAAGAGUGAACUUGGAGGAAGGUGUUUAAUGAGAAAACUACUGAAGUGGAGGUGUUAAAGGAGAAAAUUUUUCAUCUAACUAAAGAAUUAAAGACGAAAAAGAGCAAAACAAAGAGGUCAUAGAAGUAUAUACAAAGCUUGCGGAGCAUUUUAUCGCAAUGGAACAAAUGGCAGUAAGCCCACAAGAGGUGUUUGCAAUAAUGCACAAGGACGGUCAGAUUUUCGCUCAGUAAGCCAAAGACAUAAGUGAACAGAUUAAAGAACUCAAAAAAGAAUCUACCCCUUUUGCGACUAGGAACGAGCCUACAAUGAAACUUCUAGAGGUGGCUCAGGCACAUUACUAAAAGUUCAUAAGCUCAAGAGUAGGAAGAAUAAAAACGACGAGUAGAGAUUUGUCCUAUGGAAAUAGGAUCGAUUAGGAUUUUCUUUAAGUGUGAAUGAAAAAUGAAAAGAAAACUUUGAACAUUUUUCGAACCAUCCAUGAAAGAAAAUAUUUAUAUUGGAGUAUAUUUACGAUAAUGUGCAUAACACCACUAACCUGUAUCCAUUGUCGGAUUACUGUUACGGAGCAUUACCAAAUAAACGUAACUUAAAAUCAUUCAUUUCUAAACAUUUCAAUAAAAAUAGCAUAACCUAAUAAUAUACAUGCAUAUCAUCCCUUAUUCGAGCCCUCGAGGCCUUAGAAUCACUUUCAAAACGAUUCAGGACUAAAUCAGGAACAUUUGAAACAUUGAGGAAAAAGUUAGAAAAUUUCAAAUUGUAAGGGUCACAUGGCUAUGACUCACAUGGCUGAGACACAUGCCCAUGUCUCAGGCCAUGUAACAAUCGAAAUAGGGACACACGACCGUGUCCCAGCUUGUGUCUAUACUCGUGUAACUCUAGACUUGGGUCACACGGCCAAGCCACACGCCCGUGUGCCAGGCCAUGUAACUAUUGAAAUGGCCUCACAUGCCCAUGUGCCAGGUUGUGUGCUAGGCCAUGUAACUGCCCAACUUUCAACCUCUAAAACCUACAGGGGACACACGGUCGUGUGGCAUGGUUGUGUGUCACACACAGCUAAGACACAUGCCCGUGUCUUUGGCCGUGUGGACAAGAAGUUGGCCAAAAUCAAGCCGUUUCUUUCACCCAUUCUAACAAGUACCUACAAGCCAUAUACACAUAUGAUCAAUGCACCAAAAACCUACCAAAACGUGCUUAAUUUAACCAAUUCAAAAGAUCAAAAAUCCAUUCAACCAAUGUUCCUUAUAAGGCACCUCAAUCACAAUCAAAUAAACUUACCAAAAUAUAUGCAUAACUAACCUUACUUCCAACAUACACAUCUAGUUCCAUAUCAUCUUAAAACAUACAACAAUUAAUACCAUUUCUAGUAUAGUAACUUAAUUCUCGACCAAGCCAAAUCAAACCACAAGUGUGUAUUUUUAUACAAUUCUAAUUGUACCAAAAAGAUAUCUAUUUAAAACCUUAGUAAAGUUUCGAAUAACUUAGUUUAGUAUUUUUUGAAAAUGUACCAUAACAACCUAUAUAGCCACAUAUACAUACCACAACCCUAAGGAGCACAAGAAUUAUCAACAUCGAUGGAUAGUGUGAUCCGAAGAUUCGAUCCGUCUAAAAUUCAGCAACAACGAUCUACAAAACAGUACAAAAAAAUCGUAUAAGCUUAUAGUGCUUAGUAAGAACAUAGUAAACCUUUUAACUUAACAAGAAUUGAAUGCAACUCUUAUUUUACUGAUUUGAAGUUACCAGAGUGUAAACAAGGGCACAUAUAUGCAAUUUAGGGGUAACGAAGUACCAACAGGGAAACGUAUGUGCAAUUUAAGGAAUAAUUAAGUAUAAGCAAUUAAUUACAUAACUAUACUAUAAACAUACAAGUAGAAAUUCAAUUACGUAUAGAAAUACUAGGAACUUAGAUGACAAUUAGAGCGUAAAAGUACAAUCGAGCUAAUCCGUGACUUUCGCCUUUCCUCAGUUUAGAUCUGGUUGAGAUUUAUCUUAAUCUAAAUAAAUAAUUAUAUUCAAUUAAGUGUUUCAAUAAAUCUCAAACAUUCAAUUCAAUCCAUAAUCCAUAUUUUAUACAUAAUAACAAUUUUACCCCUAACAUUUUAACCUUUUUACAGUUUAGUCGUUAAACUCGUAAAUUGAAAUCUAAAUGUUCUCAUCCCUAACUCAUGCUAGCCGCAUUUAUUAAAAACCCAUAGAAAUCAUCAUUUCACAAUUUACCCAUGAUAAUUUACUACUUUUACAAAUAAGUCCCAAAAUGACAUUUUCACCAAAAAUCACUUUACAAAACUUUUUUAUUUAUCUACAAUGACUCAUAAUCUGUCAUUAAACUUCAUAAAUCAUGCAAGAACACUCAUGGUGAAACCUUACAUCUUUAACAUUUUUGCAAAUUAGUCCUUGGGCUAGCUAGAUUAAGCUAUAACGACUCCGAAAACAUAAAAAUCAUUAAAAACGGGAUUGAAAACUUACCUUGCAUGAAGGAUUUUCCAUAGCCGAAAGCUUCCCCCUCUUAACAAUGAAUUUUUGGCUCUUUUAGGGUUAUGAACAAAGAAGAUUUUCUCCUCAAAGUCAACCGCUUGCUCGAACCAUAAUCAAUCAACAUCAACCGCAUGCUCAAAGCUCACAAAGCAAAUAGAGAUUUUCUACUCAAAGCAUCAGCAACAAUGUUAGCCUUUCCUGGAUGAUAAUCAAUGAUCAAGUCAUAAUCUUUCAAUAACUCAAGCCAUCUGUAAUGUCUCAGAUUUAAAUCUUUUUGUGACAUCAAGUAUUUCAGACUUUUAUGAUCUGUGAAGAUUUGAAAUUUUUCUCCGUACAAAUGGUGUCGCCAUAUCUUCAAAGCAAAAACAAUCACUGCAAGCUCUAAAUCGUACGUCAAAUAAUUGUUUUCUUACGGUUUCAACUGUCUAGAGGCAUAUGCUAUCACGUUGCCCUAUUGCAUCAAAACACAACCUAAACCGUUUAACGAUGCAUCACUAUAAAUCACAAAUUCUUUACCCAACUCUAGCUAAACUAACAAUGGUGCCUUGGUUAACAAUGCUUUUAACUGAUUGAAGCUUUGCUGACAUUUUUCAGACCACUAAAACUUAAAAUUUUUUGCAAUAGUCUCAUCAAUGGUGUAGCGAUCAUCGAGAAUCCCUUAAUGAAUCUUCUAUAAUAUCCGGUUAAACGCAGAAAAUUUUUUACUUUAGAUGCUUUUUUCGAAGGCUUCAAAUCUACAACAGCUGAAAUUUUGCUCGGAUCAACUCUAAUGCCAUCGGCUGAUACAACAUGUCCUAGAAAUCUGACUUCCCGAAGCCAAAAUUCAUAUUUGCUAAACUUAAUGAAUAAUUGCUUUUCGCGCAAAGUUUGCGAAACAAUUCUCAAAUGCUCUGCAUGCUCUGUCUCAUCCCAUGAAUAAAUCAGCAUAUCUUCAAUGAAUACUACAUCGAAUCUUUCUAAAUACGAUCUAAAAAUUAUAUUCAUUAAAUCAAUAAAUAUUGUAGGUGCAUUAGUCAAACCAAAUGACAUCAGAAGAAAUUUAUAAUGUCCGUACCUGGUCUUGAACGCGGUUUUCGGCACAUCUGAGUCUUUAACUCGCAACUAAUAAUAAUCAGAACGAAGAUUAAUCUUUGAAAACACUGUCAUACCUUUCAACUGAUCAAACAGAUCAUCAAUACUGGGCAAUGGAUACUAAUUCUUGAUCGUGACUUUAUUUAGCUAUUGACAGUCAAUACAUAAUCUCAUAGACCCAUCCUUUUUCUUAACAAAUAACACUGGAGCAGCCCAAUGAGAGAAACUGGGCCAAGCAAAACCCCUGUCUAUCAACUCUUGUAGCUGUGCUUUCAGCUUUUUCAAUUCUGUAGGUGUCGUUCUGUAAGGAGUUAUCGAUAUCUGUAACAGCCUGUUUUUUAGUGGUAUAAAAAAUAGUGGUUUCAGGGCCACAAAUCAGACAAGUAAGUUUGUAAAUAUUUUUAUUUAAUAUUUACGAGUCAAAUAUGGUUCUAAAAAGGUUUUUGAUAUGGUAAUUAAUGUUAUAUAAAUGAUUUAUUAAGCUCAAGUGGUAAGACCCUAAGCUCAAGUGGUUUUAGAAAAUGAGGUAUUGGGCCCUCGUUUCUACAAACCAAGUUAUAAAUGUUUUUAUAAAUAUUUAUAGAGUGUUAUUAAGGUUUUAGUAAAUUUUCAUUAAGAAAUUUUAAUGUUUCGAUAGUUAAUUAAUUAAAAAGGACUAAUUUGUAAAGGAUGUAAAAUUUGAUCACUAUUUGUUGGAGUGAUUAAAUGGCUUAUUGAAUAAAGGAAAAGGGACUUAAAUGGUAAUUAAACCAUUUAAGGAUUUAGUGGAUGGUUUUGGGCAACUAAAAUCAUGAAAUUUGGAUGAUAUUUAAUUGGACAAAAUGGUAAUUUUAUAAUUAAAUUAAUUAAAAGAAACAAAAUGCUAAAUUAUCAUCAUCUUUUUGGUUUUCUUCUCCAAAUACAACUGAAUGUCUAUGGAAAUGAAUUUAGGUUUGGCCAUGGUGAUUUCCUCAUCCAUGGUAAGUAAUUCUUACAUGUUUUUAGUAAUUUUGAUGUUUUUAAGAUUGUUGUAACUAGGUCCAGCUAGUUUGUACCUUCGAUUUUGAAAUUUUUAAAUAUAAUGAAUGUUUUCAUUGAUGAAUCUAUGUGAUUUUAGAUAUUAAUUGAUGAAUUUAAGGUAUUUUUUAUUAUUUAUAAGUACUUUCUUAAGUAAAUUUGAUGAAUUUACCGAUUAGGGACUAAAUUAUUGGAAUAAUAAAAAUACAAGGAUUUUUUGUGAAAUUAUUACAAAUGUGGGCUGUAUUGGAUGCCAUGAAUAUUUUGUUGGCAUGGGUUUUCAUUAAAAAUUCUUAAUUUGCAUGUUUUAGGCUCAAGGACUAAAUCGAAUAAAAGUAAAAUGUUAAAGGCAAUUUUAUAAAAAUGUAAAAAUGACUAAAUUGCAUAAAAUGGAGUGGUUUCACUAUCUAAAUUAAUAAAUUGAAUGAAAUUAGUAAUUUAUAUCAAGUUCAGGUGGAAAAUCGAGAAGAAUAGAAAUUUACCAAAAAACCCUUGUACUUUGACAUUUCUGCAUUUUAGCUAGGUAAGUUUGUAUGAACUAUAAUCACUUAAAUGUUGAUUUAAUUGAUUGUUAAUGUGUUGAUUCUAAUUUAAAUGAUUCAAUAUAUAUAUGUUAUUAUGCAAUUUAUCAUGUCAUGAAACGAAGGAAAUCCAACGACGUACAACGAUUAUCAAGCCUCAUUUGAGCCUUUGGAAUUCAUAAGAUACAAAUGACAUGCCAUUAGGGUUUCCAUGUUUUCGAGUGCUGGUCUUGAAUGUCCUACUGAUGGCUAAGGUCCAGCAUGUGCUGCAAAUACUCCACAAUUCGUGUGAGCAGCAUCGUGUAGCUUACAUUCCGACCCAUGGCUCAUGUGAGCAGGCCUAUUUCGUAGCUCGUAUGAGUAGUAUUAUUUUACAACUUGUGUAACAAAUGAUGUAAAGGAAAGGAAAUGAUAUAGUUAUAUGUUAGCACACUAAGUGUGAGCUAUCCCGCAUAUGCAAUGAUAUUCUAAACGGUUCAAUGGGCAUGAAAAAGGAAAGGAAAGGUAUAUGUUCAAUAUGAACCAAGACACGUAUUUAUGAAGUACAAUAAAAUAGUGAGAUACAAGAAAAGCAUGUUAUGUUAUGAUGGAUGAUAAAUCCAAUUGAAUCAUACUUAAGUAUAAUGGUUAUCCAUGUUAAAUUCAUAUGAAUUAUGUUUCAAUGAACUAACGUGUUGUUGAUGUGCUUAGGCUUCUGCCAAACUUGUGGUUAUGAUUGAUGUUUAUUCUUAUGCCUAUACUAUGUAUAUGAAAUGGGUAAGAAAAGGGAAUGAAAUGGUAAGUUCAUAAUUGGGAUGCAUUAUGAUGCUAUAAAAGGUUUGGUAUGAUAAAUGAUGUAUUUAUAUGUGAGAAGCUUAUUUAUGCUAUGAAAGAAUGUACCUAUAGCAUGGAUAAAUACAAUAAUUCGUAAAAUGAUAGUGUUGUUUAUGCUUAUGCUAAGCAUUCAGAAUGGAAGGGAAAGUAAGUAACUAGAAUGAUUCAUGAUCUUAUGAAAAGGUUAAUGAUUAUGUAUUAUGACUUAUAAAUCCCAAUAUGUUAUAUAUGAAAAGGAUAUGUGAUGUUGAUUAAUAUACUCAAAAGUAUGUUGAAUGGUGUUCAAUAGGUUUAUACCAAGUUUAAAGUAUUAGUGUUAAUCUAUGUAUUAUAGUAUUGAAGUGAUAAGUUAUGUUUCAUGUUCUACGAGCUUACAAAGCAUUCAUUGCUUACGUAGUUAUCUUUCUCUUACUUUACAGAUUAUCGGAAGCUCAACUGGUUUGGUAGCUCGUCAGAGCCCUAUCACACUAUCUAGAGAAUUAAUUGUUAGAUUCUGAUGUUUUGAUCAAGGUCAUAAUGGCAUGUAUAGGUGGAUUGUGCUUUAUAAUGGUUGAUGAAUUUGGCAUGUAUAUUUCAUUUUGGUUGAUGUAACCUUGGUACUUUUGAUGCCUUAUUGACGUGUUUCAUUUUGAAAAUAUGUUAAUGCAUGUUUGAGUGGCCAAAAUAGUAGGUAAUGAAUUGACCUCAAUAUGGUCAAGUUAUAGUAUGCUUUGGAAAGAUUUUGAAUAGAUGUGCAUAUGAUUGAAAUAUGGUUUGUAUAUAUAUUGGUUAUUGGAACCAUUUGGUAAUGACUAGAUUGGUGUCAUUUAGAUGACUUUGAUGCAUGUGAGAAGUUGUCCAAAUGGUAAGGUUAUUUUGAUAUGGCAUGAUUCUAAUAUGGUAUCCUUAAAUGUGUACAUGUCUAGGUAUAUUUGGUAUGACCAUAUUUUCUAUGUUUAUAUGAGACUAAGUGGAGUUAUGCUUUGAGAUAGAUAUGAAAUAUUUGUAAUGGUAUAAAUGUGGUCAAUUUAUGAUGAGUUUUAUAAUGGAAAAUGAAUUGAGUGUUGAUGAAUUUAAUGUGUUAAGUACAUGUAUAUGUUUAGAUAAAUUGUAUGUUUGCAUUUGAGGUGCCUAUAUGGCAUAUUGGUUGAAUGGAAUUUGGUAUUCGAUUUGGUCUUAUGCAUGUUUUAGGUAAGUUUUAAGGCUUGAUUAUAUAUGCAAAUGGCUUAUAGGUGUGUGCUUGAAUUAGGUGAAAGAAAUGGUUUGAAUUUGGCCUAUAUCUUGUCCACACGGCCUAAGACACGAGCAUGUGUGUCCCUUGUAGGUUUUAAAGGUUGCAUUUCGAGUGUUACAUGGCCUGGCACAUGAUUGUGUGGCUUGUCCGUGUGACCUAAGUCAAUGAAUUACACGGGCACUAAUAUAGGUUGAGACUUAGCCGUGUGUCCCUUCUUCGAAUGCCUUCACGACCUAAGACACAGGCUUGUGUCUCAACCGUGUAAGUCACAAGGCCUGGCCACAUGGCUGUGUGACCCUUGUAGUGUGAAAUUUUCUAUCUUUUUCCAUAAAGUUUUAAAUGUUUCUGAUUUAGUCCUGAAUCGUUUCUAAAGUGUUUUUAAGGCCUCAAGGGCCCGAAUAAGGGCCUGAAUCGUUUCUGGUUGGAAAUGAAUUAUUUGAGUUACAUUUUUAUGGUAAUGCUCCGUAACCCUUUUCUGACGACGGGUAUAGGUUAGGGGUGUUACAUUUAGUGGUACCAGAGCUAUAGUUUAGUCGGUUCUCGAAUUGAACAUAGCAUGUAUGAUGUCUAGAAAUACAUGUUGUUAUAUAACCUGUAAUAGUGUGAUAUCUCUUGACUCUGAUGAGAUUUGUUUCAUUUUUAGACAAAGAUGUUUUCAACUAAGCUAAUUCUGAAAAUGCUGAAAGCAAUACUCAAGUAUCUGAUUAAAAGGUUGCUAAUAAGGAGUAGAAGCUUAUAAAGGUGAAAGUAAAGAUUCAUAAUGUUAUGUUUUUAAAGAAAGAUAUGUUUUUGAUGUGUAUAUAUGAGAAUUAAAUUUAGUGGUUUUACGAUCUCCACCCUCACCCUCAAAGUCUUAUACAAUGGAAUUUACAAGAUUUAUGUUGAUUAAGUCGGCAAAAGAGAAGCUAAAGCAUUCAACAAUUGAAUUAGUAAUAAUGUUGUAAGAGCCAAGGAUUGGUUAGGAAAUAAAGAUAGUUCUAGAAGAGAUUAGAUUUCUCUGAAGAUCAUUCGGGAUAUGUAAAGUUGUUGUUAAAGAAGAAUUUAUUCACGAAUAAUUGACUUAUUCAGGUAUGGUAUCUAAAGAAUGGGUUAACCAAAAUUUCUUCUGAAUUGAUUUCUUUAGUGGAACGAGGUAAUGUGGGAUCAUCAAUGACUUUAGUAAUCUGUGAGAUAGUGUUUGAACUGUAAAUAUAUUUGAAUGCAGUUGUUAUAGUUGAGUAUCUUACAAUGAUCUCCUCUAGAUAUUCUAUAUGAUCUUUUAUCCUCAGAGGCAUAUGCAAUUGUUCAUCUUCAUAUGUAAUUCUUAUCAUAUGAGAAUGUUGGCUAACUAUAACGUUAGACAGAGGUAUUAUUAGUCUGGUUGAUUAAUAAUUGACAUUACUCUAUUUUUCUUUGGCAUUCUAUUCUAUUAUGUUCAGUGGAAGAUUCAAUGAUAAGACUCAUAUGAUUUUAUGUUAUUUUUUUCUUCUGAUUGAUAAUCUAAAUUAUAUAUAUACAAAUUUAUGUUAUCUCUGUCACAACUGAUUCCAGUGCGUAUGAGCGAUAUUCUUCUUCUGGAUUUUCUUUGGGGUAUCAUCAAUCUCUUUAUCAUUUAAUAUAGAUUGUAAUUUCAGAAAUUUAGUAGAGCUUCACAUCUUGGAUUUCAUUAUCUCGGUUUUCUUAUCAUUCUUAUUAUUUAAUCUAUCAAACAUGGUUCAUCUUUAAAGGUUAUUCAUUGGUCGGAGGUAAUUACAUCUAUUAUGAUUAUAAUUCCUGGUUCGAUCAUGGGAGCACGGUGAUACAGAUCACAGGUUUUUAGAGGUUGUGUUGUUGCACAAGUUGUUAUUGGAACUACAUCCGAUUUUCCUCUUUUGUUUCGGAGAGCAUUAUUGAUGGUUGAACUUUCAUGAUGGGAAUGGAUAACGACAAAAAUAUAGAUGGUGAAAGAUCGAGCUUAACCUCGCAUGAUAGUUCUCACUACUCAAGUAAUCUUAGAUUAUGUCAACAAGCCAAAAAUUGGACGUCAUAUUUCGUAUCAGUAAUACAGUUGGUGAUGAUCUCUAAUUGGUAUUCUGAAGGAAUCAUGAUAGACUUUGUGUCUGGGUUAUCACGACAACAAGAAGAAAGAAUUAUUCUAAAAUGUUAUUAUUUGAAUGAUAAGUUUGACUCAAUUAUUUUAGUCAGGACGGAUUAUUCACUGGAAAAGUUAGAUGAGUUUUAUAUAUAUUCAAGUACAUCUCUAGAUUCGAGAAUAAAUUUUGCGGGUUCUUCUAGAUCAGAAUUUUCUGAUUAUAUUUAAAUGAUAUUAUUUGAAGCUUUUCGUGAAAUGAAGCAUUCCUCAGUUAAAAGUUACAGAUGCAGAUGUGUCGGAAACAUCAGUUAGAGUCUGUUGUGAAAUUUUCAAAAUUUACCUAAACUCUAUGAAUUGUCUAAUGUGCUUGGGAUCUGAUAAUUUGGAUUUUCUUUUGGUUAUAUUUUGACAAGUGAUUGUUGGCAAUUUCUCGGUAGAUGUGCCACUAAUGAUAAAGUUAUGGCAGGAGAACAUCAUAAUUGUUCAGUUAAAUCUAGAUAUGAGUUUUGAUAUGAGUUCUGAAUCGAGAAGACUUAUGAUUGAUUGAUUUAUUCACUACCAUUAAAAAGGUUGAAUAAAGACUCAACUUGAUGGCUAUUAUCAGGUACGAAAUUUCGAGGACAAAAUUUUCGUAAGGGCAAAUACUUGUAAUAGCUCGUUUUUCAGUGGUGUCAAAAAUAGUGAUUUUGGGGCCACAAAUCUGACGAGUAAGUUCGUAAAUAUUAUUAUUUAAUAUUUACGAAUCAAAUAUGGUUUUAAAAAGGUUUUUGAUCUGGUAUUGAAUGUGAUAUAAAUGAUUUAUUAAGCUCAAGUGGUAAGACCCUAAAGUAAAAUGAUUUUAGAAAAUCAAGUAUUGGGACCUCGUUUCUAUGAACUGAGCUGUAAAUAUUUUUAUAAAUAUUUAUGGAGUUCUAUUAAGGUUUUAUUAAAGUUUUGUUAAGAAAUUUUAAUGUUUUGAUAGUUAAUUAAUUAAAAAUGACUAAUUUGUAAAUGAUGUAAAAUUUGAUCACUAUUUGAUUUGAGUGAUUAAAUGGCUUAUUGAAUAAAGGAAAAGGGACUUAAAUUGUAAUUAAACCAUUUAAGGAUUUAGUGGAUGGUUUUGGCAACUAAAAGCAUGAAAUUUGGAUGAUAUUUAAAUAGACCAAAUGGUAAUUUUAUAACUAAAUUAAUUAAAAGAAACAAAAUACUAAAUUAUCAUCAUCUUUUUGGUGUAUUUUCCAAAUACAACCGAAUGUUCAUGGAAAUGAAGUUAAGUUCGGCCAUGGUGAUUUCCUCAUGUAUGGUAAGUAAUUCUUACUGUUUUUAAUCAUUUUGAUGAUUUUGAGAUCGUUGCAACUAGGUCCAACUAACCCGUACCUUCAAUUUUGAAACUGUUAAACAUAUUGAAUGUUUACAUUGAUGAAUCUAUGUUAUUUUAGAUAUUAAAUGAUGAAUUUGUGGUUUUGGUUAUUAUUUAUAAGUACUUUGUUAAGUAAUUUUGAUGAAUUUACCAAUUAAGGGCUAAAUUGUUGAAAUAGGAAAAAUACAAGGAUUUUUCUAAAACUAUUACAAAUGUGGGCUGUAUUGGAUGCCAUGAAUACUUUGUUGGCAUGGGUUUUUAUUAAAAAUGGUUAAUUUACAUGUUUUAGUCUCAGGGCCUAAAUUGAAUAAAUGUAAAAUGUUAGGGGUAAUUUUGUAAAAAUAUAAAAGUGACUAAAUUGCAUAAAAUGGAGUGAUUUCACUAUCUAAAUUAAUAAAUUUAAUGAAAUUAUUAAUUGAGAUCAAGAUUGAGUGGAAAAUUAAGGAGAAUGGAAAUUUAUCAAAAAGCCCAUGUACUUUGACAUUUCUUCACUUUAGCCAGGUAAGUUCGAAUGAACUAUAAUCACUUAAAUGUUGAUUUAAUUGAUUGUUAAUGUGUUGAUUCUAAUGUAAAUGAUUCAAUAUAUAUAUGUUAUUAUGCAAUUUAUCAUGUCAUGAAACGAUGGGAAUCUAACGAAGUAUGACGACAUGUCAUUAGGGUUUCCAUGUUUUCAGGUGUUGGUCUUGAAUGUCCUACAGAUGGAUGAGGUUUAGAAUGUGUUGCAGAUACUCCACAGCUUAUGUGGGUAGCAUUGUGUAGCUUACAUUUAGACCCACAGCUCGUGUGAGUAGGCUUAUUUCACAGCUCGUGUGAGCGGACCUAUUUCACAACUCGUGUGAGCAAUGAUGUAAAGGAAAGGAAAUGAUACAGUUAUAUGUUAGCACGCUUAGUGUGGGCUAUCCUGCGCAUCAAAUGAUAUUUUAAAUGGUUCAACGGGCAUGAAAAGUAAAGGAAAGGUAUUUGUUCAAUACAAACCAAGACAUGUAUUUAUGAAGUACAUGAAAAUGGUGAGAUACAUGAAAAGCAUGUUAUGUUUUGAUGGAUGAUAAAUCCAAUUGAAUUAUGUUAAUUGAUGUAUUAUAGUAUUGAAGUGAUAAGUUAUGUUUCAUGUUCUACGAGCUUACUAAGCAUUCAUUGCUUACGUAGUUAUCUUUCUCUUACUUUACAGAUUAUCGGAAGCUCAACUGGUUUGGAAGCUCGUCAGAGCCCUAUCACACUAUCUAGAGAUUAAAUUGGUAGAUUCUGAUGUUUUGAUCAAGGUAAUAAUGGCAUUUAUAGGUGAACUUGUGCUUUAUAAUAGUUGAUGAAUUUAGCAAGUAUAUGUCAUUUUGGUUGAUGUAACCUUGGUACUUUUGAUGCCUUAUUUAUGUGUGUCAUUUUGACAAUGUGUUAAUCCAUGUUUGAGUGGCCAAAAUAGUUGGUAGUGGAUUGACCUAAACAUGGUCAAGUUAUAGUAUGCUUUGGAAAGGUUUUGAGUAGAUGUGCAUGAUUGAAAUAUGGUUUGUAUAUAUGUUGGUUAUUGGUGGAACCAUUUGAUAAUGGCUAGAUUGGUGUCAUUUAGAUGAGUUUAAUGCAUGUGAAAAGUGGUCCAAAUGGUAAGUUUAUUUUGAUAUGGCAUCAUUCUAAUAUGGUAUGCUUAAAUGUGUACAUGUCUAGGUAUGUUUGGCAUGACCAUAUUUGGUAUGUUCAUAUGAGACUAAGUGGAGUUAUGCUUUGUGGUAGAUAUAAACUAUUUGUAAUGGUAUAAAUGUGGUCAAUUUAUGGUGAGUUUUGUAAUGGAAAACGAAUUAAGUGUUGAUGAAUGUAAUGUGUUAAGUACAUGUAUAUGAUUAGAUAAAUUUUAUGUUUGCAUUUGAGGUGCCUAUAUGGCAUAUUGGUUGAAUGGAAUUUGGUAUUCAAUUUGGUCUUCUUAUACAUGUUUUAGGUAUGUUUUAAGCCUUGAUUAUAUAUGCAAAUUGCUUGUAGGUGUGUGUUUGAAUUGGGUGAAAGAAAUGGCUUGAAUUUGGCCUAUUUCUUGUCCACACGGACUAUGACAUGGGCAUGUGUCAUGUGACACGAUAGUGUGUCCCCUGUAGGUUUUACAGGUUGCAUUUCGAGUGUUACACGACCUGGCACACGGGCAUGUGGCUUGGCCAUGUCACCCAAGUCAAUGUGUAACACCCCAAACCCGGCCUAGACAUUAUGGCCGAAUCUUGAGAUAUCACAUUGAUGUGUUUUUCAAAAAUACAGUUUCAUUGAAUACCCGUUUCAUACUAAUUCACGUUUAUUGAAAACUCAAGGUGUCUUUAGCAGUGUGUUCAUCAUAAUAGUUUGUUACUAUAUUUAUCCCGUCUUUUCUACAACUAGCAGCUUAUAUCAAACUAAAUAAAUAAAAACCCCAAUUUAAAGUUUAUAACUUUAAAGAGACCUUUUUACAUAAAAAUACCGAAAUUCAGUUACUUAUAAAUCAAAAGCUAAAAACAAAAGCUGAUGAGGUUGUGUGGCCAUCAUUGAGUCCCUCACAACACCGACCCGCUUACAAUUGGGGAUUACCCGUACAGUUAAAUAGAGGGGUGAGUUUACGAAAACUUAGUGUGUAAUCCCCUAACAAGCAAAUAGUCAAUUAAGCAGUAGAUAAAUGCAGUUUGGGCCUGAGCCCGUUACAGUAACAGUCCAGUUCAUUGUGGGCCUAAGCCUUUUCCCGUAACAAUAAACAAUCGGGCUUGAGCCCAUCACAAUGCUAGUAAUCAGUAGGGCCUUUGCCCAAUUUUAGUAAUAGUAUCAGUGGGGCCUUGGCCCAUAACAGUAACAGAUAUCAGUCAUGCAGUGAACAGUAUGUAAUAUCAUUAAUCGAUGCAGUAACAGUACAAAAUCAUUAACCAGUGCAGAUAUGCAGUUAGAAAUCCUACCCAAUCCAACCUCUAAACACCACUCCGUCCCGCCAAACACACCAUGUGGGGAUAAAAUCAACCCACCCAACCAAACACACCAAGAUUAGCACCGAUUGUGGCACUAAACAGUAUUGCAGCAAAGCUGCCAGUAAAAUAAACGGUAUAUAGCCAUUAGUAGGUCCACAGUCGUCUUGGACGACCCGUGCAACCUUACCAGUACGAUAUACUUCCUCCAAAUAUAACAACCCAUCCCCAUGCAAUAUAUCGUGACAUAUAUCAUACGUGUAUGCAAAAUGUCAUACUCAAUCAUAGUCAUACAUAUCAUAGAGCAAAUCAGUCACACAUAACAUAAGGCCAUAACAGUCAUUUAAUCUCCGAGGGGUAUAACAAUCAUUUUACCCUAUGGGGGUAUUUUGGUCAUUUUACCCUAUGGGGGUAUUUUGGUCAUUUUACACUAUGGGGGUAUUUCGGUCAUUUUACCCUAUAGGCGUAUUUUGGUCAUUUUACCCUAUAGGGGUAUUUCGAUCAUUUGACCCUAUGGGGGUAUUUUGGUUAUUUUACCCUAUAGGGGUAUUUCGGUCAUUUUACCCAAUGAGGGUAUUUCGAUCAUUUUACCCUAUGAGGGUAUUUCGGUCAUUUUAUCCUAUGAGGGUAUUUUAGUCAUUUUACCUAUUUUAGGGUCUCAGUGCAGAUAUCGACCUCCUGAAAGGUACGCAGUCGUCUCGAGCUACCCAGGUAACCUAAAUGGUCAUAACAGUGUAAAUGGGCCCAAGGCCCAUUACUCGGCCUAUGUAGGCCUACACGCUCGUGCGGCCCGUUCAGCCUAGAUUUUGCCACGACUAUGAGAUCUACAUAGCCUAGUCCAAUAUUUUCCACAAAUUGUGGAUUUCAUCCGUAUGGGGCUCACGAGCCCAUUGAGCGCACACGGCCCAUUUUGGCCCAACCUGGCCCAUUACAGCCUAAGCCCAUGAAAAUGCUUAUGGAGGCCUCUACAGUCUACCGCCCAUGUUACGUAGGUUGGGCUUACCACACGAGCGAUCACACGUCUAUGUGGUCUUAAACGCGGUAUUUUUGGCUUUUUGGCUUUUGCCGUUCUACGAUUGCAAUGGGGUGUUUAUGCACCUGUUUAUGAGAAGAUGCGCAGACAGUCCUCGAACGCUUCCAAACCUAUGUUCACCCGUUACACUCGGUUAAUCACAUAUCAAUUGAAUUUAGAACGAACCCUAUUCAAUAGACAUAACUUUUUGAUCGACAACCACUUACCGGAACAACGUUGGUCACUAGAUCUCGGGGUUAUUACCUGUAAUCCAAUCGAAAUCCCUUAACAAAAAUUAUCUACUAGAAAAAUUUAAGCCAAAACGAACCCUAACUUACCAAAAGUACAAAACCGUAGAAUAGGAAUGGUAUACAAAAUCGCCAGAGAGCAAGGAAGGAGUCGGCACAAUGAGGGUAGAAGAAGGAGAGCAGAUCGGCAAGAAGGGAGGAGAAAUGGCCUAGGGAACGAAGAGGUUUUGGUAGAGGGAAAAUAAAAAAAAUGAAAAAGGAGAUAAGAUAAAUUUAGCCACUAGUAGGAUUACUUGGGAAAGGAAACAAUAUGAGGCAAUUGGGAGAGGCAAUAUUCAGCCAAAGAGAGGUUGCCAAACACCAAAGAAACGAAAUAGAAGAAUAUGCAAAAACCCCUCAACACAUUCGGCCUUCAAGAAAAAAAAGGGAAAACACCACACAAAACCGAAAUGAAGAGUAUACCAAAAUGAACAGUAUACCCCUCUGGCCGAAUUUCUUGAGUACCAAAGUCCACUUCCGGCAAACUUCCACCUCUCCCCUCACUUCCCUUGAUUUUCUCCUAGUAUCUCUCCCCUUAUCCAUCCUUGAAUCACUCCACUGAUUUCUCCCCAACUCCCCCAACAACGCCAUUCAAAUUCUACUCAAACUCCCCUUAGUUGUGUUUUAGUCCAACUCCACCACCUACACGAAUUAGGCAGCAAAAUAAAUACUCCUUUUUUGAUGCGCCACCACUCAAACCUUAGACCUCAUGCACACUCCACAUGCCCCUUACCACUAGACCAAACAACUCCUUUGUAUCAUAUUUUAACCACAAUAAUUUAAUAACCUACUGUCUAAAUCCAAGGAUUUUAUUCACUUAAAAAUAAAAAUUUUGCAUAAGCCAAGGCUUGAACCCCUAACUUCUCAGACACUUCCAAACACUCCUAAAUCACUUAACCAUUGAAGCAGACAUUCAUUUAUGUCACUUCCUUGCACAACUAAAUAUUUAUGCCUAGUCUCCUAACUGUUCCCUUGUUCAAAAUCUAUUUCUUCUAGGCCCAAAAUUCAGGGUGUUACACAGUGAUUUACACCGGCACAGACAUUGGCUGGGACACGGCCUUGUGUCCCUACUUCGAAUGCCCACACAGCCUGAGACACAAGCGUGUGUCUCAGCCGUGUGAGUCAAACGGCCAGGCCACACGGUUAUGUGACCCCUCAAUGUGAAAUUUUCUAUCUUUUUCCAUAAAGUUUUAAAUGUUUUUAUUUAUUCCCGAUUCAAUUCUAAAGUCUUUCUAAGGCUUCGAGGGCUCGAAUAAGGGAUGAUAUGCAUGUGUUUGAAUGGAUUAUGUUAUGAUUUAUGAAAUGUUACCUGCACUAAUUCAAUAGUAAAUUCAACCUCUCGGAUCGAAGGCAACCUUAGUAACUCCUUUAGAAACACAUUUGGGAAAUCACUUACUACCGGAACCGAUUAAAGUCUCAAUUUCAAAACCCUGGAAUGAACAAUGUAAGCAAGAUAUGCUUCACAGCCCUUUUUAACAUGUUUCUGUGCCGUCAAAACUGAGAUUAUAUUAGAUGUACAAUCUAAUCUGUCGAACUCAAUUUGAACCCGUUUACCAUCCUGACGUUUUAGCACAAUAUGUUUUCUUCUAGAAUUCACGAUAGCAUCAUGUAGAGUCAACCAAUCCAUACCCAGGAUCACAUCAAACUCAUUAAAGGGUAACAACAUCAAACUAGUAGGGAAUUUAUAACCCCUAAUUUUUAGUGGUCAAGAUCAACAUAAUUGAUUAACUAGAACACACUGACCCAAGGGAUUUGUAACUUUAAUAGUAUACUUAGUAAAUUCAACAGGUAUUUUCUUUUUGUCUACUAAUGUGGUGCAUAUAUACGAAUGAAUUGAUUUAGGAACAAUCAAUGAAUAUACAUUAAUAUCAAAGAGAGAAAAAGUACCCGUAAUAACAUCUAGAGGAGUAGCUUCCUCUCGAGCUCAGAUUGCAUAGGCUCUGGCCAGUGUUCUCGCUUGAGACCAUUAGUUUAUCUCAUUGUUCUUUCCUCGAUCGGGAGUAGUACUUCUAACAUUUUCAGAUCAUCUACGCCUUUGAAAAGUUGCUUCAGGCUUAUUUGAUUGAUUCCAAAAAUCAUUUUGCUUCUUCGGACAGUUACAAAGAAAGUGGUCAGUAGACCCAAAACAGAAACAAGCUCUUGAUUUUUAUCGACACCAGAAUGAUUUUCCUCACAUUUCUUACACUUCUAACACCCGUUCCUGGAGAGUUGAAUGACUGGAAAUUGCUUUGUCUAGGUUUCUCUUUAUUAACGAACUCUGAAGGUGUAGCUGAUCGACCGGUGUCAAUUUUAAAUUUCUUCAUUGGAGAUGUUUGAGCUGGUUUGAAUUAUCCCCUUUUGUUAUGGUCUCUAAAAUUUGAAUCUGACUAUCGCUUGCUUUUACAAAUCUCUGCAACCUUCUGAGCCCACUCCGAAAUUCUACUAAUUCCAGUAACUUUAAUGCUGCUACAACCAUACGGAUCUCAUCAUUCAACCCCUCUUCAAAUCUGAUAUACAUUUCUUCCUCAUUUGAUACGAUGUUACGAGCAUACUUGCUUAACUAUACAAACUCACAUUCAUACUCAGCUGCAAUCCGGUUUCCUUGUUUUAACUCAAGAAACUCUUCCUUUUUCCAGUCGAUGAACAACCAACUAACAUACUUUUUCUUGAAUUCAUUCUGGAAGAAGUCUCAAUUAACUCUAUCAUCCGAUAUCAUUAUGCUCAAAGUAUCCCACCAUAGAUAUGCCUCAUCUUUCAAUAAGGAUCUCGUACACCUCAAGCAAUCUUCAAGAAUACAUAAUAACUCCAUAAAAACUCUCUUUCUGUUCAAUAGCCAAUACUCGGCUUUUGAAGGAUCAUCAUCUACCGUAUCUCUGAACUCUUUCGCUCCACAUUUCUAAAUUUUAUCUAUAGAUACUCAGUUAACCAUCACAGGUACAAGGUUUGGAGCAUUCAAGGAUGCCGAAGGAGGCACAACAGGGGGUGGAGGUGGCAGAGUUGCAAGAUUUGCUUGUUUGAACUCAUUGAACCAUUGGUUCAUCAUUCUAAGAAUUACAUUUUUUCAUCUCAUCACCCACGGAUUAUGGAAUAGGCACACUAUUGUUUGCCUCAAGAUUCAAAGCUUGAACAUUACUUUCAGCUUUAUUAACUAUAGCUCGAUUUGAUUCAGCUGACAUAUUAAAUCUAUAAGAAAAAAAUGCUAGAAUGGAUGAAAAGCAUCACACUAUCAGAGGGUAUAUGUUGCAUGUAUAUACUAAACUUUACUUUGCUACACUAGUCCUAGAAUCGACUAAACCGUAGCUCUAAUACCACUAAAUGUAACACCCCUAACCUGUAUCCGUUAUCGAAUUAAGGUUACAGAGCAUUACUGAAUAAACAUAACUUGAAAUCAUUCAUUUCAAAAGAUUUCAAUAAACAUAGAAUAACCUAAUAAUAUACAUGCAUAUCGUCCCUUAUUCGAGCCCUCAAGGCCUUAGAAUCACUUUAGAAAUGAUUUCGGACUAAAUCAAAAAUAUUUGAAACACUAAGGAAAAAGUUAGAAAAUUUCAAACUGUAGGGGUCAAACGACUGUGUGGCCAGGUCGUGUGACUCACACAGCUGAAGCGCACGCCUAUGUCUCAGGCUGUGUAAUAAUCAAAAUAGGGACACAUGACUGUGUCCUAGCCCGAGUCCAUAUGGGUCACAUGGCCAAGCCACACGCCCAUGGGCUAGGCCGUGUAACUUCCUGAUUUGCAACCUCUAAAACCUAUAGGGGACACACGGUCGUGUUGCAUGGCCAUAUGCCACACAUAACUGAGACACACACUCGUGUCUUUAGCCAUGUGGACAAGAAAUUGGUCACAAUCAAGCCAUUUCUUUUACCCAUUCCAACAAGUACCUAUAAGCCAUAUACACAUAUGAUCAAUGCACCACAAACCUACCAAAACAUGAUUAAUUUAACAAAUUCAAAAGAUCCAAAAUCCAUUCAACCAAUGUGCCUUAUAAGGCACCUCAAGCAUAAUCAAACAAACUUACCAAAACAUUUGCAUAAUUAACCUUACUUCCAGCAUACACAUAUAUUUCCAUAUCAUCUUAAAACAUACAACAAUUAAUACCAUUUCUAGCAUAGCAACUUAAUUCUCCACCAAGCCAAAACAAAUCACAAGUGUAUACUUUCAUACCAUUCUAAUUGUACUAAAAAGAUACCUAUUUACAACUUCAGUAAAGUGCCUAACAACUUAGUUUAGUAUUUUGUCAAAAUGUAGUAUUUUGUCAAAAUGUACCAUAACAACCUAUAUAGCCACAUAUACAUGCCACAACCCUAAGGAGCACAAGAACUACCAACAUCGGUGGAUAGUGUGAGCCGAAGAUUUGAUCCAUCCAAAAGUCAGCAAUAACUAUCUACAAAACAAUACGUAAAAUCAUAUAAGCUUAUAGAGUUGAGUAAGAACAUAGUAAAUCUUUUAACUUAACAAGAAUUGAAUGCAACUCUUAUUUUACUCAAUUUGAAGUUACCGUAGUGUAAAUAUGGGCACGUAUGUGCAAUUCAAGGAAUAAUUAAGUAUAAUUAAUUCAUUAAAUAAAUAUAUUGUAAACGUACAAGUAGAAAUUCAAUUACAUAUAGAAAUACUAGGAACUUAGAUGACGACUAGAGCGUAAAAAUACGAUCGAGCUAAUCCGUGACUUUCGCCUUUCCUCGGUUUAGAUCUAGUUGAGAUUUAUCUUGAUCUAAAUAAAUAAUUAUAUUCGAUUAAGUGUUUCAAUAAAUAUCAGACAUUCAAUUCAGUCCAUAAUACAUAUUUAUACAUAAUUACUAUUUUUCCCCUAACAUUUUUACCUUUUUACAAUUUAGUCCUUCAACUCGUAAAUUGAAAUCUAAGCAUUCUCAUCCCUAAUUCAUGCUAGCAAAAUUUAUUAUGAACCCAUAUCAAUUCAUACAAGUCAUCAUUUCUGAAUUUAACCACAAUAAUUUACUACUUUUACAAAUAAGCCCCAAAAUCACAUUUUCAUAAAAAACCAUUUUACAAAACUUAUUUAUUUAUCUACAAUGACUCAUAAUCUUUCAUUAAACUUCAUAAAUCAUGCAAGAACAUUCAUGGUGAAACCCUACACCUGUAAUAGUUUUGCAAAUUAGUCCCAGGGCUAGCUAGAUUAAACUACGACUCCAAAAACAUAAAAAUCCUUAAAAACGGGCUUGAAAACCUACCUUGCAUGAAGGAUUUUCCAUAGAAGAAAACCCCCUCUUAACAAUGAAUUUUUUGUGCUUUUAGGGUUAUGAACAAAGAACAUGACAUCAUUUUGUUUUAAUUUACUUAACAUUUUAUCUUAAUCGUCCAUUUACCAAAAUAACCUUUAAAGACUAUAAAUUUCAAUAAAACCUUGCCAUAUAAUUCCACUAACUAUCCUAUUGGUUUAAUUACCAUCUACAUCUUUUCACUUUAAAGUUCUAUAGCUAAUGGAUAAUUUUAAAUACUAGAACUGUACUUUUACACCUUUUACGGUUUAGUCCUUUUCACUUAAUUAAGCAUGCAAACGUUAAGAUUUCUUAACGAAAUUUUUAUAUGACUCUACAAACUUACCGUAGACAUUAAAAUAAUAAUAAAAUAAAUAUUUGCUCAUUAUAUUUGUGGUCCCAAAACCACUAUUUCAAUUUCACUAAAAAUAGGCUGUUACAAUGUGUCCCAAUUUCAUUCAUUCAUUCAUUCACUCAUUCACUCAUUUGUUUAUUCAGAAACAUUAUUUUAAUGAAAAAAGAAAUAAAAUAAGAAUAAUUUUAUGAAAAAUCCAAAUAAAUUUCUAACUUUGGAAAUAAAUGCGAUUUCAAAAAGGACCAAGGUUAGCUCACACCCGCUCAAAAGCCAAGAAGAUGACAGAAAAAGAAUUAGCACGCAUGGCCAAAUUGAAGGAGCGGGACUUUGGACAAUUUAAUCCCUAUAUCGCGAAGAUUUACCACUUCAAAUGCUAGGUGUGACUAUUCAAAUCCCAAGAAUAAACGAGUUGCCUACAAGCGAGGAGUCGAGAGAAGUGGACAAGGGAAAGUCGAUUAUGGAUGAAAAAGCUCAUAGAUUCAGCCUAAUUGAGGAACUUUUGAAAGCCAUCGAAGGAUUAGAAACCUUAAGAUAUGUAGAAGUAGAAGGCCUGUGUCUGGUACUCAAUUUGGUCGUCCCACCAAACUUCAAAAUUCCUAGCUUUGAGAAAUUCAAAGGUAGCAGUUGCCCUAUUACUCACAUCGCCAUGUACUAUAGGAAAAUGGUUGCUUACUCUAAAGAUGAGAAACUACUAAUGCACAUAUUUCAAGACAGUCUGACCGGAUCUAUGGCUCGCUGGUAUGUAAAGUUGGAUAGGAGCCGGAUUCGAAAUUAGAGAGAGCUCCCACAGGCAUUUAUUGCUCAAUACAAACAUAUUGUAGACAUGGCCCUAGGCCACUUGACUCUGCAGAACAUGGAAAAGAAGUCAAAUGAGAGUUUUAAGGAAUACGUACAAUGGUGGAGGGACCUAACAUUACAAGUACAACCUCCACUCAGAGAAUAGGAGACCAUUGUUGUGUUCGUUGGUACACUAAAAGGCAUAUACUACGAUAGGAUGGUAGGAAAUGCCUCUAAGACCUUCACGAAUAUGGUAUUAUCUGGUGAAAUGAUAGAGAAUGCAUUGAAGUCGGGCAAAAUAGAUGACCCGUUGAGCGCAAAAAAAGGGUGUCGUUGGGAAAAAAAGAAAGCAGAAAUGUAAACAAUCACACCAAGCGAUUACCGAUACUCUUACUUUCCGUACCCGAGCCCAAUACCUCCAUGCCCCCAAUACCUUAUUGUAAAUGCUACCAAUACUUCACCAUUUAUGUAUUAUCCAACUAUACUUGUUACAAAUCCCUCCAUAUUAACUAUGCUAACCCGGUCCCUAUAAACCCAAGCUCCAGUAAGGACACCAUGGGAAAGGCCUGUGUUUGAUCCAAUUCCUAUCUCCUACACGGAACAUUUUUCAAUUCUAGUGGAGAAGCACCUCCUUGUACCUACACACAAGGAACGAAUGCAACCACCAAUCCCCAAGUGGUAUAAUGUCAAUGCUUGAUGUGAGUAUCACUCUGGCAAUCCAGGUCAUACCAUCUAGAACUUAUAAGGGCGAGAAAGAUAAAUUUUCAAUGAAAGAAUACACCAGAUGUUAAGACGAAUCCAUUACCAAACCACGAUCGAAUAGUUAAUACUAUAACUGAAUAAAAUAGACUUCAAAAGAGAAAAGUGAAAGAAAUCACAACCCCAGCCGAGCGUAUCUUUGACAUCUUGAGUAAGUGAAAUCUAAUUCACACUGAGCCACCCACGUCUAAAAUGGGAAUUGAUAUGGAUCAAAUCUGCAAAUUCCACCAAGGAGCACUAGGACACUCGAUCCAAGUUUUCCCAACGUUUAGGGAACAUAUACAGUGUCUCUUGGAUUCUUUCCAGCUAGAGAUACAGGAGGGUGUUAAGACAAAUGAGAUAAAAAUGUAAGAUGUGAAACCUAUCACCAUCAUAUAUGGAAAGAAAAUCCUUAUUGAAAAAGAGUCUACCUCAAAAGUCGUACAAGAUGACGUGUUGGUUAUUAAGGUUCUCGACCUUUUUAAGUAUGGAGAUGACCAACGAGUUCCUCAGAGAUAUGAUUAUGAGGUGGUUAGAUCUGAUGCCUCCAACAUCUCAGUACUUUGUGGCAUAACUCGAAACGAGCAUUGUUACAAGCCAAACACAGUGGGGGGAAAACCUCGUGGUAAAGAAGUGAUUUCAAAAAAUUAACCAAAAAUUGGCAAUAAAGAAGUCGAUAAGGAAACAAGGGAGGACCGAAUGGGAGAAGUCAAGAAUGAUGAAGUUAACAAAUUUUUACAUCUGAUAAAGCAUAGUGAGUAUAGCGUGGUUAAGCAGUUAAACAAAACACUAGCAAGAAUUUAUUUGCUGUCACUACUUUUGAGCUCGGGGCCACACAGUGAGGCUCUUGUACGAGUUCUAAAACAAGCUUACCUCACUCACAACGUGUCAGUAGAUAAUUUUAGUCACUUAGCAGGGAACAUUUUGGCCUCAAAUUACAUAUAUUUCAAUGAUGAUGAAAAUACGCCUAGAUGGAAAAGGAACUACCAAGGUACUACACGUCUUAGUAAAGUGUAAAGCCUAUUUCGUGGCUAGGGUUCUAAUCGAAAAUGGGUCAUCAAUCAACAUCCUCCCUUUGUCAACAUUGUCCAAGCUUCCCAUGGACACCUCGUACAUGGCAUCGAGCCCUUUAGUGGUGCGAGCUUUUGAUGGCAACAAAAGAAGUGUGAUUGGUGAAAUAGACAUUCCCUUAUUGGUAGGAGCUAUUAAUUUCCUUAUUCACUUUCAGGUGAUAGAUAUAAUACAUUCUUAUGGUAUGUUGUUAGGACGCCCCUAGAUUCAUUUGGCUAGGGUGGUACCAUCAUCCUUGCACCAAAGAUUGAAAUUUGUAGUUGAUCAGAAUUUGUGCAUCGUAUGAGGCAAAAAGGACCUAUUGGUAGCUUGCUUUCCAAAUUCUCCUUUCAUAGAAGUGGAUGAUGAUGCAAUAAAGAGUUCUUUCCUGAUCUUUGAUGUGGCCACUGUAUCUUACGUGGCAGAGGGAAUGCGAGCCCCUAAGCCUUAUGUGCCACGAACAACAAACAUCUUAUUUGCCCAGACAGAAGGGAAGGGUCGGCAAAUCCACUUAGGUUUGAGAGACGUACAAGGUAUCUCAGAACCCGUUUUAGUUCUCACUCUGAAAGAUACAAGAGGGUUAAGAUAUAAGCCUACGAAAGAGAAUGUCGAGAGGAUGUGUAAAGAGCAGAGGGCAAAGAGGUUGGCCCGCAUGGCUGGAAAGAAGGACCAGGAAAGGACCCCUAUCAAGUUAAUGAUUAGUGGAGACUGGGUUUGCUACGACCCUUCUGCCUUGGACAACUGACAGCUCAUACCGUUACCUGCUAUCUUUGAGUCCUUCAAGAUGUAUUUAUUUUUAAGAGUUUUUAUUUCCAAAUUUUAAUAUCAUUCAGUUAAUUCAGUUUCUUUCAAAAAUCCAUGUAAACUUUUCUUUUCUCUUUAAUGUGAUCAGAUUUGGAUCAUGUCCCUAUUCACUUUUAUUCAUUUAAUCAUUUUCAUUCAUAUACCAAUAUACAUAAUCAUAAUUAUUUUAGGGGUAUACAUCAUGAAUUGAUAAAUUAUCCAAAUGACAUCUUUGAAUCAAAUUCUCUUAAUUAUGUUCACUAUAACGAUCAUGAGACGGAAGAGGAAGAAGUUGUACCAGAGGAAUUUUUUAGGAUAGUUGAACAAGAAAAGAAGCUUAUAGAACCCCACUUGGAGGGAACAAAUUUAAUCAAUCUGGGUGAUGAUAAGUUAAAAAAGGAUAUUAUGAUUAAAACCACUUUCAUGCUGGAGCAAAGUCAAUUGUUGGGGGAUCUACUCAUUGAGUUCUAAGAUGUGUUUGCAUGGUUAUACCAAGAUAUGCUGGGUUUGGACACUAAUAUCGUGGAACACAGGCUACCUUUGAAAUUAGAUUGCAAAACCGUAUACCAAAAGUUGAGAAUGAUGGAACCUGAGAUGCUGUUGAAGACUAAAGAAGAGGUCAAGAAAUAAUUCGAUGCGGGAUUUCUGGAAGUAGCUAAAUACCCAGAGUGGGUGGCGAGCAUUGUACAAGUGCCUAAAAAGGAUGGGAAAUUCAGAAUGUGCAGCGAUUAUAAAUAUUUGAAUCAAGCUAGUCCCAAGGACAAUUUUACGUUACCUCAUAUAGACACACUGGUGGAUAACACUACUAAACAUUAUGUUUUCUCUUUCAUGGAUGGAUUCUCAGGGUAUAAUCAAAACAAAAUGGUGAGGAAGGACAUGGAAAAGACCACAUUCAUCAUGACGUGAGGAACUUUUUGUUACAAGGUCAUGUCAUUUGGUCUGAAAGAUGCUAGGGCCACGUAUUAAUGAGCAAUGGUGACAUUGUUUCAUGACAUGAUACAUAAAGAGAUUGAAGUUUAUAUGGACAAUAUGAUAGCAAAUUUUGAUAGGGAGGAAAUUUAUAGGAAAACCUCUGCAAACUGUUUGAAAGAUUAAGGAAAUAUAAAUUGAGAUUGAAUCCAACAAAAUGUACUUUCAGGGUAAAGUGAGGGAAUCUGUUGGGUUUCGUAGUGAGUGAAUUGGGAAUUGAAAUAUACCCGGACAAGGUUCAAGCAAUUCAAGAUUUUUCACCCCCUAAAAUUUCAAAGGAGGUAAGAGGUUUCUUAGGAUGGUUAAAUUACGUGUCUCAUUUGAUCUUAUAGUUGACGGAUAAAUGUGAUCCCAUCUUCAAUCUCUUACGUAAGGAUAAUGAUGGUGAAUAGAUUGAUGAUUGUCAAAAAGCAUUGAAGAAAGUAAAAGAGUAUUUGGCUAAGCCACCAAUUUUGAUUCCCCUGGUGCCAAUAAGACCUUUGAUUUUGUAUUUGGUAGUGCUGGAUAAUUCUAUAGGUUGUGUUCUGGAGCAAUGAGAAGGUUCAAACAAGAAAGAACACACAAUCUAUUAUCUGACAAACAAGUUCACAGAAUAUGAAGCCAAUUAUCCCCAUCUGGAAAAGAUGUGUUGUGCUUUAGCAUGGACUACGCAUCCACUAAGGCAAUACAUGUCAGGAAGAAGCUAUUAUUGUCAAGAACAGUUGCUCAUUGGCAAGUGGUAUUGUCCAAGUAUGACAGCGUCUACAUAUCCCAAAAGGCUAUAAAAGGAAGUAUAGUCGCAAAAUUUUUGGCGGAUCGCACGAAAGAGGAAUACAAGCCCAUGAGUUUUGAUUUCCCAAAUGAAGAGAUCCUGUUAAUUUCGAAGCGUGGAGAAGAAAUUUGGAAGGUGUAUUUCGAUGGACCAUCCAACAUGAUUGGGCAUGGGAUUGGGGCAUACUAAUCUCCCCAAGUGGCCAAUAUUUUCUCGCUACAGCUAAAUUGAUGUUCCCCUGUACGAACAUUGUAACUGAAUACGAGGCAUGCAUUUUCACACUUUAGAUCGCCAUUGAGAAAAAGAUUAGGGUUUUAAAAGUUUUUGGUGACUCAGCAUUAGUUUUUUACCAAUUAACAGGAGAAUUGGAAAUAAGGGAUUCCAAAUUGAUUCACUAUCAAACAUAUGUGGAUGGACUAUUGAAAGAGUUUGAUGAUGUCCAAUUUUGUCAUUUGGCAAGAGAAGAAAACCAGUUAGAAGAUACAUUAGCUACUAUAGCUACCAUGUUCAUCGUGGGAUCCGAAACAGAAGUGUAACCUAUACUGCUAAGGGUCAAAGACUCGUUGGCCCACUGGGUGGGAGUAGAAUCAAGAACGGAUAGGAAACCAUGGUAUGUUGACAUUAAGCAGUAUUUGCAAUACCAGCAAUACCCGGAUUACGCUUCAAAAAAUUAUGAACGAAUAAUUAAGAGGCUGGUCAUGGGUUUCUUCUUGGACGUUUUUUUGUACAAAAGAUAAUGUGACCAAACCCUGAGAGAUGUGCCGACACAAAAGAGGCAAAUCAGAUAAUGAAGGAAAUCCAUGAUGGAGUAUGUGGAGCACAUAGUAACAGACAUAUGACAACAAGGCAAAUCAUGAGUGCUGGAUAUUUCUAGUUGACGUUGGAACCAGAUUGUUUAAAUUAUGCUUGGAAAUGUCAUAAAUGUCAGAAUUAUGUAGACAAUAUUAACGCUUGUCUAACUAAUCUCCAUGUCUUGGCACCUCAUUUGUCAUUCUCAAUGUUGGGCAUGGAUUUCAUUGGCCCCAUCACAUCGAAAACAUCAAACGAGCAUCGCUUCAUCUUUGUAGUGAUUGAUUAUUUCACCAAAUGGGUCGAAGCCGCUUCAUAAGCCAAUGUAACUUGAUUAGUGGUGAGCGAAUUUCUGAAAAAAGAGGUCAUUUGUUUGUAUAGUUUACCAAAAAGAAUCAUCUCAGAAAAUGCCAAGAACUUGAACAAUGUCGUGAUAGAAGAGGUUUGCGCACAAUUUAAGAUCAAGCAUCAUAAAUCUACGCCAUAUCGUCCAAAAAUGAAUGGGGUAGUCGAGGCCACGAAUAAAAAUAUCUAGAAGAUCAUUUCCAAUACAGCAAAAAUGUAUAGGGAUUGGCAUAAGAAACUCCCUUUUACUCUCCACGCAUACUGUACAUCAGUGAGGACUUCGAUUGAAGUUUCUCUAUUUUCAUUAGUGUAUGACAUGGAGGUCAUUUUACCUAUCGAGGUGCAAAUCCCAUCUCUACGAGUAGUUGAAUUUAAUUGAGGAAAAGAGAUUAGCAGCUUUAUGUCAUGGCCAGUUUUAUUAACAAAGAAUGAUGAAGACCUAUAACAAGAAGGUGUGACCAAGGCAGUUUAGAGAAGGGGAUGUAGUACUAAAGAAUAUUCUACCAUAUGUUCAUGAUCAUCAGGGAAAAUAGACACAAAAAUGGGAGGGACCGUAUAUGGUGAAAAAAAUUUCUCUGGUGGAGCAUUGAUUCUCGUUGAAUUGGAUGGAGACAAGAUGUCGAACCCUAUAAAUUCUAAUGCAGUGAAAAAAUACUUUGCUUAAAAACUAAGCUUGAUCGUUCUUAAAAAGUUACUCACAUAAGUAAUAUUGGCUUUUUCUCUUUUGCUUUUCUUCAUGCAUCACAUUUCAGGUUACAUUUUGCUUUGGAAUCUUACAUUCUCCUUAAGUUUAAUUACUUAAUAAGUUGUCCAUGUUCAAAAUGACAAAUGACAUUUUUGAAAUAUCCUUCACUUGAAGAAAAUUCCAUCCUCUGUUAACCACUUUGGGCCAUCUUGUUUGUUCAAAAUUAACCCUUACUGAAGGAUCACCUUCCACGUUGGAGGACAAAUUGUGAGGUUUUGGGUAUGGAUCAAUGAUUUUACAACAUUGUGAGGCAAACAUGCGAUUAUGCGUAAUUCAAAUUGAAAAGAUGGGUGCAUUCCUAAGAAUGGUCUUUCUGAUUAGAUUAACCAUAUUUUGAAAUGAUAAAUGACAUCCUUUUGUUCUCCUCGUCACAUGGAGAAAAUUAUCUCCCUUGCUACCCCAUUUUGAUCCUGAUGUAACUUCUUUCUGAACCCUAAUUAAAGUCAUCCAUCGAACAUCAUGAAUUGACAAGAAAGAUCAUGAAGAAUGAAAGCAAAAUUUUGAAUUCUUGAUCUUAUUCCAAAAAAAAGAAAAAAAAUAGGGAAAGUGAAUAAAAAACAAAUAAGAAAAGAAAUAGGAAGGAGUACGAACAAAGAAAAGUGAUGGAAAGAGCAAUAAAAAAUUCAAAAUAAUUCCUCAUGGAUUUUAUACUCUUUCACAUAAUUUUAGCCUAGAAAACCUUUCUUUGAUUGACCUUUAACCCUUAGGCCACGUUACAACCAUUAAAAGACCAUUUUGGUCGAAUAUGUUUGUUCAAAUCAAGAAGUUAAUCCUUGGGAAAUAGUGACGUUUUCAAAAGUAUAAAAGAAGAUGAUGAACUCUAAGGUGAAAACUCAGAAAUGAGCAAUCUAAAAAAAAUUCUAAAAAAAUAAUAGGGUAUAAGAUGCCCUGGAGGAUAAUGAAGUUUUCAGAAGAAAUUGAUCCUUCAGUACGAGCCCUGAAGUAAUCGAUUUUAGGUUAUUUUAUCCCUUUCUUUGGCUUCCAAACUCGAAUGGACACUAUAACCUUGGAACAAGUCCAUCUCUAGUUGCUUAUGGUCGACUUAAAUUAGGGAAUUAAUCUACUUGGAGAAUGUAAGAGUCUAUAUAAAGAAGAUUUUGCUUAAAUAAAAAAACACAAAAAAAAAAGAAAAAGGGAAAAAAUAACCAAAAAAACAGAAAAAAAUAGAGAGAGAGCAAAAGAAAGGAACUACUUUAAGACACAAUUUUGCUAAAGAGAAUGGUACAGGGUUCAUUGUCGGAACAACCCAAAGUCAAGAAAAGGAAAUUCAGGUUCACGAGAAUUAACGAGUUGACUCUCGAUGCAAGAAAUUUAUGUUUCAAGGGUAGAUUUAUGAAAUCCGUAGUACCAAGUCUAUUAAGUGAAUUAUCAUCUGAAAAUUUAAUUUACAAGUCACAAAAUCAAUUUGAAAUUUGUUAAGAUGAUAUCCCAUGGAAUUUGAUUUUCAUGAUAUGUUAUGUAUGGAUAGAGAUUUGAUCUUUUUCAACCUAAAAGCAUGAUUAUCAAAAUAAUGACCUUUUCUGAAAAAUUCAAUAAAAGAAUAAAGGAAAGCAUUCAUUGCAUUUAAGGGCCCAGGUGUGGAGGUCUGUUUACCUUUCAUUGCAUUUAAGGGCCCAAGAUAGAAUUUAUCUUGUUUCACUCUUCAUGUUUCGAUGGUUUGGUAUCUACUUUUCCAGUUUUGGAUAACGUAACAUGUUUUGAUCUGUUUCAGUUUUGGUACUUGCAAAAUCUAUUAUUCCUUGUACUAUGAUGUUGAGUAGGAUUUGAUAGUGGUUAGGUGUCUACGUCUUUUUUCGUGGUACAUUUUUCGCUAUGCAAGCCACGAACAAAUACGGGCAACUGUAGACACUCAUUUUUGUUCGAGCCCAAUUAGAGGCUCACUUGUUCCCUUUAAAUAUUUGUUUUUUUCUUGGGCCAUUCGAAGCCCACCCAAUUUUGGUCAAAUGAAGGCAUUUGUUUUUCUUACCUUUUUAUUUCCUUUUCAAGCUUGUCAAGGGCCCAGAUUAUUAUUAUCAUUACUACUAAUAUUAUUAUUAAAUAUUAUUAUUAUCUCUUUUUUAGGGCCCAAGGCCCAAGCUAUUACAAUGGUCAGCUGGGUUUUCAAAACCCCUAGCCUUCCCUUUUGUCACACAUCACAAACAUCCAAAAUAGUACCAGACCAUUAAUCAACAGAUCAAUGGAAACAUAACAAAAAUUACAAAUAAAAAACGUUACCAUAUUUAUUGAUCACUCGGCGUUGAGAUAUCCUUUCACGAAGAAGGAUGCAAAAUCAAAAAUAAAACAUUGGAUCUUACUAUUGCAAGAAUCUAACAUCGAGAUAAAAGACCGCAAGGGUACAGAGAAUCAAGUUGCAGACCAUCUGUCUCGAUUGGAAGUUAGCAGCAAAGAUGGAAACAUACUUCAAAUUGUCGACGCAUUCCCAGAUGAGAAGUUAUUUGUUGUAGAUGCAACCCCUUGGUAUGCGGAUUUGGUUAAUUAUAUAGUGUGUAGAAAACUCCCAUUCGGUGUCAUAAGCCAUAAAAAAGAAAGAUUUCUUCAUGAAAUAGUCAAGUAUCAUUAGAACAAGACGUAUUUAUUCAAGGUAUGCAAUGACAAUAUUAUUCGACGUUGUGUUCCGGAAAAGGAGAUGCUUUCAAUCCUUAAGCACUAUCAUGAUCCUUUCAAUCUAGAAAAGAAAAUUGCUAGCAGUUGAAACACUAUUUUGGGAAUAUUAAUCAAAAACAGGCAGAGACCAUUAAAUUGGUUAAAAAAAUUUAAUUUUUAUUGAAUUUAUCAUUAUGUGAUUUUAUUUUAUUUUGUUUUUGUUCAAGUUUGUUUUACUUCUUUUUUUUUCCAAAAUAAUUAGGUAACAUUGUCGAAGCACUUUGACUUUAUUGCCCAUGCAGUUCAUACUAUUGUACUGUCACUUAUGACUCAUCAAGAAUGAGGGCAUAUCAAAAAUUUCAAAUCCCACCGAUCAUCUGAGAUUAUAUCAAGGGCAGGAACAACUCUAUUGUAGCCGCAUUAAGUUAGUUAAGCCCAGUCCCACUCCUAAAAUUUCUAGUGUUCCCAUUGAUCAUUCAAGAUUAUGAACUCUCAUUCGAGGAUGAUGACUUAGGGGAUCCAGACAGAUCGGUGGCAUCCCCACCCAUUGUGCACGUCUCUGUUGAUGAGAAAGAAGAGGAAUUAAAGGGCAUUGAAGAGUGCAUGCAAAGGAUUGAUAGCUUGGUCGAGGGUGACUUCAUUGCUAGUCAAGAGGAACAUGCUAUUGAGGUGGAAGUUUUUGUUAGAGAGGAGGAAGUCCUUGUUGCAAAUGUGAAUGAGAAGGACAAGAAAGAAGAUGCUAAGAAAGAAUAUGCUCGAAACAUUGUCAUUGUACCCAAGUUUGUGGGUGCAACUACUGAUAAUUUGGAGCGAGAUGGAGCUAGAACAGCAGAAGCUGCAAAGGAAGCAACCAAUGAUGCCCAGGCAGAGCUAGAACCUGAAGAGCGAUCUAAGGAUCAUGCGAAGCCCAAACAAUAGAUGAAAAAGCGCCCCAAUGACAAAAAGUGCAAGAAAGAGGAGAAAAAGAGGAGGAAAAAGAAACAUCAUGCAGCCACAUCUGUGGCUAAGGAAAACUGAGUUAGUUUUUUUUCAGUUUUUUUAGUUGUAGUGUUCAUGCAUUGCACGUAGCUGUAAUUUUUAUUUUGUUACUGCACAUUUUCAUUGCAUUUCUCUGGUAAUUGCAUUUUAAUUUUAGUGCAUUGAGGACAAUGCAAACUUUAAGUUUAGGGGAAUCCAUAUGGGGUUUGGAAAUACAGUCACAUUUCAAAAAAAAAUUAUUAAGUUUAAUGAAGCAGGCAAGGUUUAUUUGUGGUUAAUGCAAAUGUGUUUGAAAAUUUUUGUUACAUCCAAUCUUAAUUCUUGAAUCAUGUGAAUUAUAAAUGAAUGAGUUGGAUAAAUUUGACUGAAUGUUGUAUCUUCAAUUCUUUGAUGAAUGAUUUAGGUUGCUUUAGUAAUGGAUGACUAGUAGCAUUGCUUGAAUCUUGAAUGAAUCUGCCUUUUACAGCUGCUUAUAUAUAUAUAGUUAUGAAUAAGAGACACUCCAAAGUGGGUGUACUGUGAAAUGUUAAAUAGGGAACACUCCAAUGCAAGCAUUAGAAAAAUGAAUCUGGCCAAAGGCUGUCGCUGCAUGAGUGUGCGUCGGUGCAAUUACGUACUCCCUUGAGUUUGUUGCACUCCGUCGCUACUUUUCAGGAACAAUGGUACAAUAAUGCAACGAUAUCCCUUAUUCACACAAAAAAAAAGACAUACAUUGUACAAUAAAUGUUGUAUUGGUAGAUAGAAUUUAGGAUUUAAAGCAUGAUGUUGGUUUUGAUGAAGUUGCAAUCUUAUUCAUUCAUACUUAUGUAUUUUCGAUGCAAUAUUCUAUCAUCUGAAUUUGACUCAUUCAUUGGAAUUUAGGUGAUUCAAGUUGCUAAAAUGAUCAUUUGCCUUAGUGAAUUCUUGUGUAGCCUUGCUAGUUUCUAAUUUACUUGAGGACAAGUAAAAACUCAAGUUUGGCGGGUGUGAUAGUACUAGAAAUAACAUAUGUUUUCUCCCUACUUAUUGGUUAAUUUGUUCCCAUCUAGUUAUCUUUAGUACAUAUUUUAGCAUUUUCAGUUCAGUAAAUUACAUUUUAUAACUCAGUGGGUCUUAACCUAUUUAUCCUUAAUUUCCUCAUGUUUUGGUACUGAUGUAACUGCACGAGUAUUUCCAGAUUGCACCAAGAAUUGUCGCCGCAACUGUCAGCUAUCUAGAUAAGAAUAAAAAGGAGUGAGCUGGCCAGUCUGGUACAACCAACCUGUAUGUAUAGAGGAUCCAUGAUUCUAAUGAAAGGACACCUGUGUUAUUUGGAUAAAUAUUAAUAUUCACAUGAAAAGAAAAGGGGGAGGUUCUUUUCAUUGGGGAGAUUAUCUUCUUCAACCUAUCUUUUGAAGCCUUUCAGCUAUGGUGGCUUAAGCCUCCUACGGGUGAACCAAUGUGAAAGGGAUGCAGAUUAGCUCUUCCCAAGGAGCCCUGAGUGCAACAUAAGAGGGAGUUGAGAGAUCAAGUCGAGAUUUUCUAGGAAUAGUACUCUCCACUUGUUUCUUUUAUAUUUCUUUUCUAAAUGUUGGUGAUUACUUUUUAUUUCAUGUUUGUGUAGAAGUAUACAUGAUUUCUGGGUUAAAUGUUAUUUUAUUCAAUCUUGUUUCUACUAUUUAAUCUUUGGGCUUGAAUGUUUUUAGCAUGGAAGUGUUAUUACUAUUACUGACAAUGGAAAGUGCAGCGAUAGUUCAAGCUAACAAGCAUGACAGCAGAAGUUCCUUUAGGAUUAGAAGAAUUUAAUUCACUUGUUCUUAAUAGUGUUCCAUUGCCAUCAUCAAAUGGUGUGGCUAAUGUGCAUGUUUAAGUCGUAGAUUAAAUAUAAAAUUUAAGGUUGGUAAGAUAUUCAUUGCAAUUUAAUGCAUCAACAAUCAACUAUCCUUUUAUGCCUUGUGAGCACUUAGUAUUCUGUUGAAUAUUCACGUUGAGGAUCCCAGUUUAUCAUUAUCUUAUUUUAUCUUAUUGUUUUCAAGUUAUUGCUUCGACAACUACUCUUGUAACACCCCUUACCGGAGACCGUUGCAAGAGUCAAGCUCGAGGCAUUACUUUACUUGUCUUACUAGUUUGGGACAUAAAAAGUUACUUUUGAAAUCAAUUUCCACAUAUACAGCAAAACUGUUCACUCGCGCAGCAGUUACUAAAUCAUUCAUAACUUGAGAUAUGGAACUCAAAAUCUAAAUCCGUAAAUUUUCCCUAAAACUAGACUCAUAUAUAUUUUUACCAUAAAAUUUUUAUAAUUUUUGGUUCAUCCAAUUAGUACAAUUUAUUAGUUAAAGUCUCCCCUAUUUCACCAUUUGACUGUUCUGACCUCUUGUUACUAAAAAUAAAAUUUAUCAUUAUAGGAUUUUAAUAUGGUACUCUCACUUGUUCCAAAAGAAAAUAGACUCAAUAAGGAAUCUAUACAUAUAAAUUACAACUCAUAAAUAUUUUUUUACAAUUUUUAAUUAUUUUCUAAACUCAGAACAGGGGACUCCAAAAAUAGUUCUGACCAUGUUUCACUAAAAUUCACAUAUCUUAAAAUAUAAAUUUCCUUUUUCGACACAGUUAUUUUUCUAUGAAAAUAGACUCAACAAUAUUUAAUUCCAUAUAUCAUUCACUCUCUAAUUCAUUUUAUACCAACCUAGGUGAUUUUUCAAAUUCACAUCACUGUGCUGUCUAAAUUCUAUUUCUUUGCAAAAUUUUACCCUUUCAUGAUUUCCAUGCAUAAUUUAUCACCUAGACUUUUAUAACUUAACCGUUUUAAUAACCGUUCAUCAAAAAAUACUUACACAUCAUUAUUUAGCAAAAUCAUAAUUACAAACAAGCAAAAUAACUAAAUCCCUAUACAUGCCAUGACUCAAACGUGUUUCAUCAUAAAAUACCGAGUAGUUGUUCUUGAUAGUGUAGACGAUCUCCGACUUCUUUAGGAUCCCUGAAGUAGCUUUGCAAUACUAUAAGAGAAAGAAAAAUAAAAGAAGUAAUCAUUAAGCUUAGUAAGUUUACUAGCAAAUAAAUAACAACAUUCAACAUAAAUGAUUAUACUCGAAUGUCAAGGUCUCUAAUUUACUCUUUAAUUAAUCUCAUUCUCAUUCUCUUGCUUGUUUACUUAGUUAACUCGUGAUUAUGACUUACUCUUCCCUUGCGGAAACGUUGAGUGUCAAUUGAUAAUAUCAUAAGUUCUUAACUCUUAUAACUUACAUGAGCUUGCCAUUUAUGCUUUUAACUGAAUUUUCAUGAACAUGAUUUGUUUACUAGCCCGUUUAGCUACAUUGGAAUAAUAAGGAUACUCAGGUCUCUUCUGAUAAUAACAUGCCAAAGCCAUGUUCCAGACAUGGUCUUACAUGGGAUGUUUUCAUAUCAGUGCCCAUGCCAUGUCCCAGACAUGGUCUUACGGGGGACCUCUCAUCUCGGUGCCAACGCCAUGUCCCAGACAUGGUCUUACAUGGGACCUCUCAUCUCGGUGCCAAUGCCAUGUCCCAGACAUGGUCUUACAUGGGACCUCUCAUCUCGGUGCCAAUUCCAUGUCCCAGACAUAGUCUUACAUGGGACCUCUCAUGAUCUCAAGGAUGCCAAUGCCAUGUCCCAGACAUGGUCUUCCAUGGGAUCUCUUUACCUAAAUGUCAUAACAUUUGUAUCCAAUACAUUCCUCAUGUUUCAACGGGGCCUUUUAACACUAAUUCUUUGUCAUCUCAUACUUGAUUUAACAUUAGAUAUUUUCAUGAAAUAAAUACAUAAUUUCUGAAAAAUAACAGCAUUAAUUAUAAUUAUCAAAAUGUUGCAUUUAUUUAUCGUAAACUUACCUCGGUACAAAAUAUAGCCCAAUUCACCAACUCAGUCUUCAACUUUAUUCUUCCCUUUGUCUAACCUUGAGUUUCGUUCUUCUUGAUCUAAAAUAGCAAAUUUAACUCAUUUAAUAAUCACAUUUAUCAAAAUAGCCCUCGACUCUAACUUUGUCAAAAUAACAAUUUUGCCCCUAAACUUUUACAUAAUUAUAUUUUUCCCCAAUGCUCGGAAAUUAAACUUCAUCUCUUAUUCUUAUGUUUUAUAAUAUGCUGAACAUUUUUCUCUUCUAUGACAACAUCAAAUUCUCACUCUAACAUGUACUUGUGAACAUUAGGUAUUUUACUGAUUAUGGAGUUUUACUCGUUUUCGCUUAAAAUCGACUAGCAAAAAUUGUUUAACAUAAUUUCUAGCUUCAUAUUUUACCUUAAAACAUCAAAAUAAACACUUUUCACCUACGGGUAUUUUUCCAAAUAUAAACCCUAGGUUAAAUUAUUGCUAGAAUAAGCUAAAUUAAGCUACCGGGAUCUCAAAAACGUAAAGAACAUUAAAAACGGGGCUUGGGAUCACUUACUAUGGAGCUUGGAAGCUUGAAAACCCUAACUAUGGCUUCUCCCCUUGCUAAAUUCGGCCUAAUGAAGAAGAUGAUAAAAAAUUGGCUUUUAAUUUUGUUUUUAAUUCAUUUUAAUAACUAAAUGACUAAAAUGCCCUUAAUGAAAAACUUUGGAAACAUGCCUAACCAUGUCCAUUUUUGUCCACAAACUUAACCGAUGGCCUAAUUAUCAUAUAAAGACCUCCAAUUUAAAAUUUCAUAACAAUUGGACACCUCUAACAUAUAGAACUCAACUUUUGCACUUUUUACAAUUUAGUCAUUUUGACUAAAUUAAGUGCCCAAACGUCAAAAUUUUUGAACGAGAUUUUCACGAAAUCUUUUCGUGAAAUUGUAGGCCAUAAAAAUAUAAUAAAAAUAAUUUUUUUCCUCAUCGGAUUUGUGGUCCCGAAACCACUGUUCUGAUAACCUUAAAUUUGGGCCAUUACAACUCUCAAAUUUAUCUUGUUUCUAUCUAUUUAUUACACUGAAAUUGAAAGAAAAAAGACAACCAUCCUCGUGGGAUCGAUAUCCGGCUGACUCAUAUCUGUCUACUAUACUUGCAUCGACAGUGUACACUUGCACAUUAUUGCUGUGACGUUAAACAGCCGAUCAGGUGCCAAAAUGGGUAAUUUAUUCCCAUCCCCUUAAUUUUUAAAUUUCUUAAAAAAACACCCCAUUUUUUGUAGUGCCGCCCUCACUCUCUAGCCUAUUUACACCCGUAACCCUUUUUAUUUAUUCAAACCUUUAAUUUAAUCCGAAAUUUCAAAAUUAAAGGCAAAUUAUUUGCUACAUCAGUCCUCUGUCUUCCACAAUUUUUAUCUUUUAGUCCCAAAAUCAAGCUCUAUCAUUUUGUUUCCAUCUUGAAUAAGUUAUUUACAUUUAUAUCUUCCAUUUCAUUUACAUUUUUACCUUAUUUAUUUGAUGUCAAUUAUGCACUUUAUUUUAAAUUUUUUUAUAUUUAUUAAAACUUGUAUAAUUUUUAUUUAUUCUUAUUUCAUCUUUAAUUGUUUUCAUGUCUAUUUAUAUUUAUGUUUUUUUACAGAUUCCUCUUACAUACAUUUUAAUAUGAUUCGUUUAUAUUACUUUGAUUCUUUUAUUAUAUUAAGAAUAAGGUGUAUUAUUGUUAUUAUUAUCAUCAUCAUAUCAAAGUCUUAUUUCUUUCAUUUAUUUAAGUGUUCCUUUUAUUAUUUCUCUUUUUGAAAGCUAAAUACAAUAAUUCAUGUGGCAGCUAAAUACAAUACCAAAUGUAUUUGGAUUUUGUUCGCUCCAACUAUAGGGUGUGACUCUGUAGGCUAUUGUAAUGUUGGUAGUAAUACUAGAACAUUUCUAAAAUUACAAGCAAAGAGUGGCAUCUAGCAAUGCAUCAUUGCUACCCAAGUUACAAGAAGUCGUGAUUCGACAUAACCUUUCUGUGAUAAUCUUUUCAUGUAUUAUAUCCUUUUGGGACUCAUGAUGUUGGGACAAUGAUGAUCUCAAGUCUGAGGAUCAUAUACAUAGCUACCACUAUGAAUAAUAUUUGUUACUAUUACGUAAUAAUCCAAGAAACAAACUCAUAGCAGGUUAAUCCAGUAUGUUGUUCUCUAACACAUUAUCAAUGACAACACUUUGUCACCAAUCAACUAAACAUUAGUCUCAAUGCAUUAUCCUUGUCCAAGCCCACAAUAAUACUCGACUAAGGACCUUUUUAAGAAUAAUCAUAUUCUUCUUAGAAAUUAUUAUUAACCAAUUUACUUAUACACACAGAAAAAGAAACUGAAAAAAUAAUGGCAAUGCCUUAUAUUAACAAACAAGGUCAAACGAGUAUGUGAUUACAAUCAUCUCAUGAUUGGUCUUUAUGCAUACACUAACAAGAUAAAGCAAAGAGUCAAUCAUAGACCUAUAUAGCUUUAAAUCAACACAUUUACCUUCCUCAUCUUUGUCAAGCUUUGUAGAAGAGCUCAUUGGAGUAGCUUGUGGUUUGGGAGUGUCCAUCCCAACCUUCUUGAGCAUUUGCUUGGUGUAUUUAGCUUGAUUGAUGAAGAUGUCAUCCUUUACUUGCUUGAUUUGGAGUCCCAAAAAUAAAUUUAGUUCUCCCUCAUCUCAAAUUCACAUUGCAUUAGCUUAGAGAAUUCUGGACAAAGAAGACCAUUAGUAGAACCAAAAAUGAUAUCAUUAACAUAAAUUUGAACUACUAAUAAAUCUGUAUUUUCUUUUGAUAAAAAGUGUUAAGUUAACCUUCUCUUUACAAAAACUUAUUUCAAUGAGGAAUUUUGAUAAUAUUUCAUACCAAGCUCUAGGAGCUUAUUUUAUACCAUAUAAGGCUUUUGAAAGUUUGAAAAUAUGAUUUGGAAAUUUUGAAUCUUAAAUAUUGGGUGGUUGUUCAACAUACACUUAUUCAUUUAUAAAACCAUUUAUAAAAGCAUUUUUAACAUCCAUUUGAUAUAGUUUAAACUCAUUAAAACAUGCAAAAGCUAAAAGCAAUCUAAUGACUUCCAUCCUAGCUAUGGGAGCAUAAGUUUCAUAAUAAUCUAUUCCUUCCUCUUGAGUGUAACUUUCAGCACAAGUCUAGCCUUAUUCCUCACUAUGUUACCACUCCCAUCUAGCUUGUUCCUCAAAAUUUCUUUCAACUAAGGUCCAAAGUUUACUUCUCUCAAAUUGAUUUAACUCUUCUUUAAUAGCAAAUAUCCAAUAUUCAUCAUUUAAUGCUUCUUUGAUAUUUUUAGGCUCAAUGUAUGAGAUAAAUGCAAUAUAGUUACAAGUAUUUCUAAAAGAAGACCUAGUAGUUACCCCUCUGGAUAGAUAUUCUAAAAUCUUACAUCAUUCACAUAGUUGAACUUUCUUAGAUGAGUGACUUCCAUUUCCUCUAUUACAAAAUCCUCUAGAGCAUCUUCUAUUUGUUCUUGAAUCUUCUCACUUGUUGAUUGAUCCACUUAAUCAUUAUUAUUAAAAAAAGUAUGCAUUAUCAUCAUCAAUACAAGAAUCCUUUCUAGGAGGAAGGUUAGAGUCAUAAAAAAUAUCAUGUAUAGACUCUUCUACUACUACAAUUCUUUUGUUAAAUUCCUUCAUCACUUUUUGCUUCAAAUUUACUAAGGUUGUCUUUUCCAUUAUCUACAACGAAACACUUUCAUCCCAAAGGAUGAAAAUAGCUAAUGUUAGGUUUUUUAUUUUUGAAAAGUUCAUGUGGAGUUUUCUUUAAAAUAGGCCUAAUCAUCACUCUAUUAUUAAUGUAACAAGCAGUGUUUGUGGCUUCCACCCAAAAAUAUUUUGGUAAAUUAUUUUCACAAAGCAUGGUUAUAGCCCUUUAUUCUAAAAUUCUAUUUUUCCUCUCAAAAAAUCCAUUUUGUUGUGGGGUUCUAGGUGCAGAAAAAUUAGGCUAAUUUCAUUUGAGUUGCAAAAAUUUUCAAAACCAAGAUUUUGAAAUUUGGUUCAAUGGUCAUUUCUAACACUAGUGAUAGAGUAACCUUUUUCAUUUUGAUUCAUUUUUGAAAAUGUGAUGAACUUUUCUAAAGCUUCAUCUUUAGUGCUUAAAAAGAGAAUCCAAGUAAGUCUAGAAUUGUCAUCAACAAGUACAAAAGCAUAUUGUUUUUCACCCAAGCUAGUUGUCCUAAUAGGACCAAACAAGUCUAUGUGAAUUAGUUGAAGAACUCUACUAGUUGAUACAUCAUUAAUAGGUUUAAAGGAAACUCUUUUAUGUUUACCUUUAACACAUGCAUCUCAAACUUUAUCUAAUUCAAAAUCAAUUUUAGACAAUCAUCUUACUAAGUCAUUUUCAGCUAGUUUACGCAAUAUGCUCAUGCUAGUGUCACGGGGCUAGACCUUUCGUCUCGCAAUCCGUGCGGCCUUAGGCGAUCCGUUCGUCCAAACUCGCCCAAGUUAGCCUUAACUCCCAAAAGAGAGGAUUCUUUUAGAACUCCUCCAAGGCACCAAUUUGUAUAGCGGAAGCGAUUAUGCCAAAAGAAGCCACAAGAGAACAACAGAAAGCUAAAGAAAGAAAGCACACAAAGUGUUUGAGUAAAUGCUCAAGAAUUCUAUUACUCUUAAGAAUUCAAGCUACAAUGGAUGAUUUACAAAUGAGGGGGAGGUUCUCUAUUUAUAGUUGAGCUCCCCCAAAACCGAUGGUCAAGAUACAUGUACAUCGACGGACGAGAUUCACUAUAUCCCUUGAUUUUAGGGAUUUACAAGAUUUACCAUAUCAAAUCUAAUCUAAUCUUACAAGAUAUGAUUCUAUUCUAUCUUCUAAGAUUAGUUACCAAAAUUGCCUAAGCUGCCAUGUCUUCAUCAUUGGGCCAACCAGGCUUCAAUCUGAUAGGCUUCUUUAGUAGCUCUCUGAAUCGGGCCAUUUCUUGUGGGCUAAAUGUCCCCCAUCUAAUCGAUAGACCUCCAUGGGGCACUUCUUGCGGCAUGGUCACGGGCUUUACACUUUGGCCCGUGACAUUCUCCCCCACCCAAUCUCGCAACGCCCUCGUUGCGUUUUCUGGAUGACACUGACUUGAUUCACUGUGAAACUUUCUCGUUGCCUCGGCUUCUUCCCGACUCAUCUUACGAUCAGGUUGUCCCUUCCUUCGGAACUUAUGCCUCGACUUCCCUCGCCUCUUAUCUUGAACCGUUCCACUCGUUGGUACAUUUUGCUGGCAAGAAGUCUCUGCUAUAACUUGCCCCAAUUUUGACUUGUUUCUGUUGGAAUCCCCUCGAUUCUCAUACCUCGGCUUCGUACCACCCACUUUGAAAGGGCUCCUACGACCUUGCCAAGCCAACAAGUCAGAAUUCAAAACACUAUCAGAGUGUUUGCAAUGUACCUUACUCGCAGCAUUUACUCAUCUCGACUGUCCUUGCAUCGCUUCUUUUCCUUUGAAGCCCGAUGCACAACCCACCUUUCCCAAAGGUGUCAGCUCCACAGUCGAUCCCGCAGGCUUCAUAUCGGUCCCUUGUGCCACUAACACUUCCGAAGGGGCUUUCGUAGCAUUCCGUUUCGACGAUUUAAUGUUUCUCCCAUACGAAACAUCUUCAACUAGUUGGAUUGACGAUAACACCUUAGUCCCAACUUUCACAUCCCGAUGCACCGGUACAAUACUCUUUGUUGAUGAAUUUGAUCGGCCCAUGGUUGCAAAGUUGCCUGAAUCCUGACAAGGAAGUUUAAGCCAAGCACAAAAUCGUAAUCAUCUAAUUGGAUUACCUCGAAUUCUUCCUUGCUCUUCCAUUUGCCGAUUUGUAGUUCCACAUCACGAACUACUCCUACAGUUGGGGCUUUCUCAUAAGUAGCUACCUUGAUCUUCUUAUUCGAUUUCUUAAUCGACAGACCAAGCUUCUUCGCAGCCUUUUCCGACAUGAACAAGUCCGAUGCUCUCGUAUCAAUAAGAGCACUCCGCUUCUGACCCGCAAUUUUGAUGUCCACAAACAUCAACCCAUUUUCAUUCCUCUUCCUAGGAAUGAGUACCAUCGAAUUGACUUUUGAUGUGUUUCCCUCGGUAGGCUUCGCCUCCUCCUUCGGCUCAUCCUCCUUUGUCAAAAUCAUCACUUUAUUUGGACAUUUACGCGCCAUGUGUGGUCCUUGACAAAGGAAGCAUUUCAUCUUCUUCCUCUUGUCCCUUGGGUUGUCUAAUCCCCGCUUCGCAUCUCGUGGUUUCCCAUUGCCACUCGUGCUAUCAGUACUGUUGCCCCCAUCGCUAUGUCCCCUUUCAUCUUCUACAUGGUUUCUCUCACCAUUGCCCCUUCCAUUGGGCAUAGAUGCCUCAAGCUUGUCUCCCGCCGGAUCAAGCUCAACAAAGGACUCUGCUACGGCCAUGGCUAUAGUAAGUUCGGUGAUUCCUUGCCUUCGCAACUCAUGCUUUGCCCACGGCUUUAACCCAUCCUCGAACCAAUAGAAAGCUUCUUUCUCACUCAAGUCGGAGAUUUGAAGCAUCAACUCGCUAAAUGCCCGCACAUACUCCCGAACAGUGCCUUGUUGCGUGUGACGACGUAACUUUGCCCGAGCCUCUUUCUCGGCAUACUGAGGGUAAAACUGCUUCUUCAACUCUCUUUGGAAUUGCUCCCAAGUUCCAAUAGCCGUUCCUCCACGUUUCUCAUCUGUGGACCUACGUCGCCACCACAAGAGAGCAAUAUCAGUAAAGUAAAUUGAAGCAGUGUUUACCUUAAUGGCAUCAUCCUCGAUGCCCAUCACUCGGAAUUAUUGCUCCAUUUCCCACAAGAAGUUGUCCACAUCCCUCGCGGAUCGUGCACCCUUAAACUUCUCCGGUUUGGGAACAUCCAUUGCUUGUUGCUUCGACCUUGAAGACAACAUCCCAUUACUCAAAGCGGCUUUGUAGAUCGCGAGCUCCCCCUUAAGCUCCUCCAUUUCCUUUUGCAUGGCUAGCACCAUAUCCUCGAGAGCUUCAUCCCUCUCUGCUAGCUUUACCUCAGUGGACUCGAGUAAUUUCGUUAUCUUUUCCCUAUUUGCACCGAGAGAAUCCAACACAAAAUCUCUAAGUUGCUCCUCCAUUGAGUCCAACCCAUCUGUGCAUCCCUCGACCAACUCAAGCGUCUCUUUCACAUUUCCUACGGAUUCCUCGAGAUUGACCACUCGGUUCUCCAAAGCUGUCAGCAUUUCCCUCGAGCAACUGGCUUUUCUAGCCCUCCCACGGGUCUCCAUUGGCUCACUCUGACCAACGACUUCUUUCGACAACCCAACAGUGCUUUCGAACCACUCGAAUAUAACUUGGUUCAAAACUUGGCUCGGAUACCACUUGUCACGGGGCUAGACCUUUCGUCUCGCAAUCCGUGCGGCCUUAGGCGAUCCGUUCGUCCAAACUCGCCCAAGUCAGCCUUAACUCCCAAAAGAGAGGAUUCUUUUAGAACUCCUCCAAGGCACCAAUUUGUAUAGCAGAAGCGAUUGUGCCAAAAGAAGCCACAAGAGAACAACAGAAAGCUAAAGAAAGAAAGCACACAAAGUGUUUGAGUAAAUACUCAAGAAUUCUAUUACUCUUAAGAAUUCAAGCUACAAUGGAUGAUUUACAAAUGAGGGGGAGGCUCUCUAUUUAUAGUUGAGCUUCCCCAAAACCGACGGUCAAGAUACAUGUACAUCGACGGACGAGAUUCACUAUAUCCCUUAAUUUUAGGGAUUUACAAGAUUUACCAAUCAAAUCUAAUCUAAUCUUACAAGAUAUGAUUCUAUUCUAUCUUCUAAGAUUAGUUACCAAAAUUGCCUAAGCUGCCAUGUCUUCAUCAUUGGGCCAACCAGGCUUCAAUCUGAUAGGCUUCUUUAGUAGCUCUCUGAAUCGGGCCAGUUCUUGUGGGCUAAAUGUCCCCCAUCUAAUCGAUAGACCUCCAUGGGGCACUUCUUGUGGCAUGGUCACGGGCUUUACACUUUGGCCCGUGACACUAGUAUGUUCCAGUUUUCUAUGCCACAAUAGAGAAUUAUUUUCAUUUUUAGCAUCAAGGCAUAUGAUUUAAUCAUGCAAAUCAUCUAAAUACACCAUAUAUGUAGACACUCAUUUUUGUUCGAGCCGAAUUGGAGGCCCAUUUGUUCCCUUUAAAUAUUUGUUCUCUCUUAGGCCCAUUCGAAGCCCACUCGAUUUUGAUCAAAUAGAGGCCUCUGUUUUUCUUUUCUUUUUCUUUCCUUUUUGGGCUUAUCAAGGGCCCAAAUUAUUAUUAUCAUUACUACUGUUAUUAUUAUUAAAUAUUAACAUUAUCUUUUUUUAGGGCCUAAAGCCUAAGCUGUUUCAAUAGUCAACUAGGGUUCCAGCAACCCUAGCCUCUCAUUUGCACCCAUCACAAACAUCAAAAAUAGCUCCAAACCAUUAAUCAACAGAUCAAUAGAAACAUAAAAAAAUUACAGAUAAACAAGAUUGAAAAAUAGUAUAUAUACAUGAAAUGAAAUGAAAGAAAAAAAAAAGGGGGCUUUUCAUAUUCUGGUUUUUUUCAGUAAAAAAAACAACAAUAACAACAGCAAGCAUGGUAUUUCCUUUUUUGUUCUUCUUUUUUUCCAUAUACAUAUCUUAAGGGAUCGGGUUUGGACUCUGAUGAAGGGGACGUCAGCAACACGUCGGUCCUCCACCUUUAGGAGCCCAAAAUCCUGUUUUUUUCUUGAUCUUGGGAAAGUUUUGGUUUUUGUUUUUUUUUUAAAGAGAAAGUUUAGAUUUUUAAAAAUAAAAAUAUUUAUUUUUAGUCAAAUUUCUUUUCAACUAUUUUGAAAUAAAAGCUUUGAUCUUUAAGAAAAGUUGUGAUAUUUUAAAAGAAAACUUUGAUUUUCUAAAAAAAAAAAAGGGAUUCCGGUCACCGUAUGCGCUAGCUCCACCAUCGAAAAAUGAAGAGCCGUUAGGCUCUUCGAUGGUGGAGCCAUGGCCAACACAGAAGGAGGAAAAUAAGGAUGAAGAGUUUUUUUUAAUGAGGUUAAAAAUGAAAUAAUGCAGUUUUUUUCCUAUUUAUAGGUGCCAAAAUGGGUAAUUUAUUGUCAUCCCUCUUACUUUUUAAAUUUAUAAAGAAAACCUCAUUUUUUGCAAUGCUACCCUCACUCUCUGGCCUAUUUACACUUGUAACCCUUUUUUGUUUAUUCAAACUUUCGAUUUAAUUCAAAAUUUCAAAAUUAAAAGCAAAUUAUUCUCUACAUCUGCCUUCUACCUUCCACAUUUUUUAUCUUUUAAUCCAAAAAUCAAGUUAUGUCAUUUUGUUUCCAUCUUUAAUAAGUUAUUUACAUUUAUAUAUUCUCUUUCAUUUGAAUAUUUUCCUUAUAUAUUUGAUGUCAAUUAUGAACUUUAUUUUAAUUUUUUAUAUUUAUUCACACCUAUAAAAUUUUUAUUUAUUCUUAUUUCAUCUUUAUUUAUUUUCAUGUCUAUUUAUAUUUAUGUUUUUUUACACAUUCCUCUUACAUACAUUUUAAUAUUAUUUGUUUAUGUUGAUUUAAUUCUUUAAUUGUAUUAUGAAUAAGGUAUCUUAUUUUAUUAUUAUCAUCAUCAUGUGAAGGUCAUAUUUCUUUCAUUUAUUUAAGUUUACUUUUUGUUGUUGUCCUUUUUGAAAUAGUUUUAACUUUUUCAUUAACUUUAGCCAAUUUAAUAUGUUUUUCCUAUUUUAUUACUAUUCAUUUUAAAAGAGGGAACUUUAGGUUAUUUUUCCAUCCUAUAAAUGUUAACAUGAAGUUAUUUAAGUAAGGGUUGCAUUUUAAUGAAACCAUAAGAUUCUUUUUUUACAUUUGAAUUCAGGUUAGUCUUUAAGAUUUUAUCAACCAUUUAUCCUAGAAAAGUUAUAAAUAAUAUGUAGGAUAUUUUUUUAUUAGGGUUUUAAACUAAUUUUAAAUAUCGUAUAAUAUUCUUCUUUAGAAUCUCAAACUAAUAUGUAAAAAUUCUUUAGGACUUUAUUCAAGAUUAAAACUAAGGAUUUUUGUAGGUGAAUUGUGAAUCAUAAGUAGAUCUUUCUAAGUAUUUUAUUUUAGAAACUCUUUAAGAAAGCUAAUAAAUGUUAUUUAAUAUGUAUUAUUUUAGGAUUUUGAUGAAUUUAAACCUUAGAUCAAGAAUUUUAAAGUAAGAUAAAUUAUAAACCUGGCAUAGGAUACUUUCGUAAGAUCUUGAUAGGUUCAAUGUUAUUAAUUAAAUCUUUUAAGAAAAUAAUAAUAAAAUAUCGAAUAAGUUGUAGAUGGAUUUUAAUAUUUCUCUUAAUUCAUUGGUAAUUUCUAGGUUUUUUUAGCAUUCCAAAAUAGAAUUAAUUUUAGGAAUUGAAUGUAUUUUACUAGAAUUAUUUAGGUAUCCUUUAGAGUUUUCGUUAAAAAUAAAAAUCUCUAAUUUAAGUUUCAAAUUAGAUAAGUUUGGUAAACACAUCUUAAUCGAGUUACAAGUAAACUGGAGGCAUUUUAUUUAGAGUUUUUAUUUAAGAUUUCCAUAAGAUUUUAGUCUAGAUUAAGACAUUAAUAUGCUUAAAUAAAAAACUUAGCUCCCAAAACCCCGUAGGACUAUCCUCGGAUAAGUGUUGUGGGGAUGCUAUAACCUUCCUCACACUUAGUCGUACUCCUGAACCCAAAAUUUGAUGAUGAGAUCGAGUCUAGACUUUUAGGAUUUUUCCGUAGUAUUAAUUCUAAGCUUUUAGACGAUAGGGUGUUACAUCCAUUAGUGAUGACUCUACAUUAAUGUAGGCCCUCCAUGUCUAACUUUGCUUACUAGGCCCCCGUACUCUUAUGUAGGCAACGUUAUGACAAUAUAUAUUUCUUAUCCUAUGUCCUACAUCCAUUAGACUCAAAAAUGACAUUGAGACCACUAUCACACAAUUGGCUAAUACUAAGUAGACUAUGAUUAAGACCAUUGACAUAGACAACAUUUUCAAUAAGAACUGAAAAGCUUGUACCGAUAGAGUCGAUUCCUUCUACUUGUUCUUUAGAGUUAUCACCAAAUGUGACUACUCUAUUUUUUUGCUUCAAAUUGGUGAAGUGGCUCUGGUCACCGAUCAUGUGCUUUGAGCAUCUACUAUUAAGGUACCAUGAGUUUUUGAAUUAAUCCUCCACCUUGAAGCAAUGCUCCUCUUCCUACAAAUAUACAAUUAAGCUUUAAUUUUUGGUACCCAAAUUCUUUUAGGUCUAUAAACAUUAGUUCCUAUAAUUUUAGUCCCUUUAGGUAUCCAUUUUGAAAGAAUGUAUUUAUCUUAAGUACUUAUGAGUCUUUUUGGGACCCAUACACUUUUAAUAAGUUUUCCUUUGUAAAAAUUUUGUUUUGAACUUUCUUCUCUUAAAAAUCUAUGUUCAAACUUUGUUAGAGUGAGUUUUUUCACUCUUAAGCAACUCAAGUUGCUUUUGAUAAUCAUCAUGAACUUUACACAGAAAAUUAUGCAAGUCAAAAUUCUUUUUUCUCAAAAUCAUUUAUACUAGCUUACAUAUUAUUUAUUUUACUUUCAAGUUCCUGUUUGAAUUUGGAGAGUAAAUUAGUUUCCUCUUUUAGUUUUGAAAUAGGUUCUCCAUGUUUUGAACCAUUAAUUCAAAUUCCAAACCCAACUCAUCAUAGGCAUCUUGUAACUCAUCAAAAGAAUAAGAAGUUGAAUUGGAUGAGUCAGAAGUUACCUUAGAGUCGUCGAUGGCCAUAAGACAAAGAUUGGUUACUUCUUGAUCUUCAUUGUCAGAUGAAUCCUCAUCACUCAAAGUAGCAACAUGAUCCUUAAGCUUUUGUUUGCUUAACCCUCUUUUCUUCCAUUGAGGACAAUCAAAAUUAAGGUGUCCUAGCUUCUUGCAUUCAUAGCAUAUGAUGGAGUCCUUCUCCUUGGAAGAUUCAAUCUUAACUCCUUCCUUCUUUUGGAAUUUUCUUCCUUUAUUGGACCUCAUAAACCUCUUGAAUCUUCUUGCAAACAUGAUCAUCUCUAAAUCCUCAUCCACAUCAUCACUAGCAUUUCCUUCUUCUAUUGUGGACUUGAAGGCAAUGCCAACCUUCUUUUUUUCAACUUUUUCUUCUCCUUUAUUCACUCUUUACAACUUGAUUUCAUGAGUGAGCAAAAAACCAAUCAGCUCGUCUAAUGAAAGAGUCUCCAAAUUUUUAGCUUCCUCUAUAGUUGUAACUUUGGAAUCCCACGACAUUCGCAAGCUUCUAAGCAUUUUUCGCACUACUUCUUUAGUGGGAUAGAACUUUGUAAGAACACCGGUACACCUUAUGGCGCACUGAAAAAACAUUAAAUCCGGCGAUCACAUCCAGGGAUCCAUGUGUGAGGAACAAAUUGGGGUGAGAAGGUUAUGAACAAUUACCUUUAAUCGUCUAAAAAACCAAAGAUAACUAUUGUGAAACUGAUUACGCAAUUGUAUGUCGAUUCCAAGCUGUUAGAAAAAGUUUCGGCCUCUACGUAACCCACCCGGUGUGACGACAAACGAUAAGAACUCUCUUAAACUUUUUCAGAAAGAAUUCACUAUAUAAUGGCUGCUAGACCUCACUCUUUUCAUUUCAGGUAUAUUAGGUUCUUAAAAACCUUAUAUUUCCUAAUUCGGGAAUAGUUGAUAUUUUAAUAUGAAUAAAAAUUUAUUAUAAUAAUUAACCGAAUAUAAUAAUUAUAAUCACCAUAAUUAUAAUAAUGUUUGACCGAAAAAUUACACUUACAAUAAUUAGAAUAAUAUUCUAUCAUAAAUUAUAUUUCGAAUAAUUAUAACAAGGAUUUCGGUAAAUUAUGUUUAGUUAAAUUUUAUAUAAAUCAAAUUCAUAUAUAUUAAUUUAACCAUGUUCUCAUUAUGUGUACAACAUACUUGUACAUAUAAUUUGUUUGAUAUUUAACUUCUCAAUUAUUUAACCAUGUUAUAAUUUGUUGUGAGUCGAGCAAGUAAAUUAUUUAAAUAUUAUUAUUACGAUGAUUUAUCGAGCCUAGAUGAACGUAGGAUAGGAUACAAUCGGCAUGCCAAUAGGUUUUACUUCACACGGUACGGGUUUUGACUUGUGAUGAGAUGGUGAUUAUUGAUAUGUUUCUGUCCAUUGAAUAUAUCGAAGUUCAGCAUUUGUUACGGAUUAUUGUGUUAUAUUUACAGUGAUUCUGGUGUAUUACUGGGGGUAGAUGUAUAGCCUACAGGCUUGCUACCUGGUGCCCAAGUUUGUUCUGGAGGGAUGUUAGCCUACAGGCUAGGCACUUGGUGAUUUAAAUGUAGCAUAAUUGUAUUACAUGAUAUGGGAAUGUUUGAUUGAAUGGUACAAAUUAUUGGAAAUAUUAAGUUUAUGUGUGAUUUAAAUGCAUGAAGAAUUUUCUAUGAUGUAUAUUGAAAAUGUUGCUAUUUAUGCACAAUGAAAUUCGUAAAGUAUGUGAAGUUAAACGAAAUUGAUAGAUACAAUCAUAAUGGUAAUUUGAAUGUUUGAACUCUAUUUCCAUUUACUAAAAGUAUGUGAUUAUUGAGGGCAUCUUGAACAUGUCAAAUUAAAUUUGAAAAAUAUUGAAAUAUUAUUAUGAUUUGUAUGACAUAUUGCAUGUGCAUUGGAAUGGGAUUUUGUAGUUGACAGAGGAGUUCCGUGGAGUACCGACGGCAUAUUAAGUCCGCAUAUAUUUGUAGUCAGUGCACUGCAUUGGGAGUACCAAGGGGAUUGGCGAUUAUAUCGCAUUAUUUUUUAUUUGGCAAUUUCACUACAUUAUUGAUUAUUGGUGGUUUUACCACAUCGAGCUCUGUUCAUAUACAUUGGAGUUUGGCAGAUGAAUUUUAGGGAACUCGUGGUGUGUAGCAGAUAGUAUGGGUAGGAUCUCACAUGUGCAUUUGUCACAAUCAUGUGCAUUUGAAAUUACUAUUAAUAAUGUUUGAUUGUGCUAUUGGUAUCUCUAUGAAAUUGUUUGUAUGAAUGCUUAAUACUUGCUUGUUUAGUCUCACACUAAGCUUGUUAAACUCACUCCAUUACCUCAACUUCUCAGGUAAUGAUCGAACUUAGGAUCGGAAUUGGCAUGCGGUCGUAUGGCGGACUUUGAACUUCACUUCAUCAUAUUAUUUUAAUUUAAUUAUAUUUUUAGGUUAUUUUACCUUUAUUGUUCAUUUUUGGAUUGUAAAGUUUCUUUAUAUGGUGGGGGACUAUUAGAGACUUUUGGGGUUUACAUGCAUGCAUGACACUCAUAUUUGGUACAGAUGCACGGUUUCUAUAUAUAUAUAUAGAAAUGGACUAUGCAUGAUAUAUGGCUAAGUUAAUAAUUUGACUAGUAAUGGUACUUUCAGCUGCUAAGAAGAUAACGAACUGAUUUUUCUAAAGCAAUGUUGACAAUUAGGUUUUAUACAAAUUCACAUUUUCGCUAAUUUGACUAAAGUAUAGUUAGACUAAGGUGUCCGAUGUGGCCUUCACGAUUCGGUCGUAAUGUCUAGGCCUAGUUUGGGAGGUUACAUUUAGUGGUAUUAGAGCCUUAGUUCAAAACCUCGAACUCAAUUUUUAAAUCUUUUUAAGUAAGUUUACAUGCAUGCAUGCAUGCGUACAUGAAAAGGGAAAAUUUUGGGGAAAAACAAACCACAGUGAAUUUGAAAAAUGCUUUAUACAGGAAAAGAUGAAGUCCAAAGAUCCGAUGCCAAGUCCAUAGAAAUAGUAUUGAAACUUUAGGUAGAUUAGAAAGACUAUUGCGUAAAAAUUUAAGGAAAAAAUUAUAAACUGUGAGUGCAUAAAAGACUAAACAAAGUACUAAAAGCUCUUACUUGUAAAUUGUAGAUUCAUAAAUCCCAUAAAUGAACACACUUAGAAUGUUAACUCGUGGUAGGAGGGGCCGAAGGGAGCAACCUCUGAGGACUCUGAUUGAGUCAGCUGCAUCAUUAGGGCCAAAACAAGAUAAUGAACAAAAUAAGGUUAACAAUAAACCCAUUAGUGAGGGUGGGAAUAUGGAAAAUGGGAAUAAUAGUGAUGACUAUGUUGAGAAUGAUCCAAUAACUCAAGCUUUAUUGAGGGACUUGAAUAAGCUUGUUGGGGCUCCAAUAUGAGGUGUUAGUCAUGGGAUAAUUUCUAACAGCCCAAUUUUAGUGAAAUCAGAACUAUGGUUUUGGGACUACAAAUUCAAAGAGUAAAAAUUUAUUUUAUUAUUAUUUUAAUAUCUACAGUAUGCUAGUAGUUUUGUAUAAAAAUUUCGUUAAGAAAUUUUGACGUUUGCAUGUUUAAUUAAGUGAAAAAGACUAAAUUGUAAAAGUGCAAAAGUAGGUUUCUAUUAGUUAAAGGUAUCAAAUGGCUAUAGAAUUUUAAAUUUAUAGGACUUAAAUGGUAAUUAGACCAUUAAUGAGGUUAGUGGAUAUAUGUGGCUUCGUAUUAAUAAAAUUUUGGUGUUAAGUAAAGGUUAAAUUUGUAAAUUAAUAAAAUAAGUUAAAGUAAAAAUAAAACAAACAAAAUGUCAUCUUCCUAAAUUAAUUUAUUCCACCAAAAAUACAUGAAGGAAAAAGCCAUGGAUAGGGUUUGAAGCUUCAGUUACUUUGCUAGCUUGCAUGGUUUGUGUUUUGAUCCCGUUUUUAAUUAUUUUUAUGUUUUCGGGAUUGUUGUAGCUUAAUCUAACCAGCCCAUCAACUAAUUUGCAAAACUAUUAAAGGUUUAGGGUUUUUCCAUGAAUUUUCUUACAUGAUUUAUGAAGUUUGAUGAAAGAUUGUGAGUCCUUUUUGCUAAAUAAACAACUUUUGUAAAGUGAUUUUUGAUGAAAUUAUCAUUUAGGGACUUAUUCGUAAAAGUAGUAAAAUAUCAUGAUAAAAUUAUGAAUUGAUGAUUUGUGUCGGUUGAUAUGAGUCCCUAGGUAAAUCGGCAAGCAUGAUAUGUGGGUGAAAUUGCAUAAAUUAUCAUUUACUAGCUUAAGGACUAAAUUGUAAAUAAGUUAAAAUAAUAUGGGAAAGUGUAAUUUUGUAAAAGUAUGAAUUUUGGACUAAAUUGAAUAGAAUAAAUAUUAAAUGGAUUGAAUUUGCUUAUUUAGAUCAAGUUAAGCCUCAUACGGAUCUAGAUCGAGAGAAAGAUAAAGUCCCGGAUUAGUUGAUUCUAUUUUGACAUCUUUAAAAUAGAGUUAAGUUCGUAUGUUUAAAUAAUGUUUUAAUGUUAUUUUAUUUAUAUGCUAUUAUGCUAUUUAUCAUGUCAUGUUAUGAUAGAAAUCUAACGACGUUUCGAUGACUAUCCCAUUUGAACCUAAACAAAUGACAUGUCAUUAGGGUUACCAUGUUUCGGGUGCUGGUCCUGAAUGUCCUACCGAUGGCUGAGUUCUGGCAUUUCUUGCGGAAACUCGUCAGCUUGUGUGAACGGUAUCAUGUAGCUACAUUUCGACCGUUGGCUUGUGUGAGCAGACCCAUUUAUGGCUCGAGUUAGCAUUGAUGUAAAGGAAAAGGAAUGGUUUCGACCAUAUAUUAGCACACUUUGUGUGAGCUUCUCGCAUAUCUGAUAUUAUUCUAAGUGGUUCAACGUGCAUGUAAGGGAAGGAACGGUAAGUCUUCCAAUCAACUCUAUUAUGAACUUAUGGAAAGGUAAGAGUUGAUGUUAAUCAAAGUAUGUAUAACCAUGUUUAUAGAAAAUAUGAAUUCCAAUGUGCUAUACUCAUGAAAUCUAUUUUACCAUGUGAUGAUUUUGGUUAAGUUAUGUGUUUAAGCACUAACUUGUGUUGUUGAUGAUGCAUAGGCUUGUGUCAAGCUACGUUGGAUUGAUUCAUGUCUAUUUUAUAAGAUUUUGCAUUGAAAUGGUAAGCUAUGUUCAUGAUUUACGAACUUACUAAGCACUAUAUGCUUACAUUGUUUUCUUUCUUAUGUUUUAUAGAUUAUCGAAAGCUCGAUCGGUUUGGAAGCUCGCCGUAGAUCUAUCACACUAUCUAGAGAUAAUAUCGAUAGUUUUUUUUUUAUGUUUUAGUCAUGGUUAUAAUGGCAUGUAUAAGUGGACUUGUGUUUAAUGAUCUAGUUGUAUGUUUGGAAUGUAUAUAUGGUAUUAUGGUUGGUGUGCUUUUGGCACUUUGAUGCCUUGAUGGUUGGUGUUGAUAUGGCUAAGUGGAUGUUUGUUUUGAAUGACCAAUUUGGUUGUUAGGAUUUGACUUGGUAUAUGGUCAAUUAUGUUAUGUUUUGGUAUGGAAAUAAGUAGUUGUGUAUGGAUGAUUUAUGGACAAAUAUGCAUAUGCUUAGACAUUUUUUAUGGUUGUGUUGAUGUGCCUAUAUGGCAUAUUGGUUGGAUGAAUAAAUAGCCUUUUGAAUUGGUCUUAUUAUGCAUGUUUUGGGAAUGAUUUAAGGUCUUGUUUAUAUGUGCAAAUGACUUGUAGGUACAUGCUUGAAUUGGGUGAAAAAAAUGGCUUGAUUUUUGCUUAUUUCUUGUCCACACGGCCACAGACACGAAUGUGUCUCUCAGUCGUGUGUGACACACGGCCAUGCGACACGGUCGUGUGUCCCUUAUAUGUUUUAAAAGUUGCAAGUCAGGCAGUUACAUGGCCUAGCACAGGGCCUAGCACACGGGCGUGUGGCUUGGCUGUGUAACCCAAGUCAGAGAGUUACAUUGGCACAGACAUGCCUUGGGACACGACCGUGUGUCCCUAUUUCGAAUGUUACACGGCCUGAGACAGGGGCAUAUGUCUCAGCCGUGUGGGUCACACGGCCAUGAGACCCUUACUACUUGAAUUUUUUCUAACUUUUUCCUUAAUGUUUCAUAUGUUCCCGAUUUAGUCCCAAACUAUUUUUAAAGUGUUUCUAAUGCCUUGAUGGCUUGACUAAAGGACAAUGUGCAUGUGUAUGAAUGGAUUAUACUAUGGUUAUUAUAAUGUUUGGAAUUGACUAUUUUUAAGUUACGUUUAUACGGUAAUACUUCGUAACCUUAUUCCAUCGACGGAUACGGGUUAGGGUGUUACACAAUUGCUGAGAGGCUCUGCUCUAGUGGGCCAGAAUUGUUUAAGGGUAUUGCUGGAGCUACUCCUAUAGUGGUUGAGUACUAGAUGGAGGCAACUGAACAGAUUUUAGAGUAUUUGGAUUGCACUCCUAAGUAGAAACUUAAGGGUGUCUUAUCUCUUUUAAGGGAUAACUCAUAUCAGUGGUGGCAAUUAGUGGUUAGGGGUACGCUGUCAUAGCGUAUUAUUGUGCUUAUUUUCAAGAGACCUUUCAGGGUAAGUAUUUGAGACCUCACUAUGUGGAGGCCGGACGAUUGGAUUUUAUUAAACUUAAAUAGAGAGACAAGAUAGUUUCUCAAUAUGAGGCAAAAUUUCUAAGGUUGAUCCGCUAUGCACCUAAUAUGGUGGCGUCUGAGCAGGAAAAGACUUUCUGUUUUCAGGAGGGUCUAAGGUAUGACCUCAAGGUUCAAGUGGCUCCACAGUAAGAGCAUGUGUUUGAGGCUUUGGUCAAGAAGACCAAGAUUACUAAAGAGAUUAAGGACGUGAAGCACGAGGAGAAUGGGAAACAAGGAGAUCAGCCCAAAAAUGAAACGAGUCUGUAAACCCCCAAAAUUUCUAAUUUCAUUUUUGUGAAAAUAUGACACAAAUAUUUGUCAGAAUUAGUGGUUAUGUGUUCUGGGAGUGUUUGGGAGGUCUCAAGUUCAAGCCUUCGCUUGAGCAAAUUUUGGUAUUUUGAAUGAAUUAGGUCUUACUCUUGUUUAGUAGGCUUUUAUUGGAUUGUUGGGUAAAUUAGAUUAGAAUGGGCCUGCUAGUCUGGUGGUUAAAUAGUGUGUUAUUAUGGUGAAGGUCUUGUGUUCGAAUCCCUAUGCAGUCAAGGGUAUUAUUUUUUGCUCAGAUUUCGGGAUUGAGUUGUGUAAUAGAGGGAUUCUGAGUAGUGGAUGUGUAGUGGGAAUUAGGGGAGAAGAUUAAGGAAUUUUGGGGGUUAUUGGGAUUUCAUUUUAUUUUUUUCCCGUAACCGAAUUUUGACUCUCUUUACCAAAAAAACUUUUGUUGGCUAUUCUUCUCCCUCUUCUCUUGCGAAAAUUCUCUGAGUUUUUCAAUCUUUCUCUUCUUUUUCUUCUUCUUAAUUUUUCCCUAAUCCAUUUAUUUUCCUUUGUUUUCGCACGCGGUUAGUGCUCGCUUAGUUUUGAUAAGUGUUUCUCUUCAUUUCUAUCAUGAAUCUCUUAACGAAAGAAGUGAUAAUGUUUUUCUCUGCGAUUUGGGCAUAAAGGCUUAGGCUGGUGAAUUCAGUGUUCUCGUCCUAACAAUAGUUAAAUGCAAAGUUAUCCUUGGUGGUAAGUUGGGUUUCUCUUCGUUCUUGGUUGUCAAUUCGCUUGUAAAUCCAUUAAAUUGAUGUUGAGUGUCUUAAUUAUAGGUUUUGGAGUGCUCGGGGACUGUUUUAACAUCAAACAAAAUCAGGUGUGUACCCGAAACGCAAAAAAAAAGAUUCAGCGAAAAACCGAAAUUGUUUGCUGUUUGGACAGCAGCAGUAAGCUAAUUUUGAAAAAUCGCCAUAAAUUUUGGAAAUCAAAUUAGAGGAUGAAAAAAAUAUGGAAUUAAAGCUUAUUAAGUUAGUUUCUCAUAGAAGAAACAGUGUAAGCAAAGGAAUUGUAAAUCGUGAGGUAUAACAAAAUUUGUGAGACAAAGUCAGAUUGAAUUUGGGUUCCCCCAUUCUGACUUUGGAAAAUCAUCAAAAAUUGGAGAAAAAUAAUUAGGGGCUAAAAUUUACAUGUUUAAAUUAAUAAUGAGUCUAUUCUCAAUAGAAAUAAAUGGAAACAUCAUUCAAAUUUUGUACUAAGAGAUAAUUAAUUUUUAGCAAAGAAGGGACAAAGUUGUUAGACAGUAGAAUAGAGGUAAAUUUGAAGAUUUUGCUGUACUUAUUGGCUGAACUAAAAAUUCUAAAAAAAAAUUGAUAUGAAGGUAUUUGAGUCUAGUUUCAAAAACAUCAAGUGGAUCGUAAUUCGAAAUUAUGUAGCUCAAGAUAUAAAUAAUUUAGUAACAGCGACUCAAGUAGACAGCUUUGAAGAAACAUAUAAGUAAAUAGUGAAAACAUAUAUGAAUAAUUAGCUAGCACAGGUUACAUUAAAAAUGGAUCACAUGGCCAAGGCCAAUUUGGACCGAGUGGGCCACAUGGGCGUGUGAGCCCAUUUUUCUGAAAAGUUCUGUAAGGUUGCACGGGUCGCCCAAGUCGACUGUGGACCUACUGUAGGGUCGGUAAGCUUUACUUAGACCCCUAUAUGUGUGAUCUAUCUGUCUGAUUUCUAUACCGAGCAUGACUUAGGAUAUCUAAAUGUAUGUACUAUUAAUUGCAUAAUGGCGUGACAUAUUUUGUAUGUUGCAUUGCAUCGAGGAAGGUUGAUGAUAUUUGGAGAAAGUGUCUGAAAGUCUAUUAAGUUUGUUAUCUGGAAACUCAGCUGCAACCUUCUGAUUGUGUGUCGCAUUUUGGUACAACAUGGUGUGUAGGGAUGGGUGGGUUGAUUUAAUCCCCACAUGGUGUGUAGGGUUGAACAGAGAUGGUGUGUAGAGGCUGGUGGGUAGGAUUCUGAUUUACUCUAUAUGUAUUCUUUAUCUGAUAUGGGUCAAGGCCCUAAUGUAUUUCUGAGACUGUAUCUGAAUGGGCUAAGCCCAAACUGAUUCUGUGAUAGGCACGGGCCCCAGACUAUCUCUAACUGGAUUCUGUUAUUUAUCUGUAUGCAUGUUUUAUGUGGGGAUUACACACUGAGUUUACAAAAACGUACCAUUUCUCUGUUUAAUCUGUACAAGUAAUCCCCAGACUUGAUGGGUCAGUGCAGCAGAGGACUCGACGGUGGCCACACGUAAAUUUUAAACUAUUUUCCAUUAAUGCCUAGAAUUUAUUACUUAUUUGGGAUUUUUGAUGUAUCUUCUGGACUAUGGACUGGUUGGCUUUAAAUUUUGGACUUCAUAUUAUUUUUUAUGGAUUUUUUUUUAAAACUGCAAUUCUAAAAAACACGACUUUUUUCUACAAACUAAAUUUUUUUGUUAAUAGAAACGAUUUUCCCUAAAUUAAUUGGUUACAAAAGCUUUCUCUAAGAGACAAGUUUUAAAGCAAAUCAACUAGGUUUUUUUCAAAUUUGAUAAAAGCUAACUUACUGUAACGGUUUUUAAACUCGACAAUCUUAUCUUCAAAUCCCUUUCCAUGUGACAUCACUAGAUUCAGCCAUAACAUCGAGGCUGGGUUUUAGAUGUUACAUUUAGUGGUAUCAGAGCCAAGUUACAAAAAUCGACUGUGGAUUUGGGUUUUAAAACUUGGUUUUAAAGAGAUGAUUUUUAAAUGGUUUGAAAUAUUUUUGACUGAGUAUGUGGUACAUCGAUUCUCUGGCGCCAAUUUUGUAAGUGUUCUAAAACUUCUGGUAAGUUUUUGAAAAUAUGAGUAGCAUAUUCUGAAACUAUUAUAGGUAGUACACUGUAGUGAGAACACUCUAAAUAGUGUAUACUAAAAACAGUAGCGACAUUAAAAUUGUAGUAAGACUACGAUUCGUGAUAACAAACUCUAAACUUCUAAUACUAUUUUGCAUAAAAUAUCUACAAAUAGAUAUCAAAACUGUAACCAAUUCAUAAAACUGUUAACACAGGUAAGCUAUGAAUUCUACGAUGAGUGCACGAGGUAUCCGCGGAUAGGGUACUAAAGGCCACAGUAGAGGCUGUAAAGGGGCUCGAGCUGAGUCCUUGUCGUUAGACAGCAUGCCAAAUCUGGAUACGAGCGAGACACCGGCUUCACCUACUACAGAGACUAGAUCUCAUGAUCACAUGGCCGGGGACGACGCCUUGUCCCAGGCUAUGUUGAGGAUAUUAGAAAGGGUCGCUAGGCCCAACACUGGAUCUGGGGCCAAGGGUCAGUUACGGAACGACUCCGGUCCAAUGGGGCUAAACUAUUCAGGGGUGUCAAUAGAGUCGCCCCUAGCGUGGCCAAGUACUGGAUGGAGGCCACGAAAAGAAUCAUGGACAAUCUGGACUUUACCCCUGAACAGAAAUUAAAAAGGGCUGUUUCAUUGUUUCGCGAUGAAGCAUAUCAAUAGUGGCUGACCGUUAAGGAGGGCACUCAGCCCGAACGGCUGACUUGGGUUUUCUAUAAGUCUACUUUUCAAGGUAAAUAUCUGGGGGAAAGCUGCAUUGACGCUAGAAGAUGUGAGUUUCUGAAUCUAACGCAAGGGAAUCAUUUAGUGGCCGAGUAUGAGGCCGAGUUUCUAAGAUUGAGCUGCUAUGUGUGAGGCAUGGUGGCGACUGAAUAUGAGCAUUGUGUCCGCUUCGAGGAUGGACUCAGGUAUAGUUUGAGAGUUUUGAUAGCUCCGCAAAGGGAGCGUGACUUUUCAGCACUGGUAGAGAAGGUGAAGAUCACCGAGGAGGUGAAGCGCACUAAGUGCCAAAACCAGGAUAAAGAGAGAGGCAAGAAUAAGAGGGAUUCAGAGCCCUUGAGUUCUAUGAUGAGGCCUAAGAAAAAGGUCAGAUCUGAUGGGCCAGUUAGAGUUGGGGCCCUUAUUGUACCUACUGGGAUCACGCUUUGUGGGCAUUGUGGAAGACGUCAUCCGAACGAAUGUUGGAGGACGACUAGGGUUUGUUUAAGAUGUGGGUUUACUAAGCACCGUGUUUGAGAGUGUCAGCUAAGGGCCAAUCAAGUGCAAGCUACGGGUUCUGGUACUGCACAGCCACCAGGGGUAGUUCACCAGCCGCCUACGAGCCGUGGUCAGGAUAGGACUGGUAAUGGUAUAGGUCAGGGGUAGAAAGCACCGAGUAGAGGUGCUAGACAGGUUGAGGUGAGACAGCCAGCCCUAGUUUAUGCUGCUCAUCUCCGAGAGGAUAGAGAUGCUCUGGACGUCAUCACGGGUAUGUUUCUUAUUUUUGAUGUUCCUUACACUGCGUUGGUAGAUAUAGUAUCUACGCAUUCCUAUGUUGCCUAUUCUGUUUCCAAAAACCUAGGGAUUCUGGUUGAAAGUACUUCUAGUGAGGUGACUGUGCUAAGUCCGCUGGGGCAAUCUGUUAGAGUUAGCAAACUGUAUAAGGAUAUACCUUUAGAGGUUCAAGGGAUGGUAUUUCUAGCUGAUUUAAUGGAGCUUCCGUUUAGGGAGUCUGAUAUGAUAUUGGGGAUUGACUAGUUGGUCAAGCAUCAUGUCAGUUUGGACUGUGCGACUAAGAGGGUUGUAUUGAGAACUGAAGGGGGUAAUGAAGUAGUUGUGGUUGGGGAACGUUAGAAUUACUUGGCUAACGUGAUAUCUGCACUGGUAGCUGAGAAACUGAUUCGCAAGGGAUGUGAGGCGUAUUUGGCCUACGUAAGUGUUUUCGCUUCUGGGGACUCUACUGUUAAGGACAUCAGAACUAUGAGGAAUUUUCUAGACGUCUUUCUUGAGAAGCUACUGGGUUUACCUCUGAAUCGGGAAUGGAUUUGGGAUUGAGCUUCUCCCUGGUACAGCUCUGGUGUCUAUCGCUCCCUAUCGAAUGGCAUCGAAGGAGCUUACGGAGCUCAAGGCUCAAAUUCAAGAGUUAUUGGAUCGUGGGUUCAUCCGUCCUAGUGUGUCCCCGUGGGGAGCACCGGUACUGUUUGUUAAGAAAAAGGAUGGAUCCAUGAGGAUAUGUAUCGACUACCGACAACUAAAUAAGUUUAGUAUUAAAAACAAGUAUCCACUUCUGGGGAUUGAUGAUUUGUUUGACUAGUUCCGAGGAGCUUCUAUGUUCUCCCAAAUUGACUUACGUUCUGGGUAUCAUUAGUUGAGGGUUAAGGAGGCUGAUGUGCAUAAGACGACAUUUAAGAGUUGUUAUGGUCACUACGAGUUCCUAGUGAUGCUAUUUGGACUGACUAAUGCACCGGUAGCUUUCAUGGAUCUGAUGAACUGAGUGUUUCAACCCUACCUGGAUCAGUUUGUAGUGGUGUUCAUCGAUGACAUAUUGCUUUAUUCGAGGACUGAGGAUGACCAUGACUAGCACCUUGCGAUUUUUCUUCAGAUUUUGAGGGAAAAGUAGCUCUAUGCUAAGUUCAGCAAGUUCGAGUUCUAGUUACGUGAAGUAACAUUCCUGGAACAUGUGGUGUCUGCUGAGGGGAUUCAAGUCGAUCCUCAAAAAAUUGAGGCUGUAUUGGGCUGGAAGCAGCCUAAGAAUGUGUCUAAAAUCUGCAGCUUUUUAGGGCUGGCAGGUUAUUACUGACGGUUUGUGAAAAGAUUUUCACUGAUCGUAGCACCCUUGACUAAGCUGUUACGUAAAGGUGUACCAUUUGACUAGACUAAUGCACAGCAAGAGAGCUUUAAGAAGCUUAAGACUGUACUGACUGAGGCUCCUGUUUUGGUACAGCCUAAACUUUGAAAGGUGUUCACGAUUUAUAGUGAUGCAUCACAUGUCGGUUUGGGAUGUGUGUUAAUGCAGGAUAGUAAGGUGGUUGCAUAUGCGUCUCGUUAACUUAAGACACACGAGGCAAACUACCCGACACACGAUUUGGAGUUGGUCGUCGUAGUCUUUGCAUUAAAAAUCUAGAGGCAUUAUCUGUACAGUGAGAAGUGUAUUAUCUACACUGAUCAAAAGAGCCUCAAGUAUAUCUUCACUCAGAAGGAGUUAAAUCUUAGGCAGCGUAGAUGGGUUGAGCUACUUAAGGAUUAUGAUUGUACAAUUGAGUACCAUCCCGACAAGGCCAAUGUGGUGGCUGAUGCAUUGAGCUAUAGGGCUAUGAUCGAUCUGAGAGAGAUGUUCGCUCAACUUAGCCUAUUCGACGAUGGAAGUCUAUUGGCAGAACUUUAGGUCAAACUGACAUGGAUUGAACAGAUUCGAGAUAAACAGUUGGGGAUAAGUCUCUCAGGUUGCAUUUUUGUCAAGUUGAGGAUGGUGGCACUACUGAUUUUGGGAUAAACAAUAAUGGGGUACUUUAUUUCCCCGGUCAGAUUUGUGUACCGAAUGAUGAGGACUUAAAGCAGUCGAUUCUGAGAGAGACGCAUGGUAGUCCCUAUACUAUCCAUCGCGACGGGAACAAGAUGUACCGAGGUCUUCAGGAAUUAUACUGGUUGCCAGGGUUGAAGCGUAAGGUUACCGACUUCAUUGCUUUUUGUUUGACUUGUCAGCAGGUUAAGGCUGAGCAUCAGUUACCUUCGGGUUUGCUGCAGCCAGUUAAGAUACCAUUAUGGAAAUGGAAGCAAGUAACGAUGGACUUCGUUAGUGGGUUGCCUCUAACAACCACUAAGAAGGAUUCUGCCUGGGUUAUCAUGGAUCAAUUGACCAAGUCUGCUCACUUCAUCUCGGAAAGGACAGACUUUUCUCUUCAAAAAUUAGCUAAGCUCUACAUAUAAGAAAUAAUGAGACUGCUUGAGGUAUACCUAUCUCGAUCAUUUCCAAUCAGGAUCCUCGUUUCACGUCUCGAUUUUGGAAAAAGCUUCAUAAGGCUCUAGGUUCAAUAUUAGACUUCAUUACUGCUUUCCAUCCUCAGACAAAUGGUUAGCCGGAGAGGGUGAUUCAGAUAUUGAAGAACAUGUUGAUAAGCUAUGUUAUUGAUUUUUGAGGCAGUUGGGAAGAGAACUUGUCGUUAGUGGAGUUUGCCUACAAUAAUAGCUUCCAGCCUAGCAUCCAGAUGGCACCUUACGAGGUACUAUACGGUCGUAAGUGUCGCACUCCUUUAUGUUGGAUUGAGUUGGGCGAGCGACGUGUUCUGGGUCCUGAGUUGGUCUCUGAGACAGAGGAUAAUGUUAGAUUGAUUCGGGAUCGUUUGAAAGCGGCUUCUGAUAGGCAGAAAACGUAUGCAAAUUUAAAGAGGCAUGAGAUCAAGUAUUCUGUGGGGGACUUACUUUUUCUCAAAGUCUCGCCAUGGAAAAAGGUUCUGAGGUUCGGUCACCAGGGCAUGUUGAGCCCUUGAUUUAUUGGACCUUACCGUAUUCUGAAAUAUGUGGGACCUGUCACUUAUCAGUUGGAGCUACCUCCGAAGUUGGACCGUAUUAUUGAUAUUUUUCACGUCUCGAUGUUAAGGCACUACUGCUCUAAUACCAUGCAUGUUGUUUUUGUUGAGAAGAUUGAGGUUAGGCCAAACAUGACCUUCGAGGUGGAACCGGUUCAGAUUCUAGAGCGUGAUAUAAAAGUCCUUCGAAAAAGUACAUUCCCUUAUUGAAGGUUCUGUGGCUUAAUAAUAGCACUGAGGAGGCCACGUGGGAGCCUGAGGAUGUGAUGUAUCAGCAAUAUCCUCAUUUGUUCUGAUCAGGUGAAAUUUCGAUGAUGAAAUUUUCUUUAGGGGGUAAAGUUGUAACGCCCCAAAAUUUCUAAUUUCGUUUUUGUGAAAAUAUGACACAAAUAUCUGUCAGCUUUAGAGGUUAUGUGUCCUUGGAGUGUUUGGGAGGUCCCAAGUUCAAGCAUUCGCGUAGGCAAAUUUUGGUAUUUUGAAUGAAUUAGGCCUUACUCUUGUUUAGUGAGCUUAGAAUGGGUGCUUAUCUGGUGGUUAAAUGGUGUGUUAUUACGGUGAAGGUUUUGUGUUCAAAUCCCUAUGCAGGCAAGGGUAUUAUUUUUUGCUCAGAUUUCGAGAUCAAGUUGUGUAAUAGGGGGAUUCUGAGUAGUGGAUGUGUAGUGAGAAUUAGGGGAGAAGAUUAAGGGAUUUUAGGGGUUAUCGGGAUUUUAUUUUAUUUUUUUCCCAUAGCUGAAUUUUGACUCUCUUUUUUAAAAAAAAUCUGCCGUCUAUUCUUCUCCCUCUCCUCUUGCCAAAAUUCUCUGAGUUUUUCUAUCUUUCUCUUCUAUUUCUUCUUUUUCAUUUUUCCCUAAUCCAUUUAUUUUCCUUCGUUUUGCACGCGAUUAGUGCUCGCUUAGUUUCGGUAAGUGUUUCUCUUAGUUUCUGUCAUGAAUCUCUUAACAAAAGAAGUGAUAAUAUUUUUUCUCUGCGACUUGGGCAUAGGGGGAGGCUCGGACUGGUGAAUUCAGUGCUCUCGUCUUAACAAUAGUUAAAUGCAAAGUUAUCCUUGGUGGUAACUUGGGUUUCUCUUCGUUCUUGGUUGUCAAUUCACUUGUAAAUCCGUUAAAUUGAUUUUGAGUUUCUUGAUUAUAGGCUUUGGAGUGCUCAGGGACUAUUUUAGCAUAAAACAAAAUCAGGUGUGUACCCGAAACGCAAAAAAAAUAGGAUUCAGCAAAAAACUGAAAUUGCUUGCUGUUUGGACAGCAGCAAUAGGCUAACUUUGAAAAAUCGCCAUAAAUUGUGGAUAUCAAAUUAGAGGAUGAAAAAAAUAUAGAAUUAAAUCUUAUUGAGCUUAGUUUCUCAUAGAAGAAACGGUGUAAAUAAUGGAAUUGUAAAUCGUGAGGUAUAAUAAACUUUGUGAGACAAUGUCAGAUUGAAUUUGGGUUCCCCUGUUCUGACUUUGGAAAAUCAUCAAAAAUUAGAGAAAAAUAAUUAGGGGUUAAAAUUUACAUGUUUAAAUUAUUAAUGAGUCUAUUUUCAGUAGAAACAAAUUAAAACAUCAUCCAAAUUUUUUUACUGACAGAUGAUUAAUUUUUAGCAAAGAAGGGACGAAGCUGUUAGAUAGCAGAACAGGGGUAAAUUUGAAGAUUUUACUGUACUUAUUGGCUAAACCAGAAAUUCUAAAAAUUUUAUGGUAGAAAAUUAUUUGAGUCUAGUUUCAAAGACAUCAAGCGGAUCUUAAUUCGGAAUUCUGUAGCUCAAGAUAUAAAUAAUUUAGUAACAGUGACUCAAGUAGACAGCUUUGAAGGAACAUAUAAGUAAAUAGUGAAAACAUAUAUGAAUAAUUAACUAGCAUGGGUUACAUUAGAAAUGGAUCACGUGGCAAAGGUCAAUUUAGGCCGAGUGGGCCACAUAGGCAUGUGAGCCCAUUUUUCUGAAAAGUUCUGUAAGGUUGUACAGGUCGCCCAAGUCGACUGUAGACCUACUGUAGGGUCGGUAAGCUUUACUUAGACCUUUAUAUAUGUGAUCUGUCUGUCUGAUUUCUAUAUCGAGCAUGACUUAUGAUAUCUGAAUGUAUGUACUAUUAAUUGCAUAAUGACAUGACAUAUUUUGUAUGUUGCAGUGCAUCGAGGUGGGUUUAUGAUAUUUGGAGGAAGUGUUUGAAAGGCUAGUAAGCCUGUUAUCUGGCAGCUCAGCUGCAACCUUUUAAUUAUGUGCCGCAUUCUAGUACAACAUGGUGUGUAGGGGGUGGGUUAAUUUAAUCCCCACAUGGUGUGUAGGGUUGGACAGAUAUGGUGUGUACAGGCUGGUGGGUAGGAUUCUGAUUUAUUGUAUAUGUAUUCUAUAUUUGAUAUGGGCCAAGGCCCUAAUGUAUUUUUGAGACUGUAUCUAAAUGCGCUAAGGCCCAAACUGAUUUUGUGAUGGGCACGGGCCCCAAACUGUAUCUAAUUGAAUUUUAUUGAUUAUCUGUAUGCAUCUUUUCUGUGGGGAUUACACACUGAGUUUGUAAAAACUUGCCCUUUCUCUGUUUAAUCUGUAUAGGUAAUCCUUAGACUUGACGGGUCGGUGCAGCGGAGGACUCGACGGUGUCCACACGUAAAUUUUAGACUAUUUUUUGUUAAUUCCUAGAAUUUAUUUCUUAUUUGGGGUUUUUGGUGUAUCUUCUGGGCUAUGGACUGGUUCUAUUUAAAUUUGGGACUUUAUAUUGUUUUUUAUGGAUUUUUUUUAAAACUACAACUCUACAAAACAGGAUUUUUUUCUAAAAACUAUGGUUUUUCGUAAAUAGAAAUGAUUUUCCCUAAAUUAAUUGGUUACAAAAGCUUCCGCUAAGAGACAAGUUUUAAAGCAAAUCAACUAGUUUUUUUUCGAAUUAGAUAAAAGCUAACUUAUUGUAACGGUUUUUAAACUCGACAAUCUUGUCUUCAAAUCCCUUUCCAUAUGACAUCGCCAUAUUCAGCCAUAACGUCGAGGCCAGGUUUGAGGUGUUACAGAGCUCUAUUGGCCCAAACCUGCGACCUAUUAAGUAGGCUAGAAAGGCUAGACCACCACAGUAUAAGGAAGUAGUAGACCCUAAAAAAAGGUAGAUUCAGAUUUGCCAUUAUUUUCAGAGGGGUUAUCCUGGCGAGUGUUGGAGGAGGAUAGUGCUUGUUUGGUACGUGGUUCGAUAAAGCAUAAGGUUAGGGAUUAUCCUCGUCAUCAAGAUCAGGCGUAAGCUCCUGAUCAGAUUCAAAGCCAAGUUGGGGGUCAAAAUCAGAGAGGUAAUCAAGGUGGUCAGAGGGGUCGUAAUCAGGAUUGAAAUGGGAAUGGUAAUCGGGGUCAUAGAGCACCAGCUCAAGGUGCGAAUUGAGUUGAGGCAAGACAACCUACUUUCUUUUAUGUAGCUAAGCGCCGAUAAGAUAGAGGUACCACUGAUUUCAUAGCAGGUACCUUCAAUAUUUACUCCAUACCUUAUUUUGCUUUGAUUGAUAUAGGAUCUACCCAUUCGUAUAUUGCUUGUAAUGUGGAUGUAAAAUUGGGAAUUGAGGUAAAGGAAACUGAAACCACUGUAAUUGUAUUUAGUCUCUUAGGAUCCUCCAAACUUAUGAAUAGAAUUUAUAAAAGAUGCCCUUUAGAGGUUUAAGAAGAGAUUUUUCUUGCCAAUUUGAUGGAACUUCCUUUUAAUGAAUUUGAUUUAAUUUUGGGAAUGGACUAGUUGGUUGAGCAUCAAGUUCGAUUAGAUUAUGCAUUGAAGAGGGUGACUUUGGCAGUUGAGUUUGGGAAAGAAGUUAUUAUGGUGGGGGAACAUCGAAAUUAUUUGUCAAGUGUGAUCUCUACUUUAGUAGCAGAAAAGAUGGUGCGAAAAGGGUGCGAAGCAUUUUUGACUUAUGUCUGAGAUCCAAGCGUCGUUGAUCCUUUAGUUGAAAGUAUUCGUACAGUGAGGGAAUUUCCCAAUGUAUUUCUCGAGGAACUGUCAAGGCUACCUUCAGAAAGGGAAGUGGAAUUCGAAAUUGAGUUGUUGCCAAGAACAACACUGGUGUCCAUCUCUCCCUGUUGCAUGGCACUGGAAAAGCUUAAGGAGUUGAAGAUGCAGCUACAAAAACUAUUGGAUAGGGUUUUUAUUAGACCCAGUGUUUCACCAUGGGGCGCACCGAUUUUAUUUGUAAAAAAGAAAGAUAGAAUGUUACGUUUGUGCAUUGAUUACCGGCAACUGAAUAAAUUAACUAUCAAGAAUAAGUGCCCUUUCCCAAGGAUUGAUGAACUAUUCGAUUAGUUCAGAGGUACAAUUGUCUUUUCCAAAAUUGACUUAAGAUCUGGGUAUUACCAACUCAAAGUGAAAGAAUCUGAUAUCCCAAAGCCGCUUUUAGGACUCGUUAUAGACAUUACGAGUUCCUUUUCAUGCCUUUUGAGUUGACUAAUGUGCUAGUGGCUUUCAUAGACCAUAUGAAUCGUGUUUUUUAGUCUUUCCUUGAUUAGUUCGUCAUGGUACAUCAUUGUGUACUCUAAGAUAGAGGCCGAGCAUGAUGAGCAUUUGAGAGUGGUUUUAUAGAUACUCUAUGAAAAGAAACUUUUUGCUAAACUUAGUAAGUGUGAAUUUUGGUUAAAGGAAGUGGUGUUUUUGGGUCACGUGGUAUUGGUUAAGGGUAUUCACGUCGAUCCCAAAAAGGUUAAAGCCAUCCUAGAUUAGAGGCAACCGAAGAAUAAUUUGGAAAUUCAGAGUUUUCUAGGUCUUGCUAGGUAUUAUCGAAGGUUUGUUGAGGGUUUUUCCUUCAUAGCAGCCCCAUUGACUAAGUUGUUGAGGAAGAAUGCUCCUUUUAAGUAGGGAGACAAAUAGCAGGCCAGUUUUGAAAAGUUGAAAUCCGUGUUAACAGAAGCUCCUAUUUUAAUUCAACCAGAAUCCGGUAAGAAAUAUGUUCUAUAUAGCGAUGCUUCGCAUGUUGGACUUGGUUGCGUCUUGAUGCAUGAUGGUAAAGUGGUAGGCUAUGCUUCGAGGCAACUUAGGCCACAUGAAGGUAAUCACCCCACUCAUGAUUUGGAGUUGGCUGCUGCUGUGUUUGCUCUCAAAAUUUGGAGACAUUACUUGUAUAAUGAGAUGUGUAUUAUUUACACCGAUCACAAGAGUCUCAAAUAUCUCCUCACCUAGAAGGAAAUUAAUUUGAGGCAACAGAGAUGGAUUGAGUUGUUAAAAAACUAUGACUAUACAAUCGAGUAUCAUCCUGGGAAGGCCAAUGUUGUGGUUGAUGCCUUAAGCAGAAAGGCAAUGUCUGACUUGAGGACCAUGUUUGCUCGCUUGAGUCUCUUUGGUGAUGGUGGUAUUUUGGAAGAAUUACAAGUAAAGGUUGCUUGGGUUUAGGAAAUUAAGGAUGAGCAGAGUUUGGAUGGAACUCUAACACCUCAAUUUAAACAGGUUGAGGAUGGAUCGACCGAGGACUUUGGUAUUAACUCUGAUGGAAUCUUGUGCUUUAGAGGGAGGUAUUGUAUGCCUAAUGAUUAGAAUUUGAUACAAUCUAUACUUCAGGAUGCAUAUAGCAGCCCUUAUGCUAUGCAUUUUGGAAGUACUAAGAUGUAUCGAGAUUUGAGGGAAGUGUAUUGGUGGCCAGGUCUUAAACGUGAACUGACUGAAUUCGUAUCUAAAUAUUUUACUUGCCAACAAGUUAAAGCUAAGCAUCAGUAUCCAUCAGUGUUGCUCCAACUGAUUCGAAUACCACAGUGGAAGUGGGAAAGAGUGAUAAUGGAUUUUUUUAGUGGGUUGCCCUUGACACCUACCAAGAAGGAUUCGAUUUGGGUUGUGAUGGAUAGGUUGACUAAGUCCUCCCAUUUUAUUCCUGUUUGCACUGAUUAUUCUCUCCAAAAUUUAGCUAAGCUUUAUGUUUCCAAGAUAGUGAGAUUGCAUGGUGUGCUAGUGUCGGUUGAUUAUUUCAAAUUGGAAUCCUAGAUUCACAUCUCGAUUCUGGAAAAAAUUACACGAGGUUUUAGGUACUCGGUUGGAUUUCAAUACGGUUUUUCAUCCACAAUUCGAUAGUCAAUCGAAAAGGGUCAUUCAGAUAUUGGAGGAUAUGUUGAGGAGUUGUGAAAGCGACUUCCAAGGUAAUUGGGAAGAACAUUUACCUAUGGCUGAGUUCGCCUAUAAUAACAGUUAUCAGUUAAGUCUCCAAAUGGCACCUUACGAAGUUCUUUUUGGUUUUAAGUGUCGUUUGCCUUUAUGUUGGACUAAAGUGGGUGAUAUAAAUUUGAUUGGCCUAGAAUUGGUCAUUGAAGUCGAAGAUAAGAUUCGGGUAAUUGAAAAAAGACUGAAGGUAGCUUCGGAUAAACAAAAUUGGUAUGCCGAUUUGAAGUGCAAGGACAUUGAGUUCAAUGUGGGAGAUUUGGUUUUUCUUAAAGUCUCACCAUAGAAGAAAAUCUUGAGGUUUGGUCGAAAGGGUAAGUUGGGCCCUAGGUUUAUUGGUCCUUAUCGAGUGCUUAAGAGGGUGGGUUUGGUGGCUUACAAACUCGAAUUACCUCUUAAUUUAGAUUGGAUUCACGAUGUAUUUCACGUUUCAAUGUUGAGACGGUAUCAAUCUAAUACCUCGCAUAUUGUUCCACUUGAGGAGAUUAAGGUUAGACUGGAUUUUUCAUUUGAGGAGGAACCAGUUCGAAUAUUAGAGCGUGAGAUCAAAGCGUUAAGACGAAAACAAGUUUCACUAGUUAAGGUACUGUGGAGAAAUCAUGGCAUUGAAGAGGCUACGUGGGAGCCGGAGGACUCAAUUCGGCUUCAAUACCCUCAUCUUUUCAAACCAGGUAAUUUCGAGGACAAAAUUUCUUUAAUGGGGGUAGAGCUAUAACAUCUCAAAAUUUAACUCAAUAAAAAUGUAGAAAAAUAUCAAAAAUAGGGAAUUGACCCAAUGGUUAAUCAUUAAAUGUGAAAGCUUGAAAGUUAGUUAAAGGUCCCAAGUUUAAGUCUUAUCUUUUACAAAAUAAAUAUUUUUUUUUUUGCAAAAAUUCCCUUAUUUUUAAUGUAUUGCCGCCCAAGCCUAGUAAACCUAGGUAUAAAUACAAUUUUUACUCAAAAUAAUCAGUCUCUAACUCUCUUUUCUUCUACCUUAGUCGUCCCUAACCUCUUCUCCCUCCCUUGAUCUUUAUUUUUUUUCUUUUCUCCUUCUCCCACCAUUGUUGCCAUCGUACCUAUCACCACCAUUCACCUUUGAUUUUUCUUUCUAUUGUCUUCACGAUUGAGAAUUAUCUCCAUCCUUAUCUUGCUACCAUUUUUAUUCAAUUAGAACAGCCCAAAAUUGAAAUCUUAAUUCUCCAAGAUCAACUCCAACCUUGCCAAGAAAGUGACAUUGUCGCCCGUCUCCAUUAGCUUGUGUAAGAUCUCUAUUUCUUUUAAUAUCUUGGGUAAUCUUGCAAUUAAAAAUCUAAAUUUUUAGAUAUGGAAUUUGGGGAAUUUUAAAUUUUUUUAAAGUUAUUUUUCCAGCUUUUAAUUAGAUCUCAAAUCGUUUUAAAAUUCAACCCCAAUUCUAGCAACCAGGGGUGGUGGUGCGUGCGCCUAGGUGUGGGAAAAGGGGGUUGUUUUGUUUCUUGAAUUUUUCCCAUUAAAUUCAGCCUUAAUUUGAGUUCUUGAACCCUCCUAAUCAGAUAUUAAACCCAUGUCAAUUAGGGAAAAAUUUUCUUGGUCGAUUGGACAUUCAAAACUCACAAAUUGGGAAGCAUAAGUACAAUUAAACGUAAACUAGUUUAUUGUUUCGGCAUAUUUGUUGGGUAAAGGUUAUGGAUUGAUUAGAUGAAGGAAUUUAAUCAUUAUUAGCUACUAAUUUUUCGGUAUAUUAUUGAAUUAGGUGUUGACCUAAACAUCCCAAAUCAACCGUAAAGCCGAAGAACAAUCGUACGUACGGUUCGCAUCGAUACAGUGUAAGAAAUCUAACUAGUUUGAAUUCGUAAAAUAAUUAUAAAUUCGACGAUUGGUUUGAACCCAUAAGUGGGUAAUUUGGGGCUGGUUAAAAGGUAAAAAAAAAUUUAAUUUAUACUGAAUUUUGGUUUAGGAUCAUACAAAGGUUUAUUAAGGAAAAUUAGAAGUUUCACUAGUGUGUUGUAAGAAAGUGAAAAAUAAAGUGUGGGUCCUAAACUCGUAAAUUUGUUUGAUAUUGAUAAUUGUCAUGUUAUAUUUGAUAAAUUAGGUUGUUGAUUGGAUUGGCUUAAUAGCCAAAAUAUUAGUUUUGUGAGUGGUCAAACCAAGUACAUUUCGAGCCCUAAAAGAUUGAUGUAUUGGUAACAUUUCUAGUUUGACGGUAUGAAUGUGUGAUUGAAAUUGCCAUGCAUAAUUGUAUUAUGUGAUAUGAGAAUUUUUGAUUGAAUGGUAUGAAUAAUUGGAAAUAUUAAGUUUAUGUGUGAUUUAAAUGCAUGAGGAAUUUGCUAUUAUGUAUAUUGGAAAGGUUGCUAUUUAUGCACAAUAAAAUUCGUAAAGUAUGUGAAGUUAAAUGAUAUUGAUAGAUACUAUCAUAAUGGAAAUUUGAAAGUUGGAACUCUAUUUCCAUUUACUAAAAGUAUGUGAUUAUUGAGGGCAUGUUGAACAUGUCAAAUUAAAUUUGAGAAGUAUUGAAAUAUGAUUAUGUGUGAAUUUGUAUGACAUAGUGCAUAUGCAUUAGGAUGGGAUUUUGUGGUUGAUGAAGGAGUCCCGUGGAGUACCGGUGGCAUAUUAAGUCUGCAUAUAUUUGUAGUUAGUGCACUGCAUUUGAAGUAUUGAGGGGAUUUUUUUAUAUAUUACAUUAUUUUUUAUUUGGCAAUUUCACUGCAUUAUUGAUUAUUGGUGGUUUUAUCACAUCGAGCUCUACUCAUAUACGUUGGAGUUUGGCAAACGGGUUCUGAGGAACUCGUGAUGUGUAGUAGAUGGUAUGGGAAGGAUCUCACAUGUUCAUUUGUCACGAUCAUAUGCAUUUGAAAUUAUUAUUGAUAAUGUUUGAUUGUGCUAUUGGUAUCUCUAUGAAAUUACUUGUAUGAAUGUUUAAUACUUGCUUGUUUAGCCUCACAUUGAGCUUGUUAAGCUCACCCUAUUACCUAAACUUCUCAGGUAAUGAUCGAACUUUGGAUAGGAAUUGGCAUGCAGACGUACGGCGAACUCCGGACUUCACUUCGUCAUAUUAUUUUAAUUUAAUUAUAUUUUAGGCUAUUUUACCGUUAUUAUUUGAUUUUGGAUUGUAAAGUUUCUUUAAACUGUGGUGAGACUGUUUGGGACUUUUGGGGUUUUUCAUGCAUGCAUGACACUCAUAUUUGGUAUAGAUACACAGUUUAUAUAUAUAUAUAUAAAUAGACUAUGCAUGAUAUAUGGCUACGUUAAUAAUUUGACUAGUAAUGGUAUAUUUCAGUUGCUAAAAAGAUAACAAACUAAUUUUUCUAAAACAAUGCCGACAAUUGAGUUUUAUAAAAGUUCACCUUAUUUGCUAAUUUGGCUAAAGCAUAGUUGGACUAAGUAAAGGGACGUUUUCCAAAGUUAACAAUAGAAACCAUGAUUUUAUAAAAGAGAGUACUUGAAGGUUUUAAACUAUCGUUAAAGUAGGUUCGACACUAAAGUGCCUAAUGUGGCCUUCACGAUUCGGUUGUAAUGUCUAGGCCGGGUUUGAGAGGUUACAUGUUGGGUAGCCAUACCGCCAUGUUUGAGGCCACACAGGUUGGUCUACCUGGCCACACAACCGUGUGACCCCUAUUUUUAAAAUUUUCAAAAUUUUUCAUGUUUUUUUGUUUUGAUUCAAAUUAGUCCCUGAUUAUUCUCAAACUAUUUUUAGGGCCCCACAAGCUCGUUUUAGGCUCGUAAAUGUUAUUUUGCUAUGAAUGAAAUGCAUAUUUGAAUGUUUUUAUUUAAAUUAAUAAAUGAAUAGUUUAAUGAUGUAAUUUUUUUUAUAUGUGUCGUAAUACUCUAUAACCCUAAUCUGGUGACGGUGAUGGUUAGAGGUGUUACAUUUUCAAAGAAGAAAAAAAUAUUUCUAAUGUAAGUGAUCAAAUCUCUUAUACUUCAUUAAUUGAAGCUACCACGUUAUUGGGGAAAAACAUACGUAUUGUUGGUCUUGAAAUAAGUAAGAGCAUUACCUCCGGAGUGCUAAUUCCAAAAAGUCAGAAAUGGUCAUUCAAGAAAGUGCCCAAAAAUUAUAUCAGACCUUAUCUGAAGUAGAAGGAUUACUUAGGAUAAGCACUUUCAUAUGUUGAGCAAAAUUCCAGAGUAUCCAAUGCAAAUGCUCGUUUUCUUCAAUCCAUCCUCUUCUGCGCGAUUGGAAUGGGUGAGAAGAUUUAUUUCUACCCAUUAAAAAUCAUGGUUGUGUUGAUGGUGUUGAUGAUGUUUUGAUAAUUUUUUGUAUAUGUAAAUAUUUGGAUGGUAUGAUGACACGAGCUGGAAUGGGUAAGAAUGUCACGAAUUGUUGUAACUUUUUUAUGCUAUAGAAUUUAACAUAUAGAUUAUGGCAUAUAAGCUAAUGACAUUAUCCAACUUUUUUAUGCUAUAAAAUUUAACAUAUAGAUUAUAGCAUAUAAGCUAACAACAUCAUGUAACUUUUUGUUAAUGUAUGAACAUUAUGUUUCGAUGUAAAAUACAAUUCUCAAGCUAUUAAUUUUACUUCUAAUCUUUUGCUUUUUAGUUUAGAGGAUAAUUAAAUUAUUUUUUUUGCUAAUGAUAUUCUAUUACAUUAAAUAUGCAUUGAAGUUUAAAAAUAAUAAAGUAGGUUAUAUUUGUUUUUCUAAUAUUAUAUAUUAUUUUUAUUAAUUCAUAUUUUAAUAAUAAUCAUAUUAAGAAUGUUAUUAAAUUAUAUAUUAUUUUUUAAAAAUUAUAUUUAAUAAUAAUUGUAUUAAAUAUAUGAUUAAAUUAUUUAUUUUUAUUAAAUUAUAUUUAAUAAUAAUCCUAUUAAAAUUUAAUAACAAUAACAAUAAGUAUCUAUCUAAACAAAAUUGUACUAAGGGUACUUGGUCAUUUCAUUUUCUUUCUUAUGCUAUUAGAGCUCUAUUCCAUUCAACCGAACACAAGAAAACUAUUAUAGUUCUAUUCCAUCCCAUUCAACUAAACAAUUUAAUUAUUGAUUGUUGUUCUAUUCCAUUACAGCUCUACUCCAUUACAGUGAACCAAACAUGGUGAAAUAGUUUUGAUUUUAUGACGUGACUUAAUAUAAUUAGUUGUAACUAUAGCUUAUGUGGUAGGAAAGGCUUAUAUAAUAUUUUUUUUUCUAUUAGUUAUAGGUACCACAUUGACAAAUAGUGUUAAAGUAUAUUUACUAAAAUAGACUUUUCAAAGAAAAGAUAUCACAUUGGAAGAUUUGAUAAGGUCUGCGAGUCAAAUAUGAAAUUAUCCCCUUUUUUCCCUUUUCUUAUAAUUAGUUGCAUUUAUCAGUUCUUAUAAGACGAGUUUCCUUCAAGAGUUUUCAGGUAGUAAUAGGUUAAGCUUUUAUGGCUAUUGAUGAUGCCAUAACAGCAGUGAGUGAGAACCCAUAAGAUUGGGUUUAUGAAAUAAAGUGCUUGAACUGUAAGUAGAUGAGAGCCCCUUAGAGCACCUAUUUGGAGUCUAGUUGUUGCAAGGCACAUGAACUUGUAAAAAAAUAUAUUUCUGUUUGUUUUCAAUGAAGAUAAUGAUUUUAAAAAAAAGGGUAGAGAAGUUGUAGUGAAUCAUGCACAAUCGCUUGUGCUUGUUGACGAACCCCUGAAGGUAGGUAGGUAGGUAGGUAGGUAGGUAGGUAGGUGUAAUCCGGAUAUGGACAUGGGCAAAACCAAAGGGAAUAUGCUCUUAUAUGUGCCAUCUAACUUUGCUAGUACCAUUGUUAAUGUACCCUGAGCCCUAGGUAAGCAAACAAAUAAAGUUCAGGAGACUAGUGUCUUCAAAAUCGUUCUCAACUUUAGUGGGCCUCUCUCUUUGGGCUUCAAUGGUGUAACCCCUCCUUAUCAACAAAAGAGGUUAGUUGAGGAGCAAAAAAAUGAUAAAGAAACAUCCAAAACAUCAUCGAAAGUUACACUUGGGAUGAAGCAAAUGAAAAUGAUAGUUUAUCAUCAGAGGAAGCUAAGGGAUCAAAUAUUACAGGCAAUUGGGAUACUGAACUGAAAAGCAAAACGAGUGAGAAAAGGAGUUUACCAAGAAUCAAAGGGGUGGCUUGCAUCAAAGCUCGGAAGGAACAUAAGUAUCUAGAGCCGCUCAAAGCCUGCGCCUACCUCACACUAGAAUUGGAGCAGCUCUUGCGGGGAGCAAUCAAAAGGAUACUGCGAGAGCCACUCAAACAUCCAUAUAUUAAGACACUUUGGACUGGGAGGCGCAGUCAGCAUGGGUAACUCUAUUGUUGUUAGAGGUGUGUAGAAAUCGAUUCGAAUAAAUUAAAAAAAUAAAUUAUGUUAAUCAAAUCGAGUUAUUCAAGUUAUUCAAUUUUUCGAGUCAAUUCCAAAAAAUAAUUAGAGUUUUGAAUUCGAGUCAAGUGAAAUUUUACAAUUCAAAUAACUCGAAUAAUUUAAAUAACAUAAGUGAAAAUGUCUCUUUUGUCACUAUCAAUCUUAAAAAUGAGUAAAUUGACCUCUCAACAAAAAUUUGAAAAUCAAAAUAAUUUUUCAAGUUCAAAAUUUUAAAAAAAUUUCAAAUUUUAUUUUUUAAAAAAUAUAAAAUUGUAAAAAAUAAAAAACAUAUAAACUUAAAAAAAUUUUAAAAAUUAAAAUAGUAAUUUUAAAAACUUAAAUAAGAUAAUAAUUUAAAUUUAUCAUACCAAAGUAUUUGUUUCUUAUUUUGCUUUGAUAAAAAAAUACUCGUUAACUUAAUUUUUUUCACUCAACCCUAUUGAAUACUCACCCUUAAUUGCUGCUGUGGACUCAUUUGUGUCUGUUUUGGAGGUUUUUUUUUUUUGGUUUGGCUGUAGCACUGUUCUCUUCUAUAACAAAUACUGAUGCAAACCCUGAUGGAGCAGGAGCCUUACACUGCAGCCAGAUUGUAACAAGUUGACUCCCCAAUCUAUGCUGAAAUCCUUAGCCAGCUGACUCCUAUCUCUUGAUUGUUCACUAGUAUCAUUUUUUCACUAAAAAUGCUUGGACUUAUAUUUUUCAGGUCCUGUUUUUAGCCAAGGGGCUUUAGCAAUUCCUGCAGCACUAACGGCAGUGAAGUUACUUGGCUGGCUAUAAACUCCCAAGGCCCCAUCAACCAUUCGAGGAAGACUCUGGAGCUCCUCAAAUAGUAGGAUUACGAUUAAUGAAUCAAGAAACGCAAAACAAUUAAAAAGUGCAAAGCACACUCAGUUGUAUAUGCAGAGAAUAUUGUUUUAAACUGAAGCAAACAAAAAACCAUGAACACUCAGCGAGAACUAAGGCCGCCCAAGCUUAUUUGAGUCUGAUUUCACAACCUAAAUUCCAUGAGAAGAAACGGUCUGAUUUCACAACCUAAAUUCCAUGAGAAGAAACGGAAACCCUCAAAAACAGCAAUAAACGCCUAUCAUCAAUACAGAAAAUAUCUCUGAUACACAGACCACAAGACUAAAUUCUUAGUAUUUGUAGUCCUUAACAUGAAGGCUCUCUGCAGCACCCUCACUAAUCUUUGCAUCACCCUUGUAUGUACCCAAGGUGGCCUCCGAGUUAGCCUUGCACCUAACAAGGAAAGCAUCUUGUGCUUUCUUCACGUUUUCCUCCUUUCCAGCCCAGGCCUUGAGAGUGCUCUGCUGAAGGGCACGUCCAAAUGAGAAUGAGAGUGACCAUGGUUUCUUGGUCUGGAGCUUGUUCAUGGCAUUAAGGUUAAGGGUAGCCUCCUCCUCACUUUGCCCACCAGACAAGAACACAAUAGCAGGGACUGCAGCAGGGACGGUACGCUGCAAGGCACGGACAGUGUACUCAGCAAUAACCUCUGGGGCAACCUUCAGGGAGUCGGAACCAGGGGUCACCAUGUUAGGCUUCAAAAGAGUACCUUCUAGCAUGACAUGGUGAUCAUUCAAAGCCUUGUAGCAAGCAGCAAGAACACGCUCUGUCACCGCAGCACACUUUUUAAUGUCAUGUGAUCCGUCAACAAGAAUUUCAGGCUCAACAAUGGGGACAAGGCCACAUUGCUGGCAGAUGGCAGCAUACAUAGCUAGCCCAUUGGCAUUUUCUUGGAUUGCAAGCUCGGUUGGCUCAUUAGCACUAAUCUUAAGGACAGCACGCCAUUUAGCAAAGCGGGCACCAGCUUCAUAGUACUUCUGGCAUCGC